RNAcentral lists this long non-coding RNA (89752 nucleotides) under Zea mays. Lineage: Eukaryota; Viridiplantae; Streptophyta; Magnoliopsida; Poales; Poaceae. The record is from RNAcentral.
UUCUGCCAUAGAAACAAACUCAUUUCGGGGAGAACCAGCUAGCUCUGGGUUCGAGUGGCAUUUCACCCCUAACCACAACUCAUCCGCUGAUUCUUCAACAUCAGUCGGUUCGGACCUCUGCUUAGUUUCAUCCAAGCUUCAUCCUGGUCAUGGAUAGAUCACCCAGGUUCGGGUCCAUAAGCAGUGACAAUCGCCCUAUGAAGACUCGCUUUCGCUACGGCUCCGGUGGGUUCCAUUCCCUUAACCAAGCCACUGCCUAUGAGUCGCCGGCUCAUUCUUCAACAGGCACGCGGUCAGAGAUCACUUUCCCCUCCGGGAGCUCAGCACGGUUUCACGUUCUAUUUCACUACCCACUGGGGGUUCUUUUCACCUUUCCCUCACGGUACUACUUCGCUAUCGGUCACCCAGGAGUAUUUAGCCUUGCAAGGUGGUCCUUUCCUUGCUGAUUCACACGGGAUUCCACGUGCCCCAUGCUACUCGGGUCAGAGCGUAAGCUAGUGAUGCUUUCGGCUACUGGACUUUAGCCAUCUAGGGUGCGGCACUCAACCGCUUCGCCUAGCAGCACAACGCUUGUAUUGCUCUCCCACAACCCCGUUUUCACGGUUUAGGCUGCUCCCAUUUCGCUCGCCGCUACUACGGUACGGGUACGGGAAUCGCUUUUGCUUUCUUUUCCUCUGGCUACUAAGAUGUUUCAGUUCGCCAGGUUGUCUCUUGCCUGCUCAUGGAUUCAGCAGGCAGUUCAAAAGGUUGACCUAUUUGGGAAUCUCCGGAUCUAUGCUUAUUUUCAACUCCCCGAAGCAUUUCGUCGCUUGCUACGCCCUUCCUCGUCUCUGGGUGCCUAGGUAUCCACCGCAAGCCUUUCCUCUUUUGAACCUCGCCAUUAACGUUAAGGCUAUGCCAUCCUAAGGUGCUACUAAAUGGAAGGAUCUUAUCAACGUCCAUGAAUGCGAAAUCAUAGAUCGAACUGACGAAUUGGCAACCUUCGGUGCUAUCAUAGUAUCCGCUAAGUUCACGGGCUGGAGAUAAGCGGACUCGAACCGCUGACAUCCGCCACAGGGUAAACCACCGCCUCUCAGGCCUCCCCGACGGGUUCUACCAUAGAGGACAACGAUAGGCAAUAACUCCCCCCCGAACACAGCUUACAACUUUCAUCGUACUGUGCUCUCCAAAGAGCAACUCUUCUCAAAAUCCCAAAACAAAAGGUGCUGAGUUGGAAUCCCAUUCUAAGGAUUCUUGUGGUUCCGGGGCGAUCCAGUCACCCGGAGAAGAUUUCUUUUCUUUGCUGAUUCCUCUCAAUGAAAUUUGCCAUGUUGCACUAAGUUACUUACGGAUGUAUGCAUGCAGUCCGGGAACACUUUGGGGUGAACACCCAUCCGAACAAGUAGGGUCAAUAGUUCAGCAUUUAGGCCGUAACAUUUAGCAAAAAACUAAUCUUAAACCCAACAAGUGCUCUCCGAACCAAGCUAGAUAGUCUCCUAUCACUAGGCUCACCAACCAACCUGGACUUUGAUUCUUUCUUAUUAUUCUAACCGGAUAUAAAAACCAUAAGGAUUGUUUCCAGCCAAGAGUUCCCAUAUGACAUAAGCGCUCUUGGGUGGGCCCUCAUUCGCCAGGUCUUUGAGUGCCCGUCGUACCACGUGGUUGGUACACUAGGCUGAUCGAUACUUUACGAUACUUAACUUAACUUUACGAUACUUUGAGGAUCUGGCACCUGCGCCCGACUCGGUCUGCCAGUGAAUUUUGGCUCUACGUCCGGUCGUGCGUGGUAUGUUCGCGAUUCGUACAAAUGGAAGGCAUCGCGUACGUUAACCUUCCUUUAUUGGGCUGGGCCAUUCCAUCUUUGAGAAGGGGCCCAAUCUCGUAUUUGAUGGUCGGCGUGGCAAUAUGCUUAGCUUCGUAGACAGGUUUCCCAGCCGUUGCAAAGACUUCGCGAGAACGGUCAGGGGCGCGAUUCGCCAAGCUAGGGCAAACAAAGCCGUCCGGCCCUACCAGAUUAAGAAUGCGAAGGCCUUUCCUUCGAAAGGAGAAAAAAAAAAGAGCUAUGCUAUUGACCGACCCUUUCGUACUUACUUCGAAUCAAUAGGCCUAUCAUUUUUCAUGAGGCGGGCCAAAUAGAGAAUGAAAUGCAAAAAUAGGGGAAGGGGGGGAUGGUCGCGCCUUUUCUUUUGUUUAAGGGCUGCUCGCCUUACUAAAGUACCAAAGGCUUUCACGGCUGACACCCCUACCUUAGAAUCUAAGCCCUUUGAAGCGCCAGUAGUUGUAGCAGUGGGUAAGGCUUUCGUUCAACUCGCUCCGGGUUCCGAUCUAUAUGACCUCUAGACAGUACAAAGUACACCUCUUCCGUAGAGGCAAGCUGGUAGUAACCUAACCUUUUAGAGUCGGGGGAGCCGAGCCCUUAACUCUAUCAAUAGAUAAAUCUUCGUGCGUGGCGUGAGUUGGAAUCCUAGAAAAGAUCGAUUGAGACUCCCUCCCCGGUUCCACGAAGAUCUCUACGUACUUGUCUAGUCCAGGACAACUGAGAUCUUCCGGUCUGCGUGCGUGGGAGCAGCUGAAACAAAGAAGAGUCUGGUCCGCUCUUCAUUCAGGCCCCCCCCCGCCUUACAAAUGGGCCGUCCCCCUUAAUGAAUCGAAUGGUCCUUCGACCCUCGUUUGAGCCGGCAUAGAUGAAAUCUCAUGAGACCCGCCCAGCCCACUAUUACUACAAAAAAGCCCUGCCCUGGCACCUUCGCUAGACGGAGAGUAAGCGACUUCUAUUAGCACCGGACCGUCGAGUCGAAUUGAUCGUGUCAUGUGCAACGCCCAUCAAUGGUGGUUCAUUAAUGUCCAUAGAUUGAGACUCCUUCCCCCUUCCCUUAUACGCAAAAGAUCGAGAGGGGCCCGAACCAAACCGAGAACGUAAACAGAAUUCGACUCACUCUCGUAUGGCUCGCCCUCGAGCCCUGGGCGAGUCGGCCGGGUCUUCCCUUUUGUUCUGUUUCCGCCACGAUAAAGACGCACGGAAGAACUAUGGUAUGCCCAGCGCGUGGAGGAUCCGUUGAGAGUGUCCCUUGUCUCGGUAGGGAACAGUACCUAUUGUCUUGAAAAAGAAAGGUCAGUGCUACGGUCCCCUAUUGUUUGAUCCAAUAUUGACCGGUGCGGAUCACGUUCUACUACCUCCGGUCCGUGGUUCGACCUCCCGUAGUGGUCCUUGCUUUUCUUUUUGAAAGCUCCGCGGGGCCAAUUUUGCGUACUUGCUCAGUGUGCCCCCUUUCGUCGAGUGCCCCGCCCGGUUCACAGGGCUGUUGGCCUACCAAGCAAGCACUUGCCCACAGCUCCUGCCGCCUGCCAAGCGGGCUCCGCGCUCGUUAUCCUGACUGUUCUCUCCGCUGGGCCCUUUCCUAUUGCUCUAACCAUAAGCUAUGGCAAUUCCAGCUCGCACCCACUCUGGCCCGCCCAGCGAGGCCUGAGUGAGCUCAGUGGUCAGCCCCUGACGUUAGGGGUCUUUCGCUUUUGCCAGAUCUAUAGAGAUAUUACGAGUCCUCCGUCCUAGAUUCCCUCGCCGCGGCCAUCUGGUUCACCGGUACUACCAAAAAGUCUCAUGCUUACGUUACUGUGACUGAUAUAUAAGUAUGAUCUCGGACUACGAAGACCCAGUCGUGCUUCUGGUUUCCAUUCUCAUCAUCAUAUUGAAGGAAACUCCUCGUGCUCUGCCAUAAGAACUUGGAGUCCGUAUCAUGGUGAAGGUAAGGUAACGCUGUGAUUCUUGCUCAAAAAACUGACCGAACACGUUCGAGUUAUUGGCUCGUCCGACCCGGCAGCAUUCAUGAGUCGCUCGUUCAACUGUCCCUCGGAGACACGGUCGAGAAGUGCCAUGCAUGGUCGCCCCCCCCCCGUCCUUUCUUUCUCUCGGUCCCACCAGGGCGGGCCCCUCUGGGGUAAUAAAGAAAUGGAUAAAAAAAGGGGACUUCUGCUACGGGCUAUGCCACCCAUUACUUUACUUAUGAGGGAAGUCGCAUCCGUCCCAUCGCAAGCACCUACAAUGUUAUGAUCACAUUGGUUUACCCUUUUUUGGUAGUUCAACGGACGGUCGCCCCUCCAACAAGAAAAGGUAGAAAUAUGGAAACUUCUCUGCCAUUUAGAUCGGAGAAUUUAUAGAGGAAAUCGGGUUUUAAAUUUCCAGAAACCACACGAUUAUAUAGCCAAAGGGAAUACGCCGCGCCUAAAAUCAUCCCAAGCGCUGCUAAUGUGGCUACUAAGCUAUUUCUUUGGAAAGCUCCUACUAAGAUUAGAAAUUCCCCGAUAAAGCUGCUAGUGCCGGGUAAACUCAUAUUGGCUAAAGUGAAAAAGAAGAAAAUGGUAGAGAAAUUCGGCAUGGUGCUCACUAAACCUCCAUAAUAUCUAACAAGUCGAGUCUUAUGUCGGUCAUAUAGAACACCAACACAUAGAAAAAGGGCUGAAGAAACCAGUCCAUGACUUAACAUAAGUAAAAUGCUACCUCCAAUUCCCGGUAUGUUCGAUAGAGCCUAAUAUUCCCCCGGAGUACGCCGCUUACCCCCCGAACCGUACAAGAUAGUUACCACCUAUCAUACGGCUUUCUAACUCCACUUCUUUUUCUGGUUGUUCCGCUCUGUCGGAUCAAUGGUAGUCUCAGAGAUCUGGUAACCUCCGAUAUUUUUUACAACACGCUUCCUGCUUCCGUUUUGAGUUGCGCAUCUUUCUCCCCGGGGCAUACUAUAGUAUCACAUCGUAGACCCCCACCCCAACUCUAUCUUCCUUAUCAGUGAACCGGAACAUAGUGCAUAGGUACUCUUCGAUGCUGCGAGGACGAGACGAGGUGACAUACUACGAUCACGCACUGAAGUUCUGCCCUUCGGCUCGGCAUAUGGAACCUCUCAACUGCUCCCUCGGGAUAGGUAGGCCCAUCCCCCACCCCUCCUUUCCCGAGAGGCGGCCGGGCUGUGUUUCCCCAGCGGCCACCCAGUGGCGGCAGAAAACGAAAAAGGGUGGGCUCCGCGCAGUUCGCGUUUUAUUGUAAUUGUAAAGAGAGAGCUUUUCAUUCUCUUAUAGAAGCCCGCGUCCACGCGGGUAAAGCCCUGCGAAGCUGCAGGGAGCACUGAGCAAUGAGGGGAUGAGGGCGACUCACGGGUUGGACCACAGGCAAAAGUCCUUCCACGGCAAGAGAAGGGUGACCGGAACAAGAAAAGGGAGCUAGUCGUUGGAGGGAAGACAAGGCUCGUUCCGUGCGACUCCACAGAAGAGUACGCGCGCUAGAAAAGGCAGCCAGCUUAAAAACGCUAGCUAGCUACUUUUGUAGCCUUUUUUAGUUUGGUUGCCUACGCUUGCUCUCCGGGGCGCGCUACGGCAACACCCCCUGCUUGCUUCUUUCUGUUCGACGCGGAGCUCGCAGCCUCCCCACCCUUGCUUAGCGUUCCACUUGUGAUCCUGGAGGAUUUGGAGAAAUGCGCCCGACCAUGAAGAAUGGAUUUUAGCUUUUCUUUCAUGUGAACGGCCCUAUCUUGUAAAGAAUGGUUUUUCGUGCUAUAGACCACGUUGAGAAAGACCAACCAACAACACAAAUAAAGACCGUUCCAUUUGGGUACCUCGAAAGGGAGGUGCUCUUUAUGAUGCUACGGACGGCUGUCCGAAGUGCAUGCAAUGACGGGCUCAGAUAGGAUAGGAUUGUGCGCGCCGGGCCCUUCGGGUGUCCAUAUUUUGGCCGACCUUAGCGUAGGCCCGGUUAUGCGGCCGUAAUAUUUUUAUACCUUCCACCGCUGUUACGCCAGAAAUCCAAGGUUCCACACGAGCUCCUGUUCUGCGGCGUGGUGGCAGGACCGCUAGGGGAUUGGCUCCGGGUGUAGGUAGGGUCAAAUCCGCAGGGGUCAUGCAAAUACAUAGGCCCCUUCCCUUCUGCCGAGUUGUUUAGAAGGCGCUUUCCGUUCUACGGUCCCUCGGACCGAAGGGUUAGGCAGGUAGUACGGGCCCUCUGACUUCCAGCUAUGUGCUGUGUGCGACUCCCGCGAAGCGAAUGAAGGGAAGCUCUUCGAGCUUUCUCCGCCAGCGGCUUAUGUAGUGGUCGGCAUUCCUACGUGCUCCGACUGAUCCCCACUGGAGAUGAGGGGUCUUUGAAACUGUCGUGACGCUUUGGUGACGAAGGUCACCGGGGUGACUAUGGAAGGAUUCCGUGGUAGUCUCUGACUCCCUCCAACUCAAUCAAUAUCAAGAACAUGUCGUGAGCAUGGGGGUUUGGCCGACUACUAAACUCUAUACUAUUGGCUAGGGCUAGGCUAGUUAUAGCUUCUAUAGUGAGUGGCCCUUCCGCUUUGAUCUAGUUGUAGUUUGUACUGUACUAAAUUGAACACAUAUCAAAGAAAGGCGAUCAAUCAAUAAAAUAAGUAGUUGCCCUUCUCCGGCCCGGGAAAAGCUGCGAACUCGUUAUAAACUAGGGGCUUUUUUAUUCAUGGUCGCUACUGUUGUAUUGUAUAUUGUCGGGGGAAGCUACUGCUUCUACGACAGCUCCGCUUCCUCGUCUUGCUUCUACUUUGCUUGUUUGCGCGAAGGCUUAGAGUCCUUUUCGCUAGGUCCAAAUUCGUCAAAGCGAAAGAUCUGAUCCAACGGAAAUCCCGCAUAUUAAGCGCUGCUGAUAUGUGGCUACUAGGCGCGAUCAUCUCACAUGCCAUAAAAAAAAUACUUCUUUUUUCGUCAUAUAAAGAUAGAAUAGAUAUGGAUAGAGAGACAUUCUAUUGAUUCGCGAAAUGGCUCGUCGAUCCAAAUGAAUCAUUCUUCUGGUCUCUCUCUGCCCCCCGCCCCAAAACUGACCCACGACACAGCGCCCAUUCGUUUCGCGCGCGGGAAGGCAACGAAGUUCAGUUCAAAAGACCGCAGCGGAGUGGAGCAGCCGCGACACGAAGUUCCUUACCUUAGCUGGAUCUCGCUGGUGCCACCUAAACGGUAGGUAUAGGCGGCGGAUGUAUGACGUUUGGAGUUGUCGUUCGUGCACCUGUCCCCAAUAGAAGAAUGAGUGAUCCCUUCCCCUGCGGAUCAUGGCCUUACCACUAGGUCCCCGAUGGCCUGCGGGGGAUUCGGUAUAGCAGCUUACGUUCGUUUGCGCUGCGCGUUCCCGCUGGACUGGACACGUGUUAGCUGUAGGAAGUAUGGUUACGAAAGUGACUUCGGUUCGCCAGUUCAGGCUCAACUCCUCGCUUUACGUUAGCGGACUUACAGGUCGGGCCGGGGCUCCACGCUCUUUCUUUCUGUGUGGGACGAUGCCGGGGAAUGUGUCGAGGCGGCGAACAACAACAAGACAACUAACUACAUUUGCUUUUUCCCUCCAUGAGAUGAGCCAGUGCAUUGGACCGAUGGAUAAUAGAACUGAGCAGGCCAAAAAAGCGCUUGGGCGCUCUACAUACGAUGUAGACUCCAUCAGAUACAUAUCGAUUUCUUUAUGAUGGAUCCAGAAUAGAUAGAUAUCUUGUAUCAUCAAUAGAUAGAAAGAGGUCAACCCUUAUUAUUGAUAGAUUCCCUUUCGAUCUAUCAGAACAGAUCAGGCCAUCUAUCAAUCGAUUUGAAAGGUUCAUCUCGCUUUUCGUUCAUUUCAGCCACGCGCCGCCACAAUAAGAAAGAAGCAAGCGAAACAGCUAGAAGCGCUCGCUUCGCCGCGCCCAACUAUUCGGAAAGCCAACCGAAAGAUUCGAUUCGGACUUCGUAGAGCCGGUGCUGCUGCUGUCUGCGUGGGGCCCCACUCCCGUCCCGGGGCGCUAAGGGGUUUUGUUUUAGGAACAGACGGCGGUGUUUUGCUGACGCCUCGAAUCGACGCUUUUGUUGCGACAUGCUAAGUUUUCUCCCCUAUUGCUAGUAGGUUGAUGGGUCGCACGCCCGGCACACAUGUUUUGGCCUUGCUUGUGUGUCCAUAACUCAAAAUAGGUGACCUAACGGCCGCCGCCCGACUAAACAUACCAAUAGUCACCAAAUUCAUAUGGGCUACUGAGGAGUAGGCAAUGAUCUUCUUAAGAUCGAUCUGUCUUAAAGUGGUCAAGGAAGUAUAUAUUAUAGCAAUCGCACUUAGAGUAUAAAUGAAAGGAGUGAAACAAAGUGUCGCUUCGGGAAACAUGGGUAUUGAAAAUCUUAAAAACCCGUAGGUUCCCAAUUUUAAAAGAAUUCCUGCCAAGAUGACGGAUCCAGCCGUAGGUGCCUCUACAUGGGCUUCGGGUAACCAAAUAUGAACUGGUACCAUAGGCACUUUGACGGCAAAAGAGGCGAAAAAGGCAAUCCAUAGAAGGAUUUGGCGCCGCUCACUAAAUUCUGUGGUUAAUAAAAUUUGUAAAUCGGUGGUUCCUGUUUGGAGAAGAAUCAACAGAAUAGCUAAUAGCAUAAAAACGGAUCCAAGUAAAGUAUAUAGGAAAAACUGAUAUGCUGCCUUGAUCUUUCUUUGUCUCGAACCCCAUACCCCUAUAAUGAUGGUAGAGUCAGGGGUGGCCCCAAAGCGGAAUUGACCGGUGGUGGUUGGUCGAAGCUCCAGUGGGUAGCCACUCCCUUCUCAGGGAACCGUACGUGAGACUUCCGCAUCAUACGGCUCCGUCCCGAGCUUCCGUCGUCGGCCCUUGUCAUUAGACCACUAUGCUUGUCUUUUCCGCCUUGACUCUCGAAUCUUUUGCUUCUCGGGUGGUGGCGAACAAUGCAGCUUGCGUUGCGGGAGAUGCCCGCCCGUCGGGCCCGGCCUGCUUCCUGCCCGAAGAAGGCUAGCCGGACUAGUGGUAGGGGACCCGACCGUAAAAAACCCUACCUUUCGAACCCGCCCGUUCGUUAUAUCUAUAGAUAGAGAGAGAUCCGUGAAAGUCAUUGCCUUAUGUUAUGGUCGCCCCCCACGGCCUUUACGCAACUACGACUACUGUGAUGUGAGCGGUUCUAUUGGUUUGAUCUUUCCGGCCUCCACUUGUACGAAGAUGCAUGCAUAAAGGGACCCGCCCCUUUAUUUAUCUUUAUUAGGACAGGACCCUACCCUAUUCUCGAACCCUCUGCCGAGCUCUACCCUGCCCGCAUUUAUUUGGAAGGGGGCCAAAGAAAUGUCUCCACCUGCUGCCAACAGUCUUUCUUCGGAAUUCUACUGAACGGGUCGAUCCUCCCCUCCGUUUGUUUUAGCAACUUAUCCUAAGGUCUCUUCGCCAAGAACUCUCCGGCAACGACAGAGGAACUAACCUGCCUGCUGUGGCGGGGCGGCUUUAAACAACAAUAAGACCUGGACGAUUAUCCCUACCCUCGGUAGCUUACGAGUUUACGUCCAUCCCUGGUCGGGUACAGUUUCCUUUAUUUUUAUCCCUUGUAGCCGUUACCCGAAUUCGCGCAAGUGUGUCCACACCCCCCCUGACUUGACGAGGAAUCCAUUCUCGCGAACAAACACACCCCCCUACACACACCUAGGAGCACCCCUUCCUGCAUAUCCAUACAAGACCUGAGUAGGCGGGUCGAGGUCCUACGAGGUACCCACUACUCGGAGUACCCUCCCACCAAAAAAAGAUGUGUGGUUCGGUGGUUCGACCAGAAAUGCUAUGCUUACGCACAAGACUACCCCUCUUCCCGAAAGCUUCGCGGGGACCUUGACUACUUUACGACGACGGGGGACCGCCCGUAGGGGGUUUACUGCACAAGGCCCCUGCAGAGGAAAAGCUUGAUCCCAGCGAAUAGAAGAUGCUCAGCUCCGCACAACAUAGGGAUUGGCACGCUUUCGGAAAGAACAUAGAAUAGUAGAGGAUCCAGCAUGCAGGACACGGCGAUCAUUAGAAAUUCACGAAUUAGAAAUGCUGUAAUAUACUCUUUCCCAAAACUUCUCAUACCAGACCAACCCACUGAAAUGCAAAUAGGGAUCAGAAAUGUGGUCAAUAUCACGAAGAAUAAUGAAAGACCGUCUAUACCCAUAUACAAAUGGAUGUUUUCAUAAGGAAGCCAUCGAAGGCUUUCCACAAAUUGAGAAUUGGCCGUAGAAGGAUCGAAUUGUAUCCGAGGAACAGGGGGAUACAAAAAAGUAAUAAGAGAAACGCACAGACCAAUCAAUCGUAUCGGUCUUAUUGAAGAAUUUGGAAUGAAAAGAGGAGUAAUGCUUCCUAGCACGGGACAGAGAAUAGGACCACUUAGAUCGAAAUAGCAUUCACUGAAAUGUUCUAACAUAGAGUAGAAUCGAACAUUGAAAAGAUUAGUUGACAACAGUCAAUCAGGCGCCAAAUUACUAAACAAUAGGGGUCUUUCUGUGCAAGUCAGCUGAACACCGUAAUUGAUGAGUGAGUAGGUGGGUUAGGUGCACCCCUCGCCCAGUGGGAAGUCAUGAGGCUAGCCCCCCUGAAUGAAGAAGUAGUGGGGCCCCCUGCCCGCCCACGUAUGCGCCUUUAUUUAGAUUCUAACUAAAUAUUAUACUGAACUUUAUCCGGGAAUCUUUCUAAAGAAUCCAUCUGGCAAAACGCAAUUUGUCGAUUUCAAUUUAAGGUACACCUUACCUUGCCUUUUUCAGGUAGCUUUGUUACGCCUAUUCAGCUAGGUGGGGCAUUGGUCAUAGCCGAAGUCGAAGGAAAAAAAUAAGGUAAUGAGAUGAUGGUGUCAUCAAGAAGUUUUCGACGAACGUAGUAGCAAAUGAAACUCUUGCAUGAAAGACCGGAUUUGACGCAAGAUGAAUUUGGGGUUUUAAAAAUGAAACCCGCGAUCAGAAAGUCACCAACGGAGCCAUACAAUCUAUCUAGUAGUGUGCCAUGGCACGGUACUCCGCUUCGGCAGUGGAAGGAGCAACUGUCUAUUGCUUUUAUCUCAUCCAAGAUAAGAUAGUGGAGAGUCUCCCCAAAAAAUAGAGAAGCCUGUAGUUGAGCACCUAUCUGAAGGCCCAAUCGGCAUCAGUAGUUGCACGCAACUCUAAAGAAGACGAUGACGGAAAAAAGGACGGCUCGAGAAAAGGUACCUCGAAUAUAUCUAAGAAUCCGAUGAACUGCUGCAAAGUGAACUGACCGGGGGGCAGCGCAGCCAUGAAAGGCUGACUUUCUUAAGAAAAGCCAUCUGGGCAAGAGAUCGUCAGAUAAACCAAACUGCCGACCUACUGUCUGUACUGCGUCGGAUCAGAUAAUGGUGAGCCAUCAGUCGGACGGAGUUUAACGUAAAGCUCCAAGGGAGUGUCAACAGUCUUCUCAUCAUUGAGUUGAGCUCGAGUGAUCAAGUCAUGACGUUAUUUGAUCUGAGAUACCAAAUAUCCACGAGGAGAAUGUGCGAUGCGACCUCCAAGCCAAGAAAAGGCUUAGGGCGCGUCAGCGCCUUCAUAGCAAAUAAUUGAUGAAGGCGACACUCGAUCAGCGAUAUGGUAACGGAGUAAUCACCAGUCAGUUUGAUAUCAUCAACAUACAACAACAGAAUAGCACGUCCUCGAGGAUAAACUGAUACGAACAUGGCCGAAUCAUGAUCACUCCGAGCAAACCCUGCCUGGAUAACCACUGUGCUGAACUUCAAAAACCGACGCUAUCGGGGCUUGUUGAGACCAUAGAUCGCUUUGCGUAAAGGACAGACAAGAGAAGAAGUCAGAAGGGCAGGUUCUCUUUCAUCCGUCUUUUCUAGGUGCGCAUCUCUAUCUACUAAAAGUAGGGGUGGUUGCCAUAGAUAGAUUGGGUCAUUCGUAACCUGAGCAAUAACCGAUGCUACUACAGCAAUAACGGAAAUAACCGAUGCUACAGCAGAAACUACAGCUAUACGUGGCGGCCCCACACGCAGCUUUGUUUAACAAGCAUCACCCUUCCUUUCUUUUCAAAUGCUUCCUCAGUCAAUCAGCAGCUUAUUCGAUUCCUAUUCUUAUUAAACAUCUGAUAUAGAUGGUGGGAACAAUGAAGCAGAUUCUUCAUCUGUAGGUUGCAAUCCGUAUGAUUUCUUCUCGAUCUCCUGCUUGUGUUUCACCUCGCACCUAAGCAUCACGUUCCUAGGGACAGAGACAUCUGCGCUCUAAGGCAAUCAUAGUAUAGUAUAGUAUAGUAUAGUACUGCCAGCAUGGUUACAUCGUUCUGCGGGCAAGCUAAGCUUCAACUUAAAAGUCACCUGAUUUGGGCCAAAGGAGUAGGAACAGCUGCUGGGGAAGCACCAUUACCAUCUAUGGGAGGUUGAAUAGCUGCAUAAGUAGUAGUAGGAGCAUGGGCACUGGGAAAAGAUGAAAUCGAUCCAGCUCUGGUAACAAAGCAGUAGGCAAGGCGGAACCUCCUCUACUAAAAUACGAAUACGAAUACGAAUACCCUACUUCCGAGGAGAAAGGACAUCCCUCAAUCACGGGACAAUCCUCCACUCCAGGGCAAAGGUACUUCCAAAGCAGACAAGGUUCAUCUGCGCAUGAAAGGAAUGAAACAAAUUCAAUAGAUUCAAUAGGGUCAUCCCCACCGAGAUCGGUACCUAUCUAGAUCCCCAGCUUCGACAAGGCGUCCUCCUUCGCAUUUUGCGACCAUUCCCACGAGGACUACGAUUCGGAUUCUCCAAUUUCAUCCCCAAUUACACCUCUUAAGAGGAAGGGACGGCCCUCUAUCCGGUGUGGGUUCCUACGAAUUAUUGUAUGGUUUCGGAUCCUGGUCCCUCUGCCCUUGCUUUUUGUUAUUCCAUAGGGGUAUGGAUUGAAGUAAUCACUAAUCCAGGAAAGAUGGAUCUUUAGCUAGCUCUACGGCAAAGCCAAUACGCCAUGUAUCAAAACAAUAGGGAUAGGGGUAAUUGUAUACCACCUACGAAUAGGAAUAUCCUGGGUUUAGUAAUAAAUCGAAUUUCAUCAAUUCUAAGCACGGUAACGGCAGUGCUCCUAUCCAACGGCCGGGGAUCUAUUCGAUUUAUCAAUUUGCUAAUGCCGAAAAGCUUAGGUUGUUAUUUCAUCGUCUUGCGCUAAAAAGGCACCCUCCUAUUAUGCUAAGGCCAGGGACGGAUAACGGCAAAGCGGAACAGCAAUAGCGAAAGCAGGUACAGUAACGGCGCUAUCCCUAAGCGGCUAUGGCGAAUCAAAAUAGAUAAAUUUAGAGCGUUGCGAAUUUCCUUCUAAGGAAAGAUCCUACCAAUCACGGCUUCCUAGCUUAGGGCACCUUCCUUGCUACGAAAACGGAUUACUCUACGGGAUUCGGCUCCAAUUGAUCGGCCGAAGACACCUAUUGUUUCGGAUUUUAUAGUUGCCAUUGGAAAAAAAGGAUUGCGCUAGUCUUGCGUCGGAUAAACGGCUCCUCGGUGGAGUAACGGUUCUAAGGUAGCUAAAUACGCCGCUACUGUGUGGUACAGUACUUUACUUUUCUUCCAAGUUUUCUGCUCGUAACGAUUCCUUUGAGGAAAGGAGAGAGAUUCGAGUUGCUUUAACCCUUGGGGAGCAUAGUUCAGGAACGACUGAGUUCGAUCUGAUCAUUUGGUUCGGAAAAACAGAUACGAAUCUUUGAACGGAAGCCGAGUAAAGGCAGUUCAAAGCAAAGGACCUCUCCCUCUGACUAGGAUGGUAGCUAGCUUCACUCCAAAAAGAAAUGUAGUAAAUGUGGGGGCUAAGGUUUCACCGUCGGUAAGAUUGGGCUCGCUGAACCCGUCUCUCCCCCUGAUUGGGAUCUGAAUGGAAGGGUGGGUUAAAAAACCAUGGCCAGCCCCCCUCAAUAAAUAUCGCCAGUAGGUUACUGAUGGGAUGCUAGCUGCCGGUAUACAGGAAAACCGUGGUGCAGAGGACGAGCAAGAAGACUGUGCUAACACAUAUCCCUUCAAUUUAUUGGUUCUACAGAAGAUGUAUGAUAAAGAGCUGGCAUUAAGUCAUCCAACGCGCUCAGGCUUUGUAUUAUAAGAGGAAAGACUCUCGCCAGUAUAGAUUGAACGUAUGGCGCUUGCUUACAAGACAGCUACUGAAAAAGGCUACUUCUUCAAUCUGCUGAAUGCCCUAUUCCAUAUGAAGUCUAUCUUUCCCAAGCGUAUACUUUUGUUCUAUAAGCAAAUAAAGCAUACUUCUUUUGCGGAUCAAGCAGUCUUCUACCUUGGUGGGUAGCGGAGAAUCAAAGAAAGGAAUAACGCUAGCUAGCGUCGAUUAACUCACUUAACUAGAUGCGAUGCGCACAACCAAGAGGUAGGCGUGUUGCUCUCAGAGAUUCACUGAGUCUGGGGCUGGGGUCCUCUUUCUGCUCGUGCUGCUUGCUAAUCAAUCUACUAGUGCAAAUCCACCAGGGCUCUACUUUCUUCUAACUCUACAUGAGACAUGAGCAAAUGUGGGUCAGCUUCCUCAACUAUACUCUAACUUAGAUUCUCUAUUUGCGGAAAUCUAUUCCUUUCUUACUCAGGUGGUACUACUUGAUAAGCAACUCUCAUAUCUUGUCUUCUCUGUUCGAUGAUGCCUGCCGAGGGACUGACUCCUCUUCUCCUUAGCCUGCCGGUACAGCUCCUUCUGUUCUCGUGCAUAAGCUGAGUCUUUGCUUGGGUAGGGCUAUGGAAAUAGGUAAGAUACUAGAUAAGUCAACUCGAUAUUCCUUUCUUUUCUUUCUGAGGGAAGAGUUAAUGAAUGUCAGAAGCUUAUUGCCUUCUGGCUGGAAUAUAGGGAAAGUAAACAUAGGACCACAGAUGAGUACAUAUAGGCAUUGGCAUAGGUACAGUACAGUGGAGAUCAUUGAUUGGGGUCAAGUCUACCAGCACUCACCUAGAAUCUGUCAUAUUAGUUUAUGAAGUAAAGAAAGAAUGAGUUAAAGUAGGUGUACUUUUGACAUAUUCACAAAGAGUAUCAACCAAUAGGAAAGGAAUAGGCGGCUAGGAGUUUGUUGCUUGGGACGACUAUCAUCUAUCUGUCUUAGGUUAUGUAUUCCUUUAGUGAUUGGAAUAGGACGAGGAGUCUAACUAAGGAGUAUAAUGGAAUUGCUUGUCAACCAUAGGCUUCUUCUACGGAGCUUAGGAGAACUAGAAUCUGAGGAAAAGAAGAAAUGUCUAUCCUUGGGGAUAGAGCAAGGUCCUAUAGCGAGACAUUCUUUCUCUUCCGAAAUCGUAAUGGGUUAGAUAAGUUCCUGCCUCAACAGUCCGGAUUGAAGUCUGGUCAAGAGAAGAGGUUCGGUCAAGGGUGAAGGAGUCGAAUUAGAAUACCGUUGAGAUGACUAAGCACCCAUUCCAUGUCAGAGUUUUUUAAGAAAGCUCUAAGCCCAGUUGAAGCUUAAAGCAAAGAUAGGAUUGAGCUAGAAAAGGCUUUUUUGAAUGUAGGGCGAACCCCCCUCCCCUAGUCAUCGAGGAGGGGAGGUAGCUUAUUGACCAACUGUAUAGGGUAGGCAGGCUGAGUUCCCUUUCGCUUGAUGCAAUGUCAAUUCUAAAUCAAGCAAUUGAUGGAAUCAAAAGAGGGAACGAAAGUAAAUGAGAAAUUACUUUUCACUCGGAAUUCUUUAUUCAUUUGAAAAUGAGACUCUCACUCGCCUUUUUCUUUUCUUAUCCCCUAAUCUACUACUUCAAAGCAGUGUUUCUGCAGUGUUCCUAAGAUGAGCUAUGUCUGGUUUAGUGUCAACUAAUCUUUAACCCUUUGAUGGUAGAGGGGAGUAACUCGCUUUUAGCCCUCUACAACUGAAGUUCUCAUGUACUUAAAUAACAAACAAGAUUGAAUAGGCCACAAGGCCAGAGAAAAGGUAGGUUAAUUGUUCUAGGAUUGGUUGUCUCAUUGACAAGUGAUGGGAGUAUCAGGGUUUCGAUACCCAUGGCAACGUGGAACAAGCGAAAGAAAGAGCCAUGAAAGCCUAAACCUGAACUGCAGAUCCUAGAAGAAAGGUAGCGUAGUCUUGUGGAAAUAUGCCCAUAAGAAUUCCAAGAACAAUCAAAUAAGUAGUGAAUUCCCAUAAGGAAGAGAAGACACCCUAAACUCUAAAGUACUAACUAAACUAGAUCUAGAUAAAGUACUGACUAAACUAGAUAGGCCCUAGCCUUCGCUAGGUUAGGGUUGCGAUUGUGAUAAUCCGGGUCAGUCGAGGCUGGUAAAGUAACUAAGUUGCAAAGAAAACCUCAGAUAGACUAGCUUAGGAAAUGGUGAAGCUUUAGAAUUACCAAUGGAUAAACUGAUAUGGGACUGAAACCGAUUUCCAUAGUUCUGAGGCAUGGGAGAAGUGGAUUCAAUGGGGAUGAUGAUGGCCCGAGAUAAGAAUGGGAAGUUGAUCAAGAGUGCUGGCCGUGUUGAUGCCGUUGAGUUGCCAGAGAAGAGUUCAUUGCCCUAACGGGAAUUUGCAGAAAUUCUGCGAUACCUGAUACUUGAAACUCGAUCUAUUUCACCGUACUUCUACUAAUACUAAAGCUAAGCCUAAUAUUGCAAUGAAGCUAAGAAUGAGUCAGUUGUGCUACUGCUUCCAUUCCUCGCAUUCAGCUUGAAGAGCCAUAUUGAACAACUAUAAAGAGCAUCUACCACUGCUCGGAUUAGCCUCCCUCCUAUCAUUCUCAUAAGGAUUGGCUUCCGCUUACUUUAGGUCUUGACUUCCUAUCGGGAUAGACAGCUCAGAUUACAUGCUUUAGAUUGAAGCUACUGCUCCUCUUUCUUUCAUUAUCUCUUAUUCUGCAUCCUAUCCACCAUAGAAUACUCUCUUCCAGUCCUUUGAUCAUAUAGCCAUCCAUCUUUCAUCAAUGAAAUUGUUCCGUAUGGGUAGCAAAUAAACAUAUCAGAAGAGCCAACCCGAAAGCACUUGCUUCAAAGAAGAAGCUGUUACCAAGAAAUUCCUGUUUCAAGUCUGUAUAUCUCGAUAGAACCAAUUCCAAUCCAGGUAGUGUGAACAGAGGAUGUGGAAGUUCUGUUUCCUUGCCUUGGCUCUAGAAGUCAAGUCCUGUCGGCGGACAUAAGACGGAACCCCGGUGGUUUGAAGGCACGUAGCCACUGUGUCUAAGAUUGAGCAGGCGGGUACGGUUUCGGAAAUGACAUAUUGAAUAGGUCUGUAUACCCUCAAGGGAGUUCGUUCCAUAGAGAUCUGCCUUCUAAAAAGCUUUGCUCAUUCUGCAAACUACUCCCACCAGUCACUGAGCUAGAGACUGGCACGAGAUGUUGUGUUGGUUUAUUAGAACCAUACCAAGUUCCUAAGAUUACAAGAUUCAUAACUAGCGUGAUCAACGAGACCUCCUCGACAUUAUAAGGUUCUCAAUCAGUUCAGUAAAGUACGAGCGCCAGGAUAGAUUCCUUCUCACUAAUAAGCUCCUGCGGCCAGAAAACUCAUUUUUGCGGGAUUGUUAACCCCUUUCUGAACCAACCUUUGGAAAGCUCUUCGCAGCAUGGAAAUAUUCACCCGAGACUGAAAUGGAGGCAUAAGUAGGCCAGCUUACACUAAAUGCUCCGGAUAUUCUUAUAUCAAUCCUAAAAACGAACUGUUGAUGUGUAAGCCAACACCUUGUGAACGUCGUAUACUCGGUAGUGACAGUUGGAAAGCUAGCAAGCAAGUCAAUAAAAUAGGAAUGCCCCUUCCAACCUCAAAAACCUUUGAAAGCUGGUGAAUUACAUCUAGCUAGCCGGGAAAGCAUUCCCCUCCUACGACUAGGAUAGUGCUAUUAGUAAGUAUUCGUCCCUCCGCUAACUAAACAGCUCACAGUUCUCUAUCAGUCCCUAAGCCUAUGCCUUCUUCUGUCAAUCUUGUACUUACUGUGAAGUACAGCAAGGCAAGAAGAUUCCCAAUAAAGUCCAAUGCGUCCUCUCAUGCGUGACAUACAUUCCAAGCCCAGACAUGUUGUACCUUAGGGCUGAACAACUAGUAAUGCAAUCAGACUCUUGAGCCCAGUUCCUAGUAAAUGCUUUAGGCCCGGGACCUAAACAAGAUGCCCAAAUAAGAACAUCCACGCCCAUACUUUAUAUAUAUUAUAUAUAUAUAGUGGAAAAAGCCCAUACUUUAGAGUUACUGCUUCAGGAUAGCUAUUCCUCUCCGACUUACUUUUCUGAUCUGAGAUAGGGUUACCCCGGUACUAUCAAUAGCGAAGUAACUGAUUGCUUGGGAGCAUUUGUUGGCAUGUCAUAGAGAGCCAAUCAGAGAGUGCAAGUACGAGUUCAAUUUUCCAUGUGAUGAGUAGCGGCGGUAUCACAUAAAGAGACAGGCUCCACAAGAACAUUCGUUCCUAGGUGCAUGACUUGGAGGGGAGCUCCUUCUUGCUAAGAGUGCCAGUGGAUUCUCCUCCUAUUCCUCGACUCUUUAUUAAGGAGACAGACCGGUAAUCUCGCUUCUGAUAAAAGAUCGGCUAUUCCCCUAAGAAAGCAAAGGGGUAUUCUUCCUUCAUAGAUUCCCGAUGCCGAGCUACUCUUGAUAGGCUUUCCAAGACCAAGUUUAUAGAAUGAUCCCUUGCACAUUGAGCAAGACAGUGUAUUCUUUAGGUUGGAGUAAGAUCAAUGGAGCCGAAAGUAAAGCAUCGGUAGUGAGGCUUUCCUCCAUGAGGAAUUAAUCCUUUGGUCGUCAAUGGGAACUUUAAGACGAGAGCCAAUGUGUCCAAACUUCCGGCUGAAUUGUUGCUUUCUAGUGGCCGACCAUCCUUUCCAGACCUUCUCUAGAGCUCUUCAAUCCUUCCUCCUAAGAUAAGAUAAGAUAAGAUCCAGGCUAACUUUUUCAAGCAAUGGAAUGACUGGUAGGCGAUCUCAGGCUCGCUCGUCGUUGGGUAGUUUCCGAUAGUUCUAUCACCAUUCCAGGCUCUUCGCAUAUAGAGAACUCGAAGGUGGUCGAUGUAAUAGAGCAGGCCUGAGGCCAUUACGUACUUUCUUUGUUUAAGUUAUUAUUGAGAGGGUCUUUCAAUGAUAGCUAUACACAAUGAGCGCUGUUUUCUACAUGCGAGAUGAGAGCGGAUAAGGCUAAAAAGAGAAAAAGCAGGGCUUGGCUUAUUCUAUUCAUCUGCACCACCUGACAGAGAUUCUUUCACAGCCUCGUUCAGCUAGUAGAAUUCUUUAUAGAUCUCGUUCUUUUCACUUUCUGGGCUGAGACCGUCCAAUUUCAUUCUUGCCUGGGAUCGGAACUCACACUCGAUCCCUACUCUUUCCUCGUACUUCACAGGUUUUCGAGGCCGAGGGUGAACUGGACUCGCAUUCACUUGCUGGGAAAAAGAGAGUGGAUCAGGCUACGACUGAGGCUGAGGAUAGGUCACAGGACGGAUGAGGUAAAGUAUUCCAAAACGGAGGAUUCCAACCCGAGGAAGUAGGUCAACCACCUGCUCCGUGGAAGUAGUUAGGGGAUAAGCCCAAGGAGGAUAGGCCUAUGGGAUUUCCACAAUGAGUCCUAGUACCAGGUAGGUUAAGGCGUAAUAAGUCAAAGAGGUCUUAGCGGAACUCGAUAAAAAGGAGGGAUGUGACUCAUCAAAGGAAGUUGCCGACUCGGGUAGGUAAGCAAGAAAGUAGACUCCUUCAUCGGCCAGGGUACUCCUGAAAUCUAUCUCAGUAGGGAAAAGAGGAGUUAUGGUAUAGAGAAUUCUGACCUAAAUGGAUGCAUUGAUUAGGGUCUUUGUCCCGCAUCCUUACGAAUACAAGAGUGGUUUUUUUUGGGUAUAGCAGGACUUGAACCUGCGACCAUUAGGUUAAAAGCCCAAUGCUCUACCAACUGAGCUAUACACCCUAUUUUACAAGAAGGCUUGGUGCGGAAAAGAAAAGAGGGUGGCCUGGCCCCUUUUCUUCUUAUCAUAUCACAAGGGCGCGGCUCUGUAUGGGGCUCGUACUGCGGAGCAAGUCUGGGAGUCCUUUCCACUCAUUGAGGAUUCUAUCUAAAAAAGAAGGUCAACGGGGGAGACUACAGUAGCUCGAACUCAGACUAUCUACGAAAAAGCUAAAACUCCCUUGUCUUCAACUAUGAACUUACAUCUAUCGAUAACACGGGCUUCUUAGGUCAAUCACAUCCCCAGGAACUUCUAACUGGCCUAGCAAGGACGGGCAUCUUUCAUCAAUUGAUUCGAUUUAACGAGAGGCUCGGAGAUGGUAUACGUAGAAUAGGGGAAAGUAAAGACAAACUUCGGUCAAUUUACGUUUUCAAAACUACAGCUAUCUUGCCUAGAGUCCCAGAGCUUAACGGAACUCUUGUUUACUAUAAGAAUAAGAAUAAGAAUAAGAGCCCACCGCUUUAGAAGUGCUUUCCUCUCUCUUUCUUUCGAACCAUAAACUCCGAAGCGGUUUCACUUUACCAUACUGGAGAAGGGCUUCACUCGCGCCUUGGGGACUGAACUAGAGUACAGAACUAGCUUCCUCUGUACAUAUUGUUUUCGGGUAAUAAUACUAUCAUUGAGAAAGAAUAGAUAACGACUAUCAGGCAUAUGACUGAUUUCUAUAUGGGUGUGGGCUCAUACUCUCAUUUUAUCCUUGCUCGCGGAAUACGUCACUUAAAAUAAGCUAUUGACGUCUUAGUUCCGACCUUGUCUCCUUUCUUUCUUUUGUUCACCGGUGCAAGGCAAGGGCGGAGCUCUCUUAUGUUCAUCUUCCACGCCUGUCUGCAUCCCAAGCACUAAAUGAGUGAAAUCCAAUCCCGGAAAAAGGCUCUCUUGCAUCUUUUGCUUCCCCACCCGGCCUCUAUUCUAGAUUCACCGUCUUCGGAUGCAUCAGUUUAUUAUGCUUAUGCCUAAUCUUAAUACUGGCUAGUUACUUCAAUUACCUUACCCCUCCUUUUAAGGAGGUUUCAGAGCACCCAGUCACAGCUCGUCACAAGAAAUGAUGGUCGAGUCCCCGUGCAUGAAGUCAGUGGAUUCGAGUGAACUGACCGUACUACAAAUCGACAUACUUGAGGAAGCUUCUUACUAAACCAAAGAAAGGGCAGCUCCAGUUGUGUUGUCGAUUCCCUUCUCCCGAGAGCUUUCACACUAUACUUCUACGAGUACGAGAAGGUUUUAUUGAAAACGUUCGAAAACCAUAGGGAAAGUAACAAAUCUUUCUUGGCACGUGCCCCUGCUCCUGGUCUUCGAACUAGUCAUUAAUGGUCGGCAACAUAGGUACCCUUUUUCGGUAUGCGUUGCGAACACUUUCAUUUUUAGCGUCUCAUCUUCUCUGGAGAAGCUCAAAUCGAACGGAUAGAGCAGAUGGUCCAACUACAGAACUUCUUCUUUUUCAUUACUUCCAUGGUCGUGCCCCGUGGCACGGCAGCACCCGUACUAUUGAAAUGGUUCGUCAGUAGAGAUGUUCCCACUGGUGCCUCUUCUUCCAAUGGUACUAUAAUUCCUAUUCCUAUCUCUUUAUUCCCUUUUUUGGUCUAUCUACAUUCAAGGAAAUUCAUACGCUCCAUGGACAGAGCAAAAAGUGGAGUGUUGGUCAAAGCAAGCCGCCCUAUUCUAUUACCAGACAAAAUUGGGAGAAGCUCAUCCGCUAGAAAUGCUUUAUUUCGUUUCGUUCCCGUUCUUCAUUUCCUUAUUAUCGAAUCCAUGGGGGACUUGUCAUAUUUAGAAUCUUUCUGCGGUCUGCUCUGUUUACAAUUCUUUCGUACUCUCUUCUCUUUACCACGCGAUAGGUCAGCGAAGCGUGAGCGGGCGCUCCGAAGUAAAGGCCAAACACUUCGGCCUAAGGGGAAUGAGCAACAAAAUGACAAGAUGAGGUGCCCCGGGCACCCCCAUAUAGAAAGAAGGGUCGAAGGUUUUGGGCCUGUAGCUUUCCCCGCCCCCCCCUCGUCGAGUGGUGCUUGUUUGGGGGGUGUGCCACCUGAAAUCGGGCUUGAAGCUCUCGCCUUACCAACGAGCCGACUGUUGAUGGCUGUUGGUCACGACUACUACAAAAAAGUGAAGAUGAAUCUUUCUAUUUCACAUGGAGGAGUGUGCAUCUUUAUGUUGGGUGUUCUUCUGUCGUGCGACCCGAUGGCUUAUGUGCGACCUGUGGCCCACGCCUCCUAUUCUAUUUGUUCAGGGCGGGCGGCGUGAACUCUGAUUCGAUCCGGGUAUUCAAUCCCGCCGCUGAGAUGCUCAGUUGACUCCUUAACCUUGAUAGGAAGAUGGCUUAUUCCUAAAUUCGUGCAUAAGGGUAAGGAACUUUGGAUGAAUUAAUGCGAAUGGGUGUAAGCCUCGCAGCUCGGAAACACCCAGUGCUGACCACACUGAGAGACACGAAAGCGCAGGUAAUGCCAGUUGGCGAAGUGGCGUUAAGCAUCCCUAGCGGUACGCAAAGAGAGGUCGUGAUGAUAUCAUCUACGUCCGUACCGCUCCUCGUGGAGUAGAUCCCGCAUCCAACCAACCCUUUUUUUACCAGGGAACGGGAGAAUUCCCACUACCGCAGGCAGGCCAGCCGGGCCGUGAGCGCGGUGGGAACGGGCUUCCCAAAAAGCGAGCCCCGGCCCGGGUCAGCAUAGAAUGGGGGGGGGGACGGCCCUAAUGUUGUGUUGGCCGGGUUGCGGGCGGAUAAAAGCGGACGUGGGGACUCGGGUCGGGGCACAGCGUAACUAAGAUAAGAGAGCCAUUCCAUUUAGUGCGAGACAGAAUGGGCGGGCACAAGCGGUCUGGUGUCCGAGCCGAUUGGUCAGACGACGACUACUGCACAUAUUAUAUUAGCCGCCUAUCCCGGAAUGGACUGGGAUGGAAACGCGAAGCAACAAGCAAGGGAUGAGCGCUUUGUUGCUAAAGCGCAUACGUUUUCUUGGUUUGUUUUUUGGGGGUGGGGCAAUAAGCUUGCUUCUUCACAAGCUUAUCCCCGCCCCCUUUCCUGUCCGUCCCGACCGGCAGCAGUUGGGUCUCCCCAUCUCUCCUCAACUUCCCCGGUCUUCGGCCCGAGCUGUAUGAGGCAGAAACUCGUCCCACGUACGGUUCGGAGGCCGAGCCCCACCCCUGCAAUAAUGGUGCAGCUUAGGUCAACUAAUACGAAUAAGAUACAGUUCACUCAACGAUUGCCUUUGGGUCCCGAACUCCAUAUGGGGAAGGAACGUUGUUGUUUGCGAGGUCUCGAUCAUUUACAUGGACCCACUUCUCAUUCCAUUUGUGGGAAUUUUAUGAUUUAUAAACCGUCCCCAACGAGCGAAAGGUUCAUGUUUGAACAUGAUGAAUCACUUCGUGCCGACCUGUUGCCCAUAAACUUUCCUGCCUCAUAUGAGAAUGGAAAACUGGAAGAUUUUCUGAUGAAGAAUCACGAACAUAAGAAUUUCUGGUUUAGCAUGUUCCCAGAAAGAAGAUACUACUGGUCGCGAGAAACGAGGAGCACGACUGAAGUGGCUAUACAUACAAAUCCAUUGACGGAUCUAUAUGCUCCGAUUGGAACUGGAAGUUCCAGAACUGGCGGCUGGUAUACCACCAUAAUGAAAUUGCCUUUUAUUUUUAGUAUUCGGAUAGGAUUUCUGUUGGCUUCAUCGGGAGGCUCGCGUAGUUUGUUACGUCAACUCCAAAAGGAUAAGUUGCAUUGGAAUCGAGAAAGUUUCGUUCAUAAUUGCAUAAAAGGAGUCAAAAUAGUGGCUGCGGCGCGUCGAGGGUUGAUAUCGAAUAACCUUUCGAGCCUUCCCCAAUGGAUCUCUAUCCUCCUUUGAAACCAGUAGAAGUUCACUGACCAUCCCUGUCAAACAUAACCCAAGGUAGGAUCGAGAGGAGAAGAAUAGGACUCUUGCUAGUAUCAUAACCUCUCGAUGGGAGAAUGAAACCAUUAGAUUAGUGGAAAGAAGAAAGAAUGGGAAGAAAGCAGCCAUGGGCAAGCUUUAAUUAAUAUAAAUAAGUAGGAGUUACAGCCUUUAAAUUAGAGUGAAACGAGCCUUUGACGUAGUCAGAAAUUCUACUGCCCUUUCUCUUCUUUCUUUUUUAUUUUUUAUUCUAGUUUUUUAUACUAUACGUAUAAUCACCUUUCCGGGGAAGGGGUAACAUAGACGGAGGCACAUGUAGACAGAUACAGACUUUUGAAAUCUUUUGCCUAAGCGAAGUAGAUAAGUAUGAGGGAAGAAGUAUUUUAUUGUCCAGCAUGAUCGGUUUCAUAAGUCCAGUUGUGCCAGAAGCUAGAGUUGCCUUUAUUAGUGGAUAAGGGUGGGUUAGGCAUGACAUUCUUAAUCGUAGACAAGGCGCGCUGCGGAAGAGCUUGAUUGCUAACUAAUUGCUUGCUUUUAACCAGUGACUGACUUACACGGCUACUACUUUCCUGAGUACCGCUUCAGAAUCGUUCCUACUUUCCUUUUUAAAGGUCUUCCUCUCUCUACUAGGAUUGACUCGCUUAGAAGUCGAGGGGGUCCCAUUUCCAUUCCUUUGCCAAAGACCCUAACGACAGCUUGAACUACCUCAAAGAUUUGUCUCAUUGAUCCGAAAAGAAAGGAAAGAAGAGGAUUCCUGGGAAGGAUAGAGUAUAUCAGCAGGUUCAUCGCACAGCUCACUCCAAAAAGGAUUUGAGUGGAAGGUUGAGCGCCCCUUAACGUUUAGAAGUAUCCUUUUUUCAACGGUUAGAAACCUUUCUAUUCUAAGACGGCUAGGCUAAGUCGAGGGCAGACACAACAGGUCACGAAGAGCUAGAGGAUAUAGAAUUCCUAUUUACCGGGAAGAAAAGCGGAAGGAAACAUCGGCUCUUCCGAGAUCUUAUGUAAGGAAUACUAGUUCUCUAAAAAGUAGAGCUAAAAGAUCUUCAAGAAAUGUCUUUCCCGCGGAAGACUCUAACUCCUCAUAGCAUUACGCUAAUCCGCAAAUAUCGAAUGAUGCUUCGACAGAUUCAGUCAUCCAUUCAGCUUUGAAAUCGGAGACAAGGAAAACUACUUCAUAGAAAUAGAAAUAGAAGCGCCGCGGAUCAAUAUAGAGAUGCGAACCAAUAUCCUUUUCCUGGUGGACUCUGAAGUACUCGUCUUUUGCACAAGGCCUCGUGUCAAAUAACAUCCAACCACGUCCACGUCCUCCUACCUCGCCCAUUUGCGGAGAUCAUCUACAUUUUGCUUCGUGUCGAGCUCUAAUCCAAACGUUUUCCUUCGGGAGGGCAUUGCUGCUUUCUUUCUGUAGUGAGGCUGGCUCUUAAAAAUGAGCUAAACUCUGAUAGAUUUAAAGGUAAAUUUAGGUAUUCUUAUCUUAUAUGUAUCGAGUGAUUGUGAAGCGCAUUCAACGCGCUAGAUAUGAACAAGGCUUGUUAGCAUUGGCACGUGCAUAUGUUGGGUAUGAUAUUUACUUUCCAGCAUUGAUUUAUUUUAGAGGGCGCAUCUAUCGUGCAGGAAUACUACACUUUCACGAGCGGGACUUUGCUAAAUGUCUAAUAUCUUUUCCUAUUGGUAGUGGUGAUGUUAAGUUCACAGGAAAAGAAGACAAGGAAGAAGCUACUACUUAUAUGAUUGAGCAAGCUGUGGGUUUCCAUCAUCAUUUGGCUUUGCCCUUCCUCCUCGUUUUUCUUUGAGAUUGGCAAUCUUAUCCACUUUUUUACUUUGCUCCACACAGAUGAAGGCAAGCUUGUCUUCGCUCUAUCUUACCAGGAAAGUAGGAAAUACACACCCCUGUUGGUUAAAGCAGACUCGUAUGCCUAUUCUGAUGCGGAGGGAUCAGCCACCUCUUUCUGUUCGAAAGAUUCCAGACCUGACUUAAAGCCCUCUUUCACAAGACAUUUGGUUGAUCAGGAUUUGGUAAACCUAGAGAUCUGAUUCUGGGAUAGGGUAAAUCUGUUCUUUCUGCUUCUGCCUAUGCUUGUCUUUUAGCAUUCGCCUAUGCGGAUUGAGAUAGAUAUUGAUAUCUAUCUGGGCGAAAGAGCACAAAAGGGAGUGGUUUGGCCGCUAAGAACUUAACUCCUAGGCGAUGGAAAUAUAGAAUCUAUGUAUGGCUCAGCCAUCUCUUCUUGAACUUGCUGUGGAACUUCUCUAUCUUUGUCAUUAAAGGCUAUGUAUCCCUUUCCCUCAUUAGUACUCAAGCACUAGAACCGCUUACUGAUUCAACGACGGUUACUGAUAUGCCAUGUUGAUCGUCAUUUCUCGUUGAAUGGUUCUCCCUCCUGUAGCUCUGUGGGCAUUCAAACCAGAGUUUAUGCGGUUGGCUAUGUCCCUUCUAGAACUGCUGUUUUUAGCAAUUGACAGAAAAAGUUCCGUAAUCGUCCUAUUUUUUCGUCCUUGUGGAAGCGAGAAAUGCGUAAUUAAUAAAUAUAGUGAUGUGAUGAUUCCAUGAAUCUCAGAAAAGGUAGGGGUCAAGGACCUUAUGGGACUGCAAUCGUGCCUGCCAAUUGGGGAAGGACGCGGGCCUGGCAACCGCUCGGCUCUAGUAAGGGAAACAGGUAUGUCUCACAUCAUUGCUCGAAGACUGGAAAAACAGCAAGUUAGCUCAGUUGGGUAGAGUGCUGGUCUGUCACGCCAGAAGUCGCGGGUUCGAACCCCGUUUUCCCCGCACGAUCUGAAACUAAUAGAAUAGAAGGGGCCAUAAACAGGAGAGUCUUGACCAAUUCAUUUGGUGUAGUUGAAAUAACGGAAUUGGAAGUUGUUCGGUCAAGUAUAGGAAAUUAAUAUAAGAAUGAAUAACUUUCUCAAUGGUUUAUUUUUUGUCUUUUAUUUAUCUUAAUAUUCAUUCCAUUCAGGCCAUUCGCAAGCAAGCACGAAAAAGCUUCUAUUUCUAAACGGAAACGCCCAGCCCAAUACAUCGAAACUCAUUACCCAUGGGCAAAGAAAGCCAGUCGAGAAAAAAAAAGAAAACAAACAUGGUUUAGCGGAUUCGGAAUUGUAACCAAGCAUCCUGGGUUCUAUACCCGAUUCAACACUAGAGCAUGCAGCCGAUCCUGGAUACAGAACUAUAGAAAGUGUGCAGUGAGGGAUCUUUAUUGGUAGCCAGUCUUUCACUUCCGCCUCUCCACUCCCAUGCCUUUCUUGGUCGGACCAACCCAACCGGCGAUUUCCGACAAGUCUUUCUGCUUAGAGCAAGAAGCGGAACAAAAAUCAAGCUUUCUUUAUUUUCAUUUAUGGAUAACCAAUCCAUUUUCAAAUAUAGUUGGGAGAUUUUACCCAAGAAAUGGGUACAUAAAAUGAAAAGAUCGGAACAUGGGAAUAGAUCUUAUACCAAUACUGACUACCCAUUUCCAUUGUUGUGCUUUCUAAAAUGGCAUACCUAUACAAGGGUUCAAGUUUCGAUCGAUAUUUGCGGAGUGGAUCAUCCCUCUCGAAAACGCAGAUUUGAAGUUGUCCAUAAUUUACUGAGUACUCGGUAUAACUCACGCAUUCGUGUACAAACAAGUGCGGACGAAGUAACACGAAUAUCUCCGGUAGUCAGUCCAUUUCCAUCAGCCGGCCGGUGGGAGCGAGAAGUAUGGGAUAUGUCUGGUGUUUCUUCCAUCAAUCAUCCGGAUUUACGCCGUAUAUCAACUGAUUAUGGUUUCGAGGGUCAUCCAUUACGAAAAGACUUUCCUCUGAGUGGAUAUGUGGAAGUACGCUAUGAUGAUCCAGAGAAACGUGUGGUUUCUGAACCCAUUGAGAUGACCCAAGAAUUUCGCUAUUUUGAUUUUGCUAGUCCUUGGGAACAGCGUAGCGACGGAUAAUUCCGAAUCUACAUAGGUCUAGUCCAGGGGAGGGGACAAAUCAAUAGGAAAUGCUAUUUGCUUCUUAAUCUUAAGACUUAAGAUAAGAAGAAGAACUUUUUAAAAAUGAAAGAGUCGGAUAUCAUAUCAUUUCUUCAAAUAAGGAAGAAGAAGUGUUAUCGAAGGAUUUCCUUCCAUUCUUCCUAGUAUGGAAGAAGUCAAGAAAAAGUACUGCGUCUCGAUCUAUACGAAAGGGCACAGGUUUUUUCUUUUGGUUUCAUUGAUAGCAGAAGAGUACGCUAGCUAGCGGAGCCUGAAAACGCUUGCUUGCGCCCCACCCCUACGCUACGGAAACUAUUGCCUAUGCUUGCUGCUCGCUCAGUGUCAGUAGAAGGGAAGAAAAGAUGGUCACUCCUUUUAGGAACAUGGCGAGCCUUACUUACGACUGUUGCACUUCACUCGCAGCUCGUUCAUUCACUUGCUCAUGAACUCGCAGCUUCGCCAGAAGCGACUAGUCGCCUCCUUUCCUCCGCCGAAAGAUGCUUAGCUUAGCCAGACGAAGGAGGGGAGCUGGGGAAGGCCGACGAUGGCAAUGAGGGGGAAGCUGUCGUAGAAGCUUUGCCCCUUGCUUUACAUAAAUUGUUAUGAACUUACUAAAUGACCUUAUUUAUUCUCCCGGAACGCUAGCAAAUCUAAUAGUUCCAUCUGCUCUUCUUAACUUAACUUAAGAAUAAGAACGAAGGCCGCCAUCCUUCUUAUUCAGGAACCCUUUGUUUGAGGAGGGCGUAUCCCAGGGAAGGGGAGAGUGGCCGAGCGGUCAAAAGCGACAGACUGUAAAUCUGUUGAAGGUUUUCUACGUAGGUUCGAAUCCUGCCUCUCCCACUUGUUGUAGACUUAAGAGAAGAGAAAGUAGGCGGAAGCCUAGGAGGGCCAACCGAGCGAAGCUCUUUCUUUUUUUGGCCGUGCCGUGAAGUGCAAUUUUAUCGUAUGCGUUUUAGAGAGGUUGUCGAAAAAGACGAUCUAUAGAGAUUCCCCAUCUAUAUCCAAUCGAGAAUAGAAGCGAGUCCAGUUAGUACGGACUUGGGGAAGAGUGGUGGAGCAACUAUUGGUUGGUCGGAGAGGGCGAAGAAAACAUGACUCUGGUGGGCGUAAAAGAGCAAAACCUUAACGAUGUGUGAGCGUUAGCGAGUCUGUCCUUUCUUUCUAUCUAGCUGGUACCAACAAAACAAGUCUGUUCUAGCUUUCUCGUGGACAAGAUGGCAAAAAUUCAUCUUUCCUUUGAUUUCUUGGUGGUACAGACGGCCGAGCUCCUGCGAGGGGUAGGGUAGAUGAGUACCGAGCGGAAGAAGAAACCGGAUUGAUUGAGAAAGCAGACCGUCCAGAAGCAAGGUUAGGAUACCGUCCACCCGAAGAGUACGGGGAUGGAGGGAGGAAAGUGGGAAUAAACCGUCUGUCAGGUAGGACUGGUGGUAGAGAGGGUAUAGAUGGUAGAUCAACUCUGUUUAUGGUGGGGGAAAAGAAACUCUUCUGAUCGGACAGGAGUCGAAUUAGCCCUCUUUCUAUCGCUACGCCCGUUUUGUGCCGUCUAUUUUCUUUGGUAACUCAAUUUAAUUUCUUUUCAGAAACCUAAUAAGCCAUGCCUGCAACUAGUUAUUAAGCAAGGGUAGUCAACUCCACUCUUUUCGCCAGAAGUCUUAUUUUUAAGAUGGAAAAGAAGGACAGAUAUAUCUUGACUAGUACAUCCGCCUUGCCAUCCAAAUCAUUAAUCUAUUUAUUUUAUUAGUAUUCUGCGUGGAUAUCCCGACCUUGUUAAGGAUAGAGGUAGGGGUAGGUGUUGGGCAUGCGGAGACUUAAGACCUUCGUAGGCAAUCAGGUAUGGCUUUGGUUAAGUGAAUUUACGACUCCAUCUUCACCAGUAGCCAAGGUAGGCAUAAUACGCGUGAGCUCUUUCAAGUCUUUCGUGCGGGUAUACGUUGAGCUAGUCCUCGUACUCCUUUUCUUAGCUCUUUUAGAAAGAAUCUUAUUUUUCAUCGUGUCAGGUCCUGGAUGUAGACUCGGCUAUGGUAGGAUCGACCUAAUUGUGAUCAUUCUCCGCUUCGUUCGCUGAUCUCUUGCUAUUGCUUUUUCUCUCUAGCCUUGUCAGGCUGGGCCUAGGGUUUCCAUUCCUAAGGCUUUUUCUGUUUCAAAGUCCGACUGCUAGAAUUCUUAUAAUGAAAGUCUUCCUAGCACGGACUAUGGCUGCUUAUUAAUUAAGUAAGGGAAAACAUCUUACCAUAGGAUCGAUCAUAAGGCCUAGGUCUUUCUUCAAAGAUAAGUACUGACCUUUCCUACUGUGUCAAAGCACUUUUGCUAAGCCUCACGCUUAAGCAAGUAUUUCAUCUGCAUAAAGGAGGAAGUAACUUACCCUUGAACAAUCGCCUGCUCUAGCAUAUUGGAAAAGGCGUGCAUAGGUUGACUAGUCUAAAAAGAGAGGCUUCCUUAUAAGGGCAUUGUCGCUCGCUCGGAUUCAUUUUCCAGGUCCUACAUGUUCUAGGACUAUAGAUGAUCCAACAUGCCUAUAGUUUUCAUUAUUGUUUUAUGCUUUAGCCUCCUUUUAUAAGCACUUACUUGGCCCAUGCGAGUCGAUUUCAAGAUGUCAACUUUGACUAUCUUUCUCUUCUUACUUUACUUAUCCCUUACAUUACUUUACCUAGUAACUUUGAAAUAGGCAUAUCUUGUCUACCUUCCAUAUACCCUAGCAUUUCUACUAGUUGUUUUCUUGCAUAUAUCCAACCUGAAAUACCAUUGCUUCUUGUAGGUUUUUACUUCUACUUUCUUGACUAUAAUUACCUAUACUUGCCAUCCCGUCUUUCUAUUCCUUUUGAAAGUAAACUUGUGACCCUUCGAAGCUAUGAAAAGACCUAUUAUGUAUAGAGCUUGACAUGCCAACUACUAUAGCUAUAGUAAGUACUUCUAGCUAUUCCUACUUGUUUUUUUCCUACUUGACUAGUGCUGACUUACUUCUUUGCCUAUGAGAAUUCUUAUUAUUCUCCAAACUGUGGUAUCUGAAAUGACCCACUUUCCUGAGCAAAAGAAAGCUUACUACAGCACGGUCUUACGUCCAGGAAUGGAACAUUCCAUCUCUUCUUGUCCACUGGUAUAGAAAGAAUAUGCAUUUUCUUGAUGUUUCAAACUAGGACUUUGGAUUUCUCCUAUAUUAAGUUGUUGGGUACGAAGGAGCUUAUGUUGCGUAUAUAGAUAUUUCCUUAUUAUUAAGUUGUUGAGCAGGAAGCAGAAGAACUUUUCUUCUAUAUUCGAUUCGCUAUUUGGCACAAGGCGAGGAGGAAAGAAUAGAAGAAGCAUCUGACUCUUUCAUGCAUACUCCACCUGGAUGAUAUAGAUCAUACUAUUAGGUAGUCUCCGAAUCAGUGAUCUGUCUUUGAUGACAUCUAUCUGGUACCACGCAUGAAGCUUGCUUCGUUCUGGUUUUUUCUGGUGUGUGAAACAUUAUAGGAUGGGGCGAGCCCCAGAAAGAAAUCCUGGGCAGUGGUUUACUUGAUUUUCUAAGAACUAAGACUGGCGAAGGGAAAGGAUGGUAAAGAUAUUGAAGUACUCACCAAAAACUAGGAUGAACCGACAGCUUCGAAAAAAGAAGAAGAUUAACUUCCCCUACUACUUACUACUCGACGAUUCGACCAUUCAUGGUUGGUGUGGCUCCUAUUCCUCGAUAUGCCGGACCUUCUUCUACACUACCACAAGUUCGUAGCUUGCAAACUCCCGAUUUGCCCAUUAUUUAAUCGCGCCUUUGCUUUGAAAAAAGGUGCUUUCACCACAGCACAGACAUGCCAGUAACUGACGAAUUGGAUGCUCCAGCAGUAGUUCCAGUUCCGAAGGGAAAAAAAAAGGGAAAGUCCCGCUUGUCAACCAUGCCUGAGCCCAAAGGAAAAGCAGUACCAAUCCGCUUCAAAGCUUCAGUCCUAGCUAGCCUAUCUUCGACGUCAGAACCAAUUUCUUCAAUUCAAAAGCUUUCUUCAGCUCGCCCUUGUGCUUACGCCAGCCUUUGUUCACUUGUCUCGGGCUUACUUCUAGACUUGGAUGGACUUCGAUCUUCAUCUUUAGUAAUACCUAACGUUGCUAGGGUCUUCCAUGCUUAUAAAGUAUUACUAAAAAGAAUCUUUUUUCCUAGUGUUUAACUUUUUCUCAUUCUAUUUAUACAACCCAUUUUCCUUGAUACUGGAAUCGAGCUACUUCCAUUUUUUUAGGUAAAGAUCAGGCGGGAAAGCUUACACCACCCAUAUUCUUCUUUAUGUGGCUGACCUAUUUGUUCACUUUUCACAAAUCAUGUAGCAAUUUCGAAAGAGAGAUCAGGAUCAGAGCAAAGAAGCUGCGAAAUGAGGGGAGGAGACUCUGCCUCCAUAGUAUAAGUUGCUAUCCACUUAUGCUUGGUUUGUGCUUUACCACGAAAUCUUGCCUCUCACCAUCAUGAAAGACAGAUGAUGAUGUCGAUUUCUUACUGUCGAGACAGCCUGUCCGAAUCCAAAUCAUUCGACUUCCUCCUUUGCAGUGGCGAGGUCGUUGAUUCCUAUAAAUCAAGAUGUUUUGUUGCCUGCUUCUUUUUAUGGGCCUUCUCUCUUGGAUGGUAUUAUCCACUUGGUAUAUUGUGAAAGUCUCUACAAAGACGAAAGGGCCCCAUGCCUUCUUUGAAAACGAUAUCCCUCUUCAACGCUUCCACUAGCCCUAGACUCGGAAUACUCUGCUUAAGAGAUCCCCCUCUCCGGCCAGAGAGGAUUUGAGUACAACAUUGAUUGCGGAAGAUCUUUGUUCCUAUUAUUUUUAAGCCUAACUAGGCGCGCAGCGGUGAGUGCGAGCUGCUUUCCAGAAAUGCUGGAAAAGAGCCAGUAACGCUAUCAGUGAAUAGAGCUGGUGUAAAGUCCAGCUAAAGUACCAUACAGCCCCACAGGUAAAGAGUAUGAGUGGAGGGAAGUGUUCUGCUCUUACAGGUACUACGGAACUAGUUCCAAAGAACUGCUAGUGAGGAAUGAAAGAGUUUCUAGUGAUAGGUGCUGCUAUGAGUUAGCAUAGCCCCAAAGAAAGUAGUCUGCGAUCCCCUUCGAAGUAAGUGAAAGGGCGGAGCGAGCAAACCGGAUAGCCCCACAGAGUAUCGGCGACGAUUUCCCGCAUACACCGAAUUCAACCGGGAUUCAAUUUGGAGAAGAAUUCAGCAUAGAAGCGACUUUGAUCUUCGACGACCGAGGCCGUUGGAAGUGCAUGAAAUAAGAGAAGCGAGCAAGUAUUGUGAAUAUAAAGAAAGUCCGGGUCACACCCAACCCAAAUAGAGUGCUUGCAACUCAAAGAUGAGCUCGAAAGAAGAGCCCGGCUGGGGAAGUUAUAUCAGUUCAUAAAAAAGUAUGUGAAUGGCAAGGGAACAGGAAGGCUGGAUGAAAGAGGCCUGAAGGACCCCCGCAGUGGAAAUAGGGACCCCGGGACAAGGUAGGCCGAAUAAUAAGGUAAGGGAAGGAAAGGAGACGAACAAUAUCCAUAGAGCCCCCCUAUAAUUCACGUAAUCGCUGGGGGAUAGCGUCGGGAGGGGACACGAACAAAGGACGGCGACAGUAUAGCACCAAAAUGAAGUUCCCGAUCAUCCUUCAGGUCGACAAGAAAAGGCCAAGGGAAGGUAGCGUGAUCAGCUUUUCGGAUCAAGAUUCUGAGGGCAUACAGCGACCUCAUGAUGAUGCGAUAGUUCUUGUCCUGAAAAUAGGAGGAAACAGAGUCAAACGUGUUUUGGUUGAUACAGGGAGUUCGGCGGAUAUAUUAUACAAACGAGCAUUCGAUCAAAUGAACCUAGAGCUGCGUCAUCUAGGUCAGGUACGAACACCCCUAGUGGGAUUCACUGGAGAUACUCUGCAACCGUUAGGCAAAAUUCCCCUAAGGGUCGAGUUCGGCCCGGUCUUCGGCAAUGAUAGACUUUCUGGUAGUUGACGCUCCUUCGGCGUAUAAUGCGAUUCUGGGACGAGGAACGUUGAAUGCGAUAGGGGCGGUAGUAUCUACAUCCCAUCUGAUGAUGAAAUUGAUCCCAACGGAAGCAGGAGUGGGAGUAGAGUCCGGUCACCAUAAAAUGGCGAGGGAAUGUUAUUUGAUGUCUCUGAAGGGGAAGAAGGGGCAUGUGGCAGCAGUUGAGAAGGAAGAGGUGAUAUAAGAGGAUCCAUGGGACGAACCAAGAGAAGGCGAAAAGGUAAACCGUUAGACCCCCGAAGCCAAGCAGAAGGAAAAGAAAAUGAGUGAGCCGACUGAAGAAGUGGAAAAGUGGGAGCCGGGAAAAUUCCUAAACAUUGAUUGCGGUGCGGGUAGAAGAAGGGAAAGGCAGAUGAGUGUGAGGGAGCCCUUUUCACCAUUAUUAAUGAAUUUUUUUCCAUUAGACCUAGCUCUUGAAAAAGCAAUGGAACAUGCAAAUGGGCAGCAACUCUUCUUUUACGCUAGGUAUGCCGGUGAUCUAGUGUUUAAGGUUUUGGAUUUAGGACCUAGAUGUCAUCGAAUGAAUGCUCGGUAUACUUGCUUUCAGAAGGAAGCUAAUCUGAACACUGAAUCCAGAAGAAAGAAGCUUUUCUAUUUUGAGAGAUGAAUUCAAAGAGAGAAGGUUGUAGAAGGUAAGUAAUCCGAUGCGCGUUCAAAUCCAACAAGAACGUCUAAUGAAAUGACGGAAGAUGCAUAUUAUUCUCUCGUAGCUGGGGCUAAGAACGAUCCUCUUAUCCAACUUUCUGUCUGUCCCAAAACCGAACCUUGGUACUGCUCUACUUCAGCAUUCUACGACUGAAUCCAUUCUGGAAAUGAUGACUUGCCCACAGUAGAAGUUAGUGUCAUUUUCCGCUUUUUAGGUGAAAUUGGCUUUACUAGUCUCCUCUCUGUCUCUUUCCACUUCUGUCUUUCUAGUGCAAAUCUCAUAAGUAGAAAGAAAGCGGUAGUUUGAAGUGAGCCGCGCUCUCUCUUUCGGAAUUCUGCACCUAGGUACCACUCUAGAUUUCUUACUGGCUGACUCAAGUGCUAACUCAUAGUGCAUAGCAUGUUCAUAAGCCUUGUUCACACUAUUAGGGUAGGGUGUUGAGCAGUGACCAUAUACUUCACUUCCUCCUUUAAACCACUUAGAAAAGAGGAAAAGAAAAACUUCUCAGUAAGAUUAGGGUUUUCCAAGAUCAGUCCAGUCCGGCCUUUACUUUUUCAAACUGGCUCAUAUACUCCCUUACAGAUCCAACCUGAUGUCAUUUUCUUAAUUCAUCAACUGGGUUACAGAUUUGGAUGCACAGAAACCUAUUCUUGACCUCACUAAUCAAGGUGUCCCUAUUAGGAUGAGGGUUACUGACCACAUAACUCCUGUACCACUCACUAGUUUACAACAUUGAAAUAAGCGAUUCUUUUUGCAAUGUGUCUCUCAGCGUUUUUUUUUCUCCUUUUUCAUUACCCUCUCAAAAAAGAUCGAAAGGAUUCACUCCGGUGCUGCUUGCUGGUGGAGGUUGACUAUCUCCACUAUGAAUAAGUCUUUCUCGAGUAACUGAGACUCAACGUGUAGGCGUUGGAAGCAGAAAUAGGAGAUGGGUCGUUCCAGCUCGGCAAGAGGAUUCCGGAACAUCCAAGUCCUAGCUAUAACACAGACAGGAAAGUUUUUUUCUUUCAUUGCAAUGUCUGGCAUCGUUUAAAAUAGGCUCGCUACAUAGUUGCAGGCUCGCUCGCUCCAUUCUUACGCUCGCUGGCUGGUGAGGCAGAGUUGGUAUGGCACUGGCUGGCUGCUAAUGGUCACUCAGGAUCUACUAUGCGCGAUACGCCGACGACAUUUUGUUUGGGAUUCCCCGGGCCAAAGAGAUAUACCUGUUCCAUUCCAAGUGAAAGACCAGCAGCUGCGCAUACUAUUGAACGCGUGCGGCAGGUUUCAAUUCCACUUUUCCUGGGCAAACUAGAAAACAAGUACCGAUGUCAGGAGAUGGAAGUCAGGUUGACGAGGCAGUGACGUAGGAUAAGGCUCUUUGGUGAACCAGACUUUGUCUAUCUUAGAGAUCAAAUUGGAUGAUAGAUUUUGCUUUUUUUUUCUUGGGAAUGGUCAAAGCCUUUCACGGUUGAGCAAAAGGUUCGAAAACAGAGAUCAAAGACUCUGUCCUCGCUUCGAUAUUGUUUUCAUAUUGAGGGAUUAGUCUGCCAUCAGUGGUAGACUGGGGAAGAAGGCCGAGUGGAUGCUUUCCAGCAAAAGAAAACAUGACGUAGUCAUCAUGCCUAACAGAGAGAUUCGCCUUGGUUCUGUCUAUCGCUCUAUAGUAUAGGGAAAAUGACUCCGUUCUGUCUCCAUUAGCUAAUCAGGCUUGCAUAGGAAGGGGAAGGAAGAGAUUUUCUUGCUUCAAUCUCACGUCCUUUAUAUAUGCUAACCUACCCUAUUCCCUGCAUACUGAUGACUCGCGUUGGCUAACAGCACGUCUUUCAGCAGCUCACUAAAGGAUGGGCUAUUCAUCUCAGUCCUCAUGCUUCCGUCUUCAUAUCCCGCCAGAAAAGAAGAAAGGCGAGUCUUUGCUUUGGCAAAAAGAGAAGGAGCUCUUCUUGCCCAUAUGGGAGUGGAAGCUUCAGUGUAAGCGGAAGCUAGACUAGAAGAGAGAUUCAUCCUAGGCUUUGCUUGGCCCUACUCUAGUUUUGGUGCAGCUAACUAAUCUUUGGGUCGAAUUUCGUGACUUGAUGAAGAGGAAGCCGAGUAUCUUUGGUCUUGAAGAGUCAGGCCAAUCCAACCGCUUGCUCCUGCCCAACUCAGUCUCAGUCGUACCAUAAUGCGCCUGGACUCAACACUUUUCUUGCUCCAAGACCACCCUCUAGCCCUCAUGUCAAAUAGAUGACAGAAUUGUAAACAAUCUUAGAAUGAUUUAAGCUGAGGAACAUAGAGGUCUCUCCCACCAUUUUUGUCAUAUACCUCUGGAAUAGUGUUGAAAUCACACGCCACUAAGCAGGAGCCUAAACCAAGUGGUUUAUCUUAGCGUGCUAGCCGCUGCUUCAUUUCGUAUAGCGAUAACGCUUUCUCUUUCUUAGCGCUCCACCCCGCGGGGAACUCUGGUUGCGCUUUGGUUGGCUUUCUCUUUUUUUCUAUUUUCUCUGACUUGACUCAGCUUGACCUACUUGACUCAGCGGUUAGAGUAUCGCUUUCAUACGGCGAGAGUCAUUGGUUCAAAUCCAAUAGUAGGUAAAACCGGCCGAAACCCCCGCUUUUGCCAGCAUGACAGCAAGCACAGACUGGCAUCAAGGAGUCGAAUGACCAAAGCAUCGGUUGCUUCCACGAGACUAAACAAUCAAUGACCAAUAAAAGACCAACGAAACGACGAGUGAGAAAGAUAAAGAACGCGACGUGGUUCAUUGAAGUAGAGGUUUGAUCGAGGAUUGGAGAGGAGAGGUGGAAUAAAAAGCUCGGGAUGGAUUUUUGAGUCUUUGUGCGAGCCGUAUGCGGUGAGAGUCGCACGUACGGUAAGGAGGGGGGUUCGCGUCUAUACGUGUAGUGUGGUGGUUGGGCCUACCCACCCUAUUUGUUCCAUGAUCUAUGGGUCUACUGGAGCUACCCACUUCGAUCAAUUAGCCAAGAUUUUGACCGGAUACGAAAUCACUGGUGCUCGAUCUAGUGGUAUUUUUAUGGGGAUUCUUUUUAUCGCUGUAGGAUCCCUAUUCAAGAUUACUGCAGUUCCUUUUCGGGCGGCUGUAGGACGGACGGCCCCCUAUAGGUAGUAGGGUAGGAUGGGUGGUACCGCUCAGAUAGCGGCCAAUCCUCCUAACUGCGCGCGGGCCGGGCUUAGAGCGCGUGAAACUCAUCACUACCUCGUAAGGGCGUUGAGACCAUAGCAUGUUACACAAAAGCGCCGCUUUCUCUGGAGUGUUGUCACACAGCUGCCCGACUAGAAGAGCUACUCGCUCUGUAGUGUUGUCACACAAGAUAAGCACGCCGCCCGCCUGCUGGCCGGGCGAAUCGAAGUUAUCUUCCGGUCAACUGUCCGCCCAGUCAAGUGCAAAAAACACAGUGGAAUCACGCAACGCACGCAGCUGGUGUGCUUCCUGCCCACGAGGAAAGAAGAGCGGCAAGGUUCAGAUUUGACUGUUUGCAGCAUGGGAGCUGAUUACCCAAAAAAUCCCUGGGAAAAAAGAAAAGAUAUCUCGGUAACGAAAACCAUAGGAGGCUGUAUUGGCGAGAUCCAAGGGUUCACAGCAGCCCAAAAGAAAAACCGCCUGGAAGUCCGAGGACCUUUAGUACCGUACCGAACCAGCAGCCUUCGCGCCAAGCGACGACCGCCCUUGUCCCUUUCCUUUUUCCAUUCAGCCUACUUCUUAGCUUUGUUCCGUCAGUCUAAGGCAAAGUCCGUGACGAAGAUCUUUCUAUCAAUAGAUAGGAAUGAGUGUUCGUUAUAGGGGAUAGGAUCCAUCUGCUCUCUCUCUCUAUUUUCUUUGAUGCAAUUUAGAGAGAAAGAGCAGUGCGAACUAAAAAAAAAAGAGAAUCGGGAGAUUAAAAGAUACAUAGACAUAUACAGUAAAGGGAUGUAUAUAUUAUUCCUAUAUAUAUCAUCUAUCUAUGAAAAAAGUAAACAGAGUUCGUUUUUGGGUUCCCCGAAUGGAUUGGAUCGUUUCUGCUUCUGCCAACGAAAUGAAGGCCUAGCCCCUUCCGAAUGCUUCUCCGAUCCUGAACGCGAAGAGAAUAAGAUGCAGCUCCCCCUCCCUCUGUCUUUUUCCGCUUUGCUAAUCUUCCCCUCUAACGCGGGCCGGGCUUAGGCGGGCGCGGGAGGAAGAAAGAAAGUCGAAGAGCGUCUUCUCCUUUGUCCUUUUUUCAGUGCAACACAGGAAAGCACCCUCUUUUUGUAAUCUCUGCUGCUUCCCAGAGGCUUUUUUUUGUAUUGAACGCAUGGCGUAGCUAGGACCCCCCCAAUCAUGUUUGAGCCUAUGUUCACCCGGGGCUCAAAAAGGAGAAUUCCGGAAUGCCUGCCGACGUUCAGAUAAGGUGCAUAUCCCUUACCACUAAAGGAAAGGCUCGACGAAGGGGGGGAAGGGUAAGGAAAACGCUUUCGGAGAUUGAUUUGUUUUUCAUCGAAAAGGAAGAAGGCCGAGGGGAUAGCAGCCUUCCUUCGGGCUUUGCCUGCCGACGUUCUAAUAAAGAAUUCCGGCUCGGCCCGGGAAAGCGCUGGCAACAACAUAAAGAAAGGGGUCCAUGUAGCUGCUGCGCCCGCCCACUGAGCAGCAGGUUCGGCAUCUACUACAAUACAAAAGAAAAGAAAAGAACUUAACAAAGUGGAAUGUCCGACUACACCCAAAGAAAAGAGAGAAUCCACUUCAGAUAACCACGUCUCUGCUAGGCAGCGUGUGGAAUGGCCGAGAGCGGACCAAAUGGAUAUAUAAUCCAAGCCGAGAGUGGAGUUACGUGAACAGCCGUCUGAUGGAAAACAACUUUCACGUUCGGUUCAGAGAGCACUUUUUUCGUUGAGAAUAAGUCCUUCCCUUUUGUGUGAAUUCCCCAGCGGCGAAUUAACCAACUUGUGGGGCCCUAUCUAUUCAAUCUCUCGAGCCCCAAGAAAACCCCCCUCUCCCUCGGACUCAAUCUCUCUUUUGACUCUAUAUAUGUGGGCACCUGAUAUCUAUGAGGGUUCACCCACCCCGGUGACAGCAUUCCUUUCUAUUGCGCCUAAAAUCUCUAUUUCUGCAAAUAUGUCACGUGUUUCUAUUGUUGCUUCCUAUGGGGGUACAUUACAACAAAUCUUCUUUUUCUGCAGCAUUGCUUCUAUGAUCUUAGGAGCACUGGCCGCCAUGGCCCAAACGAAAGUAAAAAGACCUCUAGCUCAUAGUUCGAUUGGACAUGUAGGUUAUAUUCGUACUGGUUUCUCAUGUGGAACCAUAGAAGGAAUUCAAUCACUACUAAUUGGUAUAUUUAUUUAUGCAUCAAUGACGAUAGAUGCAUUCGCCAUAGUUCCAGCAUUACGGCAAACCCGUGUCAAAUAUAUAGCGGAUUUGGGCGCUCUAGCCAAAACGAAUCCUAUUUUGGCUAUGACCUUCUCCAUUACAAUGUUCUCAUACGCAGGAAUACCCCCGUUAGCCGGCUUUUGUAGCAAAUUCUAUUUGUUCUUCGCCGCUUUGGGUUGUGGGGCUUACUUCCUAGCCCCAGUGGGAGUAGUGACUAGCGUUAUAGGUCGUUGGGCGGCCGGAAGGUUGCCAUGAGUAAGGUUGGGAGACCGAAGGCUGUUUUCCGUGCACCGGACACGUAGCUUACCGAAUCAGUUGCAACACAGAUGGGAAUGCAUGCUACGAAAGACAGGGUCGAGUCUGAUACAUCAACCGUCGACUCCAUAUCCUUGUACGAGUCCACAAUCACUACACGAGAUGAACCUGGGUUUGGUGAAUGGAAGUUGGCCUUAGGUGUAAUAGGACUCCCAGUUACUGCGCGCGAUCGUAUACUGGGGUGCUCCCCGUCGGUUGUUGGAACGACGCGAGCCGGGCCUCGAUUCCUUUCAUAAAGAUGAAGGGACAGAGGUGACUAAUUCCCCAUCUCAUUUGGGGCGGAAAACGAAUCGACAUCUCGAUGUGAUACAGCCCUUUCCAUUUUCGUUGGGAAAGAACGGCGAAGUCCAUCCGAACCCUCCAAUGAAGAAAUAAGAGGAGAGCAAAGCGCCAAUGGCGCGCGAAGGCGGAAGGGGCACGGAGAAAUAAAGAAGUGUGGAGGAGAAGCAGCUUCGCUUCCUGGGCCCAAAGCAGUGCUUUGUUUCCUGGCCAAAUCAAGGAUUUGGGGCUGAUUGCAAAAGAUAUCUGAAUAGAAAGAUAGAUCCAUCCAUCUAUCCAGAUAUCUAAAAAAGAAUCGAUUUUGAUUUCAUGAAACCUUUGAUUCAAAGAACUGCGCUUAGCCCCCCCGCUCAUGAAACGGCUCUGCUGCAAUGGAUGGCAGAGGGUCCGUAGUACCCGAAGCACUGGAGUGAUCCAGUAGCCGGGAAGGGGCCUAGAAGUGCCUACUACUACACCACACUACACUUGGCUCUACACAUUUACAGAGCUUACCCCUGUCCAGUGUCUGGCAGAACGUUGGGGGCUUCAAUCGUCGACUCGUUAUCCCCAUCUCAGCCCAGGCUAACGGAGCCUGACUUAUUCAGGGGAGAGAGUGGAGCCUAUCGAAGCACUCUUGAGAGUAAGAUCCUUGGCUCCUCUUCAUUCUCUACAGGGGUCUCUGCCCACAUGGAAGCGGGGCAGAGAUGGAUAAGAUCAAACACGGGAAUAAGAAGCAUUUAAAAUGCCUUUUUUAUCAUUUUUAUAGAGGGGGAUGGAUAAAGUGGGCAAAACAGACUCACAUUUUUCAAUCGAAAAGAUGGGUUCCUUUUUCGUCUCGACAAAGAAAGAAUCAUCUUGAAAACGCUCCUAACCCCUUCGUAGGGCCGUGUAUAGUAAGUGAUCCGAACCUGCCCGGAGCGAGCCCCCCCUUAGAGGCAAGUGAAGUUGGUGAGCCGUAUGAUGGGCAACUAUCUCCUGCGGUUCGGAGAGGACUCAGCUGUUAGUUAGUACCCCCUUGGUUUCGGGGUGGACCCUUUCACUCUAUUUUAUUAUAUACGCUUAGCGAAAAGAAUGUUUUUUGAUAGACCUAGGACAUGGAUUCUAUAUGAACCAAUGGAUCGUGACAAGUCGUUACUACUAGCAAUGACUUCCUCUUUCAUUACUUCAUCCUUUCCAUAUCCCUCUCCCUUGUUCGAUCUUACUCAUCAAAUGGCACUCAGUUCAUAUCUGUAAAUUCGAUCAUUUACAAGGUUCAAAGAAAGGGUGGACUGCAGGUAAGCACUAAUUAAAACCUCUGCAUUUCCGUGAUUCAAAAACAAGGGCGUACGUAGCCCAUUGUAGAUUCCAGCCGAGAAGAUUAAGGAAUUGUGACAGCAACCAUGUUACUUGCUAAAUUUUGCCUAUAUCUACUCCAAAACUGGAGGCAUUCAUCGAAAGCUAGCAAGAGUAUUUCAUCCUUAGUGAACUGAGAGAUGUUCUAUCGCUCCGCGCCUUAUUUACUUAUUCAGUCUAAAUACGCUCCUUCGGGCAUAAUAAGCAGAGUCUGGGAGUUAUAGAAAGUAGGUCAAGUAGUGAAGAAGUUGGGUCUUGGGUAAGCAUGUUGGACUAGAUAGAAAGACGCAUUACUUCGGACUUGGGUAACUCUUGACGCCGAUAUAGAUGUGUUUUCUUUUUGCCUAUAAGAAAUCCUCCUUUAUGUAUGACUGGGCUUGUGAGAAGUGGUCUAAUACUAUCUAUUCAGAUAUGUCUCUUCUUAUCUUAUGGAUAAGCUAGGGAGGGCAUAGGUAAUUGCUUGGGGGGGCUAGUCAAUGAAGAAUUGAGUAUCUAAUAAUAAUUUCUUGUGGGCAAGAGUAGGGUUGACUUGGUAGGUAGAACUAUUCUUAUGGCUAAGAAGCUAGGCCGAUAUGCUCAUACUAAGUGCUGUAAUCUCUCAUUCAUGCGCAUUAAGGAAAUUGUAAAGAAGAAAGUAAAACGCUCUACGCCUCGUCGAAUAAGAGUGUUUCCGGAUCAUAUCUAUUCUUCUCGGGUACUCUUUCUUAAUGAGAAAAUCAUAACUUGAUCCGAUCUUUAUGUCGCACAGUGGUGUCCCAGGCUAGGGCUGCAGGUCCAGCAUAAGAAUCUAAACUAAAAAAGUAUGUUUACGUGGUCCAUAAAUAAUGGUGACAGAAAUCCCUCCUACUGCGCCUCAACUUGGACUGGAGCUUUCGGGUCUCUAGGUAUUGAAUUAAAGAACGGGUUUAGCUUUGCUUUGGGGGGAGUCCUGGUGGGGAGAUAUGCUAGCAGGUAAUGGCUCAGCUUCUACUUAAAAAGCGUUUUAAGCGGGUUUCCCUAUUUAUUUGCGGGUCUCUCGUACAAGAUUCUAUCAGUUACAGCGGAUUCAAGGGAUGGAGCCAGAUCUACUAUCCGCUUGCUGUCCCUAAGCUGAUAAUUGCCCGAGCCUAUUUGUUUUUUUCCGGGGAGGGGCACAUAGCGAUAGAUACUUUAGAAACCUAUCACUAAGAAUAAGAAGCGGGCUCACUGAAAACCAAACUGUUCGUAUUUCUUUAAAACGCUGCUGCCCUAGCCGGGGGUCUGUCUAUAGAAGAAGGGAAUCAAUAGGAAGGAGUCUAGCCCGAGUGAAGGGUUGAUUCAACCAAAGCAAGAAACAACCCUAUCUUCUGAGUGAAGGGACAACCCAAUCAUUCCUAAGUACCAGAGCCAUGGCGCGGAGUACCAUUACAUUACCGGCACUUUUCUUUGAAUCACUUCUUUGAUCAUUAAGAUCCUGUUCCCCGAGCAACCCGAUCCGAUAUUCCUUAACUGCUAUCUUUCCUUGCUUUUAAAUAAACAACUACUUCAUUUCAAUUCAUUUGCAAGACCAGGCUUGCUCUCCGAGGUGGCAUCCCCUCCUAAGCGAAAUACUAGAGUAGAGGGCUUCCCGUCUUUACUUGCUUCUGGUUGAUGACAGCUACAUCCUUAGCUGGUUUGACAACCCUUGCUAGCUUCUUACUUUCUUACUUCCUCGCUCGCGCUUGGGGUUCCCCCUAAUCCGAGUGUUCUUCCAAAACAGCUAUCCACCGACUAAUACUUACCUGCCUCCUUACCCGCUUUCCAAAAACCCUAUCUGUCAUUGCAUUGCCGUGGUUUCGCACCUCCUACGCCAAUACUUGCUUAAAUAAAUUCUCUAGGGAAGUAGGGCUUCAAGGAAGUAGACAACCACUUAUCGUUAUCGGGGAGGAUGGAUGGUUGUCCCUUCUUCUCAAUAGAAUCCGAUAGACAAGAAUCGAAAGCAGCUGAUUUAUUCCUCAAGUAAGUCAGUUGAUGAUUCAAUUCCUUCAAGGCAAGAGUGGGGCAUCUAGAUCGAUUCGUUUUCCGGUUGUUAUACCGCGAAUAGAAAGAAUUCUGAUUAUCUGUUGAGGCAAGCUAUUCAUCAUUAACAGGAAAGAUCCCAAAGCUGUUAUUGCUAACAUGGGAUAGCCUGACUCUACGCUACAAUCUCUAUUUUCUUAUGAUAUUGAAUCUGGCUUCUAUUAUUCAAUCUCUAGUUACCGUGGGAAAAGAAAGAGACAAGAGCUCUUAGUCCGACAAGACAAGAGAGGAUAUGCCUCCAAAAGCUUCUUCAAUAGCAGUGGAUUGAAUUCAUCUGCACACUGAUAAUUCACCAAAAACAAGAGGAAAGAGAGCAGUGGAUGAUUUAACACUAAGCCAAUCUUGAACAGCAGAGGGUUCAUCUCUAUCUUUAGACUUGGGAUGGGAAAAACUUCAGUUGUUGGUUGGAUUACUGGCUGAAACAAUAGACCUGUUGGUUAGAAAAGCCAUUAUUUCACAACUGUUAAGGAUUACUUCAGGAGGACCUAUUAAUAGUGCUUUGAUCCCUGCUUAGUGUUUUCAAAAGAUAGUUGGAAAGGUAGGUCUAUUUCUUCUUUAUCUUUGUAGAUCAACCUAGCUUUGUACAUGCUAUUGCUUCUACAAUUCACAAGAGUCAUUUCUCCCCAAAAAUAAAUAAGGUUCACUCCAGGUUCUUAAUAGGCAGUAGGCCCCUAAGUCAAAACUACCAUAACUUCUUUCUUACAAUCCGAUUACUAUUUGAUCGAGAGAUAGGCACAUUUCUCCAUGAUAUAAACUAUCCAAUCCACCUCUUCUAUUAUGAAAUAUAAACCAGACAUCGUCGGCGUAAGAACAAGACGGAUACUUCUCCUCCACCCUUGGAACGAGUAGUAGCUUCUAGUUUCGCAGGAAUGACUAGAACGCUCAGAUAUGGAAUUCUUUUAGGCUAGCUCCGGGCUUGCUGUUACAAGCGAUUCGAAUAGUUUUCCUGUGCUAGUUGUGUUGUACAGUACUAUACUACAACUACAUUUCUUUCCUAUUGCUUACCCGGUCUUAUAGCUCUACUUUUGAAACCGAACGAGUAUUGCUAGUUGUUACAAACAAACCCACCAAGCUAUCUCAUCCUCCUCCCCCGGGUUUCCUUCCCGCGACCUGUGCUAGUAGUAUGUCUCCGUUGCUAUUUACUUUCUCGAAUAGACUAGUUGGACAGCUAUCUACGCAUUUACCAGUGCUACUUUAACGAAUCGGGUAGUUGGACAGCAGGAACUCUUUUUUCUUACUACUCGUCCAGUACUAGCAUCCUUUGCCUUCUCUAUCAUUCCAGAGCUUCUCAGCAGACAAUCUCAGCCCCCUAGUUUAAGUCUACGUCCUCAGGGGCGCCCUUUACUUGGUUGAGAUCUAACCACCUUAUGAUAGCACCCCAAUAUUGACGAUCAUAGAUCCAGGCGGGCCCCCCUACCCAGAGACAUUAUAGCUCAUCGGUCUAUCAAGAUAAUAAAAUUCAUUAAUGAAAUUCCUGAGGAGAAAAGCUUUGUCUGGGCUCAAAUUCCAAUACCAUUGAUCGAGGAUAGGGUUUUGAAGGAGGAGAUGCAAGAGGGGUCACCAUUGUUUACUUUUCAUGCCUACUUGCCGGCGGAAGCGAGUUACGGCUUUGCUUCUUUCGUGAUUCACUUGGAAUUCACUUUCUUUCUUUGCAUUCAAUUCUAACUUUGGGAUUCCAGAACAUUCAAGAAAGAAGGUCAAAGGACUCAGGCUUUAAUGCCAAAGUACUGGGCAGAGCGUACUUACCUACUUAGACAAGAGGGAUACUUAUAGAUCUCUAUGAGCGUAAGGCAAAGUGGGCAAGACUACUUCCACAACUACAUUUUCGCCAUUUUUGUUAUAGCCCUUGCGGCUGCUGAAGCAGCUAUUGGACUAUCCAUUCUUUCUUCCAUCCAUCGUAACAGGAAAUCAACUCGUAUCAAUCAAUCCAAUUUUUGGAAUAAUUAGACAUAGAAUCCCCUAAACAAAGGGGCAUAUAUAAUAAUAAGAAACAUUAAGAUGAAUAGAAAUCAAAUCUUAUUUUCUUAUUAGUGUUUAAUAAUAUCCUUUUUUUUAGUAGGUUAUUUCAGAGUAUUGUUUUUUACUUAUUGAAUAUUGCAUUUUUGCAAUUCAUUGAUAUUGCAAUAAUUUAUAUUGAAAAGAUGAUAGCUAAUUUAUUGGCUAAUUCGAAUUAGUAUGUAGAAUUCGUAUAAUUAUAACUGUUGAAGCCUUAAAUUCAAGUCUCUUGGCUUUCUAAGAUCAGAGGAGGAAAAGAAUGAAGGUGUGGGCGGGAAGGAGGAGGCAAGGCCCCCUCAAUGUGUAUUCGACUACUCAUUACGGAACCACCGAUUGAUCCGAUUAGACUUCCCGCGGGGUAGCACGGGGAACUUGCUGAAUCAACUCCUUGGAAUCGGAGGCCUGACUGAGGGUCAAUCCUAUGGUAACCUCAACCUAGGAAUGCCUGUUUCACUUCCUUGACAGAGCCAACUGAGAUGCUCUGUCUCGAUGUUGACCUAACAUGGAUUGAUUAGAAAUUCUGAAGGGUCUCAUCCUGAUCUCGCAAAGGAUCAGCAAUAGCUGUGUGUACUCGAGGACUCUUAGGGAAAGAAAAGCACUUUUCUCUCUCAGCAGUUAGACCGGCUAUGGGCGGGUUGGUUAUAUACUGCGCCUUCCUUCUUUCGAACCUUUUGGUAUGUAUUGCCCCAGAAUAGAAUAGAUCAGAUCCACCGGACCAGAAACUCAAUUCCGCACUGCUGCUGAGUCGUCGGGCUUAUCCACCUCAGGGAUUCGUGGAAUUUCCGUUUUUGAAUUGCGUUGGGGGAAAUCUACCAAAGCUAGGCAGAUAGAUAGACUCCUUUCCCGCUGCUAAGGGAGAGCAAGAAACUAAAUCACAUGACCAGCGCCCUUUUUUUUGCGGGUACUAAGAGUCCUCUCACUACCAACCAGCAGACAUCAUCAUCUGGCUGGGUCUUGCCGGUAUCAACAACGAGAAAGAAGAACCAAAUGGAAACAGCAACUAACUAUGGCUCUUGGCCCAGACAACGUCCUAGGCGUAGGGGAGAUCAAAACAAGAAGUCACGCCUAGACGACGACGCCCGUCCUGGGCUGCAGUAAGUAGAUCGAGAGGUCGUUCCGCCCCUUGUCCCCGAAGAUGGGUAAUAUGUUCUCAUACAAUGUUGCUCCAACUUUUUUCUAGAGGGCCUAGCUGGCGAGCGAUCCCAGUCCGCGGCAGAGAACAAGACAGCAAGCGAGCGUACCUUUGUUCGCUUCUUUUCCACCAAGCACAGAAGUUUAAGGAGAACUGUAGGUCGGUGGCUACCUAAGGAAACUCCGAUUCGAUCCGCCCCCCGGCUGGGAGGCAUCUACCUCAUCCCGAUCACAAGGAGAGGUUCACCAUGAUGGGGGGGUCAGGUACUUGAAUUCUUUUCGUUCCGGAAAGAAUUCAAUGCAUAGGGGACCAUCCUUUUUUUUGCGGCAUGCUCUCUGAUUUACGGAUUCGCAGGGGGCCGAGGGCCAACCUUAGUUGACUGACAAUGACAAAGGCUUGCGAAACAAAGUAGCGCCUUUGAAAUGGAAUCUUAAUUAAGUAGUCGUCUAUCAGUGGUGCGAAGCAGCUUUGCCCCGGGGAGCGAAAGGUUAUACCUUUGUAAGCGAACAGCGGUUCUUCUAUGUAGGGUAUUCCUCCUUUACUCUCUUAAUUAACGUCGAGCUAAGUGACUUUGUGUAGCGUAGUAGAAUGAAGGCUACGUACGCACCGACACUCUCUUAUCCCUAAGCCUCUUCUCUAACUCGCUCGCCUACAAAAAAUAGUAGGCGAGGCACUCAGCCGCUGACUUUGACUGUACUGUAGUGUAGUGUAGUAUACUUUCGUCGCCUUUUCUUUUAGAACCCUUUCUCAUGUUCUUUCAUUCAUCAAGUAGGCGAACCGUCAGGUCCUUAGUAGCGUUGACAAAGAAGAAGAGCCAAAAAGAAAGCUAGAAUUUCCAUUCCAAUAGUGAGACCAGCUUGACAAGCUACCUUUCGGGUGCGAAGAUCAUUUUUUAUGACUUCCACUUCUCGAUCCCGGCCCGGAAAAGUGACCGACCCAAUGAAAGAAAGGGUUUAUGAGCCCUAGCCCUGUAAGCCCACACCUGUGUAGAGUAGAUCGUUCAACACCUGCGGCACAAACCCAUUUUUGACCAAUUGGUCCGUAUAUCAUAGGCGACCGAACGGCCGCCCCCCGUCUUACUAGACCAACCUGCUAUAAUUAUUCCAUAAACACCUAGCGAAGAUAUGGCAAACAAAUAAAGUAGCCCUAUGUUCGGAUCUGACAAUACCAUACCAUAAUCAAAAGGUACAACGGCCCAAGCGACCAGACUUAACAUAAAUGUAGCCACUGGAGCCAUUCUAAAAAGGGAGAAAUUAGCACUACUUGGUGAAAUAGGUUCUUUUAGAAUCAAUUUAAAACCAUCUGCUAGAGGUUGUAACAAUCCGAACGAUCCCACUACAUCAGGACCCUUUCGACGUUGCACAAAAGCCAUUACUUUACGUUCAGCUAGCACUAAAAAGGCUACUCCUAGUAGAAGUGGUAGAAUUAAACAAAGUAUUUCCGCUGGAACAGCUAUGUACGUUUUCGAUUUUCUAUUCACUCAUGAUCGGGCCUGACCUGGUCGACCCGAUCAAACUAUUGAACUUAUGAUCUGGCCUGGUUGACCCAAUCAUGAUAUUGAAGGAUGGGACCUUUUCUCGAUAAACUCCGGAUCCCGAGAAGUUUUGAAGAUGGUGCUCCUGUUACGUUACUUCGAAUGGAAUCCUCACUUGACUAAGCAUAAGCGAAAAACGUGGCUGAGAGUAAGCAAUCCCCUUUCCUAGUGGUUGAGUCAUGAUCAGAAAUAUUGCGAAAGAAAGUGAAAUGUCCUAUCGUCGUCCCAAUUUGGGUAAUCCACGAUGUCUUCAUUUUAUGUACCCAUCUUUACUCGUUUUCGGUGUAUCGAUAGUUCGUUGUACUACACUUUGAACUAACCUAGAGUAGAGGCCGUGCUUAGGAAAAAAUCGAUAUCAGUGAAGUAAUCCCGGAACUCUAGAAAUCGUGAAGAAUUUCUUCCAUUUUGUUCAAUAUCGCGAAUAUAGCGGAAAAGGGCCCCCUCUAGAACAUUCCUUUGAAUGGAAUUGUUCAUUGGGUUCGACUUGUUGUUCGAAAAAAUCGAAAGCAGUCUCUCGUAUGUUAUUGUAAGGUGAUUCAUUCAUAAUAUUUAUUAUGUGCGGUUUCAAGAUGCUAAAAAAGUAUAUUUUGUAAUCGGCUUUUGAGCUCCAUUAUGUGUACUUCAUCAAUUUAGGAAUUAUGGACUUGGCGGUAGUGGUCAAUACUAACUGCACCGUCUAAAUGCUCCCUGACCAAGUUAGCGUACUCGCCAGGGUUGAGUUGAGGGCCCGUGCGCUAAUUGGGCUUCGAGGUUGGCUUGGCUAUACGCGAAAAAAGCUCGCUUUCUACUGAUCUGCGGCCUGUUCUGUCCUAAACAGUUCCUGAAUGUUAUUUGUUUCAUAGGAAGAUUCCAAAAGCACAUUGAUGCCGAAAGAAUCUUCGGAACCGGUGGAGAGGCUAUUCUGAUUGAAGGCUAGACAAAUAACAUGACUGAGGUAUGUAAAUCAAACCAGUGAAAUAGCUUUAUAAUAUUAGAUAGAUAUAGAAUAUCAAAAGCAAAAGCCUGAUAAUGGGUUUCAAACACGAAAGAAGAAAAGAAAAAAAGAAAAUUAUAGCUUUCUUUUUUUUUGGUGCGUGCUUUUCGCCUGCCUUCCCGACCACGGAUAGGCUACGGGGCUUUGCACUUCGGCCCCUGUGAAUACCACAUCAAGGUGACAGGAUUCGAACCUAUGGCCCUCUGUACCCAAAACAGAUGCGCUGACCAGACUGCGCUACACCUCGUCUCCCCCCCGGAACAUAUGGUAUGGAUCUACCCGAUCGAAAAAGACUCGAACCGCAGUCGCCCACCCCGCGGCACAGGGAGGCGAGAACCACCGCUUUUAGGAAAUAAGCCUACAAUUUUAUUUGAUUCUCGUCUCGUUUCACUUGCAUUUUCUUUCGGAAUGACUUGAUCGUUCUGAGAGUGGAAUCGAACCACUCACUCCGGAAGGAUUUAGAGUCCAAAGGGCCCAGCGAAAGAAGUCCCACGCCAGCAGCCUGCCAGAACCAUUAAUACAGGGUUUGAUCCACUGAACACCCACACAAUCUCGAUUUGACAGAUCAUCGCCAUCUCUUUGGACAUGCAUGUGUUAAGCAAAUGGACUGAACUGAAUGAAGAGUGAUGUCACAUCGCAUUUUCGAUCUUAGGCGAACGAUGGGUUACCGGGUCUACGACCUCGCAAGGCACUACUGUAGACCUCUUUGGGCCAGACGCUUUCUCAAUCAAAAAUGGAAAGAAGGAGUGAGUCUAUCACCUACGUCAUUUCUCAAGCAAAAAUGGAAGCAUUAAGUCAUCGUUCCGUCAUACAACAUCUAAGGUCAUCCCUUACGACUUCCCUACAUCACCCUUCUAAGCUCCUUUGCCCUAUGACAAAAGUCUACUUUGAAUGAAUGAUCAUUUUACGGUUCGAUUCCGGCUCGUGACAUGAAGAAGAAGUCCCAAACAGGGAUCAGAUGAGUUUGCACAGCGUUACUUUUUGUUCUUCGUUGACGGAAAAUCAAACGGUUCCCGGUCUUUUCAGAAGACUAUGCUUACUUUCUUUUCUCUUACCGGUCUUUUCAAUCAAGGAAAUGUAUUCCGUUCCUCGAAUCGGGACUUUCUUUGUCGAGGAUCUCUGGUACUCCAUCGAGUUUCCGUUUCUUCUUCUAAUGGCUGUGUCCGUCUAAGGUGGCUGGCUAUUUGAGCGAUUUAAGUAUCGCGGUUGUCUUGAGCUCUGGAUUGAUGGACGGGGCUGGGUUCAAUUUCAACUCGGAGAUAGCCGGGUCUAUAGCUAUAGUAAGAGCCGCUUUGUGAACAGCAUCGGAUAACAUAGCAAGGGUAGCCGCAAUAGAGCAAUUAUGCCUUAAGCCCAAAACUCUUCCUUUCGGGGAAGGAAGAAAAGACUUUUCUUAUUCCAAGCCAGCUACGGGACAAGUGAAACGGGCAGUUAGUUCAGUGAGGACAGCAGUUCCAGCAAAGACAGUGGAAUGGUAAAGCUGUUCAUUCUCAACGGGAAAGGAUUUCUCUAUUGCAACGGGGCUAGUUUCAACAAGGUGAGCAAAGCUAGAUACUUAGGCUUGUCCAGUUGUUCCACCAACCCCUGCUCCCGACCCAGGUACAUUCUUCUUGGCAGCUCAAGACCUUUCUUGUUCCUUGCUCCCGUGGAUCGAUACUAGUUACUUACCUUUAAUCUUAGCUUAGUGUCUUUUACCUAACCUACUCGCUCGCCGAGCUUUUUUUAUCUUGGUUAUUGGCUUUUUUACUCAAGUUAGAGCUUUUCUUUCCUGGCUUUUUCACUCGAGUUGUUCGCUUGGCUUUAGCUCAUUUUUUUGUCCAUUUCUUCUCUUUACAGAUCCCCUCGAAGUAUCCAGAAGAAUGGCAAUGCAAAAUAAUAGCAAUAGUCGUCUCGUAGGUGCUGGUGAAAGAAUAGCUUAUGGGGCUGGAGUCAAAGGAGCUUUCAUAGACAUAGAAAUCAUAAUAGAAAGAGCAGGCCUGCGAGCAGCGAGUGCCCUUUGUAAGUUGCGAGCCUGCCUGUCAAACCAUAGGCGCCUUACCGCCCCCCCUUUCUUUUUUGAAUUAGAAAGAAGGGGAUGAAAGACAAAGAAAGAGAUCAGGUUAUUUAUGAUCGGAGAAAAGGAAGGGGCGUGGUUGAUGUGUCACUGGGAACCCGUAGGAAGGGGAGACGACCGGCCUCAUUCACAUCUGAAAUCGCCAACAUGAACACAAACGAAAUCGUCGAAUUUCGUAUAGAAAGAAAAGGAACCACUUCUAUUCUCUUCUCUUUUCUUAGGUAUAUGAAGAAUUGCUUUUUGGUCCCUUUCGUCCAGUGGUUAGGACAUCGUCUUUUCAUGUCGAAGACACGGGUUCGAUUCCCGUAAGGGAUAUUACUUCAUCCUGGCCUUCAAAUCGUUGGUGCUGAUUAUCAUAUAAUCUCCUUGCUUUGGAGUGAAGAAAAGAAGUUCGAUCAGUUCAUUCAAUUAGGAAGCGUCAGACUAGGCCUUUCUUUCAACGAAUGUCUCAUUCUAAUCUACCUACCCGGAUCCCUUUGCUACUAAGCGAGCCAACUAUCUAUCGACAGACCCAUCAGCUUUGCACUUAACUAACCCAUUUAUUUCCAACAGUUUGACGCCCCAUUCCUCGUUUUCCCACUUGUACUUCUAUGCCUUGCCCCAUAGAGAGGAGUCUUCUUUCUUCGGAAAAACGGCUGAAUUCGAUUAAGUAUUCCCAUAGAGAAAAAAGCCCACUAAUAACUGGAGCUGGAGGUAGUAGCCCUUCCUCUUUGGUCUAGUUGACCGCAGCACCCAUUGCCGAAAGCAGCUCAUACGGGGGUAUUUCCUUGGCCAACGCUUCUAGUAGGAGGCAUAUUCCUUUCUCCCGAGGGUGAGGUUUCUCACUUUUGCCUAUGGCUGGCAUAACCAAAUCUAGAGCGGAGUGAGCCAAUCCAUUUGUAACCGUUUCAAAGUCUUCUGCGGCAUCUUCUGGAUCAGAAUCUCCUGCUCAACCGAGAAUGAAUUCAUUUUCAUUGUAUUAUGUGGCAGUCCCACUACUUUCAACCAUGGAAGCGAAUCGAUGAUCCUGUCCAGAGUAUCUUUAUGAAGAAUAUCCUAGCCUAGUCAUAGCUUUCUUUGUAAAUGAUCUCUCCUCUGCAUCGCUGGAAAAGUUCUCAACCGGAUUAUCGGAGAACAACCGCACUCAACCAAGAACUUCCCCUUCCCCCAUUUCCCUGUCUUCGCUAUUUUGCUUUUCUACUGCUUGCUCCCCGAGCUCCCUAUCCGAGUAAGUCCUACCUUCCUGGUUGGCAAGUAGUAAACCCUACUUCCCUUUCAAAUCCUUGAUUUGAUCAUCUUCAUUCCAUGGUGGACGGAGGAAAACUAGUUACAAAUGUUCUUUGCUCGUGAUACUUUGAAUUGAAAGAGGAACGCUUGCAACGAUAGCCCUUGUCAAGCAAAGCAUCCUAGUGUGAAAAAGCAAGAAAAUGCACUGACUGGCCCUGCCUUCAGCCGUACUCUCCUUUCAUCUGGGUGGGUACUAGUUUGAAAGCAGGAACUCGGAAAGGAGGCACGGUUUUAGCAAGAAGCAAGGAAUUCCAAUUCAUAGGAAAGCCAGCCCUUCGAAGAAAACGGAAGUGCUAGCAACGAAAGCAGCAGGGCCACGAAUCGGAUUAACAGAUAGGGAUCAGGUUGUUGUUGAAGUUCAGUAAAGAGCAGGGCCAAGCCAAGCCGGAUUAGCAGAAGAAAAAAAGAAAGAGAAGGGAUACCCUUGCAUCCCUUCUCUUUCCAUUUUCAAUAUUACAGAUUAUCUAAUCUUUGUUGCUGCUUAGGACUAGGCGAACAUCAGAUGAGAUGAAAGCUAGUACUACCUCAUACGAUACGGUGAAGAAAUUCUAAUCUGCUCUAGAAAACCACUUUUCAUGUUCCAGAUAUAGCACGUAGGUUGUGACUCCACAUGGGGAGCUGAGGGACAUAACAUGAUAAUAGAAGGUCAUCCUAGGUAGAGCUGUAGCACAGAUCCACGGAGCGGGAGGUAAGAGGAAAAGAAAAGAAUACCACCAUAAAAGAAAAUUGUGCCCUCUUGAGCCCUAAACCUAGGAGCAAUGGUUUCUCUCCUUCCCAAACUGCAACCGCAACCAGUUCUAAUUCAAACAGUGUGGUGGAGUUCAAUCAGAAACUCUCCUUCAUCCCUCUUCAAAUGCAUUCCUCACUACGAGAUUGAAUAUGUUUUCCCAGCCUCCCACCAGUAGGCGAAUCCCUCCAACCAAUGACUACACUACCUUGGUUAUCCGCUUUCAUGUCUUGGAUUGAGCUUUCUAACUCUUAUUAUAGUUGGGUGGGCGGAAAGAAAGGACAAGAUUCCUGCUUCGUUCAAAGUCCUAGUCCUGUCUCCUGAUAUCUCGCCCGCUAUUUCUAUCUCCGCUAAACCUAGUCACUUGGCUAGCUAUACUUCUAUAGGAACUAUCUAAGCUAUACUUUACUUGACAUGACUGCCUAUCCUGGAACUAAAAGUCUUAAAUACGUCUCUCUUGGCUACCCGUGACUUGCGUUGACCUAUCCCUACUACUUGGUUAUUAGCUUACCCUUUUAUACCUAUUAGAAACCCUAGCUAGCUUGUAAACACCUAUCUCGUGCUUUACUUCUAUACUGACCUAAACGUGAACUGAACAAUAUGCCUACCUUUUUUAUGUUUCUCAACAAUAAGCAUCCCGUGGUGACAACAAACCAUAUGCCAACAAACAACUCCUUAAAAUGCUUAUAUGUAUACAGCUUGGCCUUGCUAUUCACAAAUGUCUAUCAGCUUCUCCUGCUUCUAUACUUGCCUAUCUGUGACAUGACCUAUUCCUACUUGCUUUGUCAACUACUUUACGAUACUUAACUUAACUUUACGAUACUUUACUUUAUCCCCAGACCUAUAAACAAUGGGUCUCAAUUCGGGAGGAAGAACCGGUAAAUUGUACAUACGAAUGUCAAUCUUCAUUUAAUACACUGGUAGGGGUCGAUCAGGCAAAUCCCAAAGCCCCGAACUGCUCUACUGAUCUUCUCUCUCUUCAGACUCACUGAACCAGACUCCUUUUGCACUGAGAACACAAUUAAGAACCCUCCUUCUCACAUCACAAGAAGGCAAACCUUGUACGUUGAUCGAAUCUUCUUUCGCAUCCAGAAGAGAGGCUGUGGGCUAUCCGAGAGAGUGGUUCAGGUGACUACCGGAGUCAUUGAUUAAGCAGGUCAGAUGGGCUUAGUAGGGCUCGAACCUACAAUAUCACCGUUAUGAGCGGUACGUUUCAACCAAUUAAACUAUAAGCCCAAUCGGAUCUCUACAUGCCGGGAAGAGCGGACAGAAAGAGGAGACCCUUUGCUCUAUCUCCUUCUUCCUCUUCCCGGGGCCCCGGAGGGCAAGCCCUAUUAAAGAAGCUAAGUGACUUUCGUCACUCAAGUAGUGAGUUUGAGAGUGGCCGUUAGGGCGACCACUUGUACUUCUAGGCCUUGGCGACCUAUAGUCUUGUUACGCAACACAGCUUCACUCGAUUCAGUAAAUCAAUAGUUCAAACCAGCCCACUAAUAGCUUAGAUAGUGGCCCUUCCACUUUGGUUUGGUAUAGUUGACCCUACCUAUUGACUCAAGGUAAGACCUCUGACUCAAGGUUCAUAGGAAGGGGGAACCCAGACGUAGUGGGAUGUAGGCUUCAGUUGUUUUGGUACUUUUGCACUACCUACGUCUUAUUAUUUAUUUUGUAACCGGCUUUUCACCGGCAGGUCAGUAGGCCUUUUAGAAGGCGAACAAACGAAAGUUCUCCGCGGGCGCUAGCGCUAUCUUGUUCGCUUUUGUCAACUGAAGUCGCGCGUAGCGCCAACUAACUGAUAGCUGAUAGAGCGCGGAGCCCCGAGUCUAAGCGAGCAGAGCCAUUUCUUUGUCGUCAAAAGAAAAAAAAAGUACUAAAGGCGAAGGGCAUUCUGUUGUACAGCUACUUUGGUUUUGGUAUAGUUACAAAGGUAACCGGUAGGUGACUGUUGAAUCGACAGUAGUUACGAAAGGGGGAAAUAGCUCAGUUGGUUAGAGUGCUGGUCUGUCACGCCAGAAGUCGCGGGUUCGAACCCCGUUUUCCCCGCACGAUCUUCCUCUUCCUGCCCGACUCAUUUUGUCUUCACUGGAAGCUGCUGAUCCCAGCGUAGCAUUCAAGACAAUUGUUCCUUCUUCGGUCUCCCUCCACCCCCUUCGUUUGUUGUGGGUCGCGUCUCACCGCAGGCACUUAAUGAAAAUGAAUGAGUGAAGAUCUUCCUUCCCCCCUUGUGUCUUACCAAGGACUGAGUUCCCACUUGUGGCGAAAAAAAAGUAUACCAUCCCACCCGGCCUCCCCCCGGGGGGUUAAGGUUCCUCUCGGAGACUGCCAGUCUACAAGAAGCUGGCAGAGCUUUAGCCAUUGGACCACAUCCAUCCAUCCUCCUACCUAAACAGUGACGCCUUUUCUUGUUCGUUCUUCGAAUUACGCUAGUGGAGACUAAUUCCUUCCGGCUAAUGAAGAUACUACCCCAGUCUUCCCAUUCAUUCCCAGUGGAUCCUUUUCAUUGAACGAACCAAGUUCACCUAUACGAGAGUGAGGAAUAGAAAUCCUACAAUCAACUUCCCACUUUUUAUGUCCCGUUUGACGAUUCUGCUGCGUCUUUAGAAAAGAAAAAGGAGAAGGACAGGGUCAGAAAAGCGAUAACUAUCAAUUCGAAUUCAGAAUGAAUCAAAUCUCCCCAAGUAGGAUUCGAACCUACGACCAGUCAGUUAACAGCCGACCGCUCUACCACUGAGCUACUGAGGAAGAACGGACUUAAGGAAGCUGACUCUCGUUCUUUGGACCAACCAACCGAAAAGAAAAAAAGUUAGUCACUUUUUCUCUUUUCCGGGAGAAAGGGUGACGAUAGCAAUCCCCUUUGCCUCCCCGGCCGGGGAGCCCCCAGGACAGGACAAGGGGGGCGGCGGGGAUUAAUAAAGAAUGGGUUGGCAAAUAUCUCACUUAAUGGUGGGAGGGGAGUAUUUAGUCUUAGUCUGCCUUUAGGUUAGGGUUUUAUUUGAAAUCUAAAUAGAAAUGCCUCCUAGAAAUGAAAUAGCUGAAUUCUUUAUCCUUAAAAGACUGGAAUCCCUCCAACCAAUGACUACUCAACCUUUAUCACAAUCUCAACUGCUUUCCACAGAAAGUAUUACCUGAGGUUGAACAUUUAUCCCUUCAACCUGAUUGCCUUAAACAUUCAUAGCUAACAGUUGACAUCGUCUUUCCUUAAUAAAAGAAGUAAACUAUUUAACGGUUUUAGUUUGUCAGCUUUCACCACUUCUGUUUUGUCUUCCUCGACUAUACAUUCUCUUACUCCAAAAGGGUCUAACCCAGACAGAGAUUACUUUUCGAUAACACACCUAGUUCGGGGGUUGAUUAACAGGAAAGCCCGCGGCCUACCACUACGAAUUUAUAGCUAUAAAGGGUCACAGUAUGAAACUGCUACCCAUUUGAUGCACAAGGAUGCUAUGGUUAAAGCUAAUAUCUACUCAGCUGUUCCCCGACUUAGGCUAUAUAAUCCAUCUUAGGUACAGUAACCUAGACUCGAACUCACUAUACAGGAAACCAACCGUUCAACGAAAUGUGUGCUCAAUUUAUUAGAAUACGCUUGUAAAUCCUCUUCUAAAUUCUUACUGUAAAAGAAUAAGGGAAACAGUCAUUGUUGAAUCUGCAUGGAACCCUAUAUGAAUAAUCAUUAUUGUAUUCUACCAAACAUCUUAUGGGGUUGGUAAAACCAACGCAUUGGUAGCUAUAAAGCUUGCUACCAUGAUGGCAGUGCCGACACUCGCUUCAUAGCAACAUUAUUAUCCAUGUUCUCGGCUUGGUUAACGUUAAAAACCUCCGUAAAGGAAAGGUUGGAUCAUUCAUAAAUGUACUAAGAUAAGAACAGUAUUCACUAUGUCUUUAUUGAUCAAGAAAGUCACCCUCUUGUAACCAUUAAUAACGGCUUCUGGGUUCUUAAAAGCAUUCAAAUUUGCCAAUGGGUGAGCUAUUUCUUGGGGGAUAAUAAAAGGGUUAUCACACUGAACAUACCUGUACCAAACUACAACUCCUAUCCCCAUUAAUACAAGGAUAUUAAACAUACCCCAGACAAACUUAUUGUUUGAUUUGUUAAAAGUGCAAGUUCUAACUUGCGUUAUAGCACUAGAAAAUACUGUAUUGUAUCCAACAAAAUACCUUUCAAUCCUCGGCCCACUUCAGUUUUCGUGAUAAAAACUCAUUAUGGGGAUAGUCUGCCCCUUCAUAUAUAGUAUCAAUAACAGGAUCUCUUAUUGGAUCGUCUCUAAGAUCUCCUAACCUCUCCCAUGCAUUUUUAGCUACUAAACGAAUGUUUGUAUUUUUUUGAGAUAAUAUCUCACCGUCGUAAAUAAGGGUUUGACCGCAGCAUGUUAAAACAUGAGGCAAUUCAUGAAACUCUUCUAUCAAAUCAUAUACAUUCGAGACUCCAUAUAGGUCUAUCUAUAUAGUAUAGUAACUGAAAGCAGUCUCAUUGGUGUAUUCCAUUUGUGGUAAUACUUUAUAUUCAUUAUGGAAAACUCUAUCGCACAGCUUCUUAGCAAGUAAAGAUUGCUUAUACAUGUUGAUUUUAGCAAAGCUGUUAAGAAUGCUCUCUUCAUCAGUUUGCAACAUAUGUUUGAUAUUGCUGUAGUUUUGGGUAAGUCCGACCUUGAAGAAUAAUCCGACCAUGAGGAGUAUGGAGUGUUUGCCAUGUUUUGUAUCUUUUCAGUUGUUCUAUUUAUGGAUUUAUUGGGAUUUUCCAUGAGUUUAGUUGUAUCUACCCGAUUGUGGUAUCCCCACCUCUAUCCUUGUAAUUGGUCAGAGAGAUACAACUCUAUUAAAAGAAAAUAACCCGAGAUUUUGACCCUAAAGAAAAAGAAGUGUCUCUAUUUAGAGAUUUAUCUACUUAGAUUUAGAUUUAGAUUAAAAAAUAAUACUCCUUCUAUAUUAUUCUAGAAUAUGUAUCCCAAUCCAUCUCGAGUAAUUUGUAUCAAUACCUAUUCGGUAGAUCCUUUUUUCUGUGCCAGGAACCAGAUUUGAACUGGUGACACGAGGAUUUUCAGUCCUCUGCUCUACCAACUGAGCUAUCCUGACCAUUUCUUGUGCAUCAUCCUAGUAGAGUACGUACUUGUAUCUAUGUGGGACUAAAAAAGAAAAAAGUAUUCUAAAAUUGGACUUAGUAAAUGUCAGGAUAAUGAUAAUGACUUACUUAAUAAUAGGGAUUACUUGCCUAUACUAUACUAUAAUAUGUUCAUUUGUAUGAAUGGGAUAAGAUCCAAAGAAGUAAGUUCGGAUCCGUUUGUGAAAGAGUAGAAUAAGAAAGAUAGUGAAUCUUGUUUGAACCAUUAAUGAAAAAUAGAGGUUGGUACAAUAGUAUAGUAUAGUUAGGAAGUAAAAUGGGCUUUUUAUUGGGGAUAGAGGGACUUGACUUGAACCCUCACGAUUUUGAAUAGAAAGUCGACGGAUUUUCCUCUUACUAUAAAUUUCAUUGUUGUCGGUAUUGACAUGUAGAAUGGGAUUCUCUCUUUAUUCUCGUCAGACUUGAACCUAACGAAGAAAGAAUGAGGAAGAAAAAGAUAUCGUGAUGUACGUCUAAAAACGGAAACUUAAGAACGCUUUUACCAAACCAAGAAAGCGUAUCACUUUUCAAUUGAUUGGAUCAUCAUAAGAUCGACUGUGUUUCACCUCCCAACCCACACCGGGUUAUGUUCCUCAAUUCCAACAAGGGUAUAAUCAGCCGCCCCGGCACAUCGACCGGCUCAACCCAUGACGAGCCACCUUCACCAAAGCAGCUACAACCUCCCUAUUAAAGUGACCCCCGGACCUAUACCAUACCCUUUUAGAAUCUCCGCAAAUUGCCAAUUACCAUUCCCAGGCUAGACCGAUUAAAGAAACUAAAUUCAUACCCAUCCUCUGGUCUAAAGAAGAGUUUUUUUUACUUUACUUAACUUUACAUUAGAGACCUAAUUCAAGGCGCCGCAUCUCAGCCCUUCUCAAUAGAAUCCAUGUGCCAUUGCCUGAAUGUCAAUCAGCCCCUCCUGUCCGAAAAGAAGCAUAUCCGAAUAAAGCAAGGUAACCCACAAAGCAUUUUUAGCUAUUAAGGACUGACUUCAAAAGGCUCAAAAAAACUGGAAUCAGUUGGAGGAAACUAAGGGCCAGGUUCACAUUAUCAGUGAGCGCGGAUAAGAACGUUUCCUGGAAUUCCACAUCCCAUAUUGACUCUACCAUCCCGGCACGUUGGCCACUAAGUCCAAUCUGACCUAUCUCAAAUAAGAUCUUUUAGGAUAAAUUUUAUAGGCAUCCCUCGCACUUUGUUUCGCUAGCAGCAGCCCGGACUCGUAUGCCAGUGCUCGCUAUCCAGCCAGUCUAAAGAGUUCGCCUAGAAAGAACUUCUCACUUCCAGGCUUAGCGGCUGACCUAUGAACCACUUCUACUGGUGGCUGCUACUGCUAUCAAUCGUAUAAUAGACUGACUCCUUUUUCGCAAAGCGGAAAGAAACAUCCCAAGUCAACAUUGCCAAAAGUGGACCACUUCUGCUUGAUACUUGCUUGCCAAUCCUUUACUCUUUUUGUUCCGCCCUGGCAUCUUUACCCGCCUACCAGAAAUGUGUAUCACAAGGUAUGAUGGGAUUAGAACAGUUCCAUGUCCAUGCAUUAAAUUAAAUGCCGCUCCAAUCGAUGAAGGGCACAAGAUCUCGUCCUUGACAUAGGAAAGCUCAAUCUCUUAAAGACAUAGCAUUGAAAGAGUGAGUAAGAAGCAUGAAAUCCAGGCUUAUCCUUUCUAUGACUAUGAACCAAGACUUAUUUAUAAAAUAAAUAGGUUUCUAAAAUCAAUAGGUGAGCUCCCUAGAGGAGUAUUUUCUGUCCCUCGACCUUUGUCUUCAGACUACUUUUUCUAUUUCAUACAGACGACGAAAAAGAACUCGAUUUUCCAGGGAAGGACAGCUGGAGGAUAGGAUCCUUUUUUCCGACAUUUAGACGAUAAAGUAACUGCUUUUCUCACUAUUCUCAGAAUGAGGGAUUGGGAUUGACCGGGACCUAUUCUCUGGGAACUUCCGCCUCCUUAGCCAAUCCACCUUAUUCUUGAUAGUUCGGUAUGAAUGGUAUUCUUUUUAGUCUUAAUCCUAAUACUUCUAUCAUGGUAUUAAAUACCCUAGUACUGUUAGGAGAAUGCCCAAUAGCCCUUGAGCAUGGAAGGAAUGAUACGAAAAUAGCGAAUUUGCUUAUUAGGAGUAGAAGCACUUUUCGAUAGUAAGAUAGAUAUAGAUCUAAAGGGCCUAGCAGUUCUUACAAUACCAGUAGUAAUAGAUAGGAUACCUUAUGGAGAUACCUUGAAAAAAAAAGACUAGUUAGAGUUUCUCAAAAAAGCUUAGGAAAGCAGGUUUAGGAAAGGAAGUUUCACCAGUGUCUAAGUAAGAAAAGUCAAGUUAGUCAUCUAAGGAAAGCCUUGGGCGAAAGAAAAACCCUUUUCUCUGCGCAUAUUCCCUUUCUAGAGUAUUAUACUGUCAAUAACUAUCCUUUAGUUUCCUAAAUCCCUUUUGCCUAAAGUAUAAUAUCUGAAGUAGUAGAUGCUACUGAAAGAGGUAUGUCAUAAUCAUAAGUAGUUACUUCUUCCAUUUUGACUGUAAUAGAGUUCAAGUAGUUGAUAGCGCCAGUCUAAGUAGUUAUCUCUGUUCUCUUUUGGAGAUGUAGUAAACUAUGCGUAAGCUGUAUUUGACUAUGGAUAAGGAAUAGUUCUUGCCUAUCUAUCCGGAGUAUUUGCCUAUUCCUAAGUAGUUAUUCACUAUCCAUAACCUUUAUCAGUAUCUGACCUCUUGGGCAAGCCAAAAUCAGUAAUUCUUAAAAGCUAGUAUCUUUACCUCUUUCUUUCCUCCGUCUAAGGCCAGUCAUUUUCCUUCUCUGCGGUUGCUUAUGGUGAGUGCUAAUUCCUUCCAAUUGCAGUCCUUCGAGGUUAUAUCCUAUCCUGGUAUAUGAAAGAGAAGAUCAAUUCCUUAGGAGACAGGUAUCGAUGCUUGCCAGCAGGAGAAAGAUCACUAGGUUCAGUCUCUGAUCUGAUCAAUAGGGUUCCCUAGGUACAUUCCGUUUUCUGGAAAUCCUGCAGGGAUAGUAGCUCCCUUUUCGAGGGCAAAAAAACUCGUUAGGCUAUCCGAGAUUUUCUCUUUUUUCCAGCUUUUUGGAGUUCAAAUAAGGAGUGCCCGGCCAUCUAAAGUGCCAGUAGUCUAAGUUCCCCUCCAGGCUGCAGGGUAAAGGGCAGACACAGGUUCAGAGCGAGGGGAAAGGAUCAAGGGUGCGUAGUAUGCUUCUUACCCGCCUUAUCUGCUAGGUCUAGGAUUGGUUUUGUUAACUAGAGAUCUUUUCCUGGACGUUUACACCUAUUCCAUUUUUAAGCUAAGCUCAUUUUCGAGUACUAAGCAUAGCAUAUAUAUUACUUGCUACUUGCCAAUAUGUAGAUAAGUGAGUGUAAAAAGUCAAUGUCCGACCGUGGCUAUUGAAUCGUCGAGGUUGUGUUAGUGAGCUGCUCUUUGAGUCUACCUUUUACCCAAGGAUGUAGUUGUCUAUGCAUAAAGAUUGGAAUUUCCCAUCUUUUUCAGCUCUGCUCCCAAAAGAGAAAGGAGACUGAACACAUUUCUAUACCCGGACGAUCAAUUCAAUUUAAGUAUACGCAUACCUUUUCCCACGAUUCAGGAAUAGCCAUAGAGGACUACGUUUUAUAGACGUACGAAUCCUACGAUACGCGCAAAAGCUAUGAAACCAUUAGGAAGGGCACAGCAGCCCCAGGCCGGCUCCUUCUUUUACCUUGAAAAACAGAUAGGAACGGCAAAUCCUUGUUGAAGAAGAGAGGUGAGCAAGAGUGAAGAGUAGAGCGCGCAUGGGAAGUGCGGUCGCUAUGAACGAAGUGGGAUUAGAUAUGGAUCUUCGAAAUAAGAGUCUUUCUACUUUCUAUAAGCUAUAAGUGAAUUAUUGAUCAAGAGAUAUGUGAAACUAUGCUCUUAGAACACCUUCUUCCAUGCUAUUGAAGCAGGCGAACAGGCGAGUGAGUGAAGAGAGAAGCCAUGCCUCUUUCGAGGUGAGGCAAGCGAUGAACGAGUAGAUGCUGCCCUUAGACCUAUUCUCUCUUUCGGUAGCAGACACCGUGAUGGGCUAGGCUAGGAAACCUUAUUCGAUACGAUAGGACAGGUAAACAAAGCAAGGCCUGGGUCGAGAGCCAAUUUCAUAUUCUCCGGUUCCAUUCCUGAUCUUCCUGUCAUCGUAUCUUGUGUAAGAAUCGCUUUCAGGCUUCUUAUCGCUUUCUCAUCAGUGGCAGUUUUGUCUCCCGUCCCUACCGAACUAUACUAUUAGUAACUGAUCAACUUACUGUUGGAGUUCUUAAGCAUAUCUUUUUCCAUUAUUAGUUCUAUCUUCCGAGUGGACUAAGGCAUCAAUCUGAACUAUAAGCCCUAUCGCUUGGGAAUAAAUGCUUCCCUAGCUGCUUGCCGGAGAAAAACGAAGCCUUAGAAAUUGUAAAUGAAUCCCUAAAAGCGGAGAAAGGCUUAAACCUAUUCAUCUAUCCUAUCCCUCGCUUGACUCUUCUCGGAAAAGGUUCUCGUUCCCAUGAAUCUUGAUCUGCCUCCUGGCAUUGAUAGCGAUUGAUCGAAUUCCUACUCUGGUUUGAGAAGCUUUUCAGUUUUCCUUAUCACUGAAAAGAAUUCAAAAUACGUAUAUUUGGUACUAAAUAAACCGCCUUCGCUGGCUAAUCCCUAUGUCUUGGUACUCUACCCUCCCAUUCAUAAGAGAGUGGUAGUUGUCACCGGAAGCAGGUGUGAGUUGAGUAAGUCUUGUCAACAACGCUUCGCACAACUAAAUACUAACACACUGUUUACUUCUGUACUUCUCCACCGCCAAAACACAAUGACUGAUGCAAUUCAUACAGGCACGAGCGAAAAACGAGCUGAACGAGUGAUCAGGUGCUUCGACCUCUCUUUCUACGGUUGGUUUCUGACAUCGAUCGAGAUUCAACAUUCAGUAGGUUUGCUUUGACGAGUUAAAGGUGGAAGCUUCGAAGCAUCAGUGAAGAGAGUGACCCGGAGCCCAUCCUUCCUGUACGCAUUUCUGCCUUAUUUUGAAAAGCAGCACGGGGACUUCAUCUGCCCAUGAUUGAUUCCCGGCUAUGAUUUAUAAAAAAUCUUCGCUUCAAAAGCUUUCAUUUCAUUUUCUUCAAAGGCACAUGCACUAGGUUACUUACGGAAUCUCAAAGAAAGAGUCGUCCAGGAGCACUUCGUUAGAUUUGCAUGUGUUAAGCAUAUAGCUGAAGUAGCCUAAGCGCUUCAACCUGCUCGCUCUUACAAGACGAAUCUCUUUCUAUACGCAAUUGAAACUAGAGUCUACUCCUUUCUGGUCUGAAAUCUCAGUGGAGACGGUAAAGAUUAGGUGCCUUUUUUCUUGACUAUCCAUCCCAUUCAAAGCUUAUCACACUUCUCCUUCCGAUUCUUUUUCUUUUACUCCGCACUUUUGCUCUUUCGAGCCAAAAUGAAUGGGUCUUAGGGUGACUCCUCUUCUCCAUGAGUAGGUAAACUCAUGUACCACGCAGAGCCCCAACAGUUUACCCUCUUUUCUAUUAUUUUCCUCCACUAAUUUUAGAAUCCGCACAUAAUUGCGGAGUAUUUGUAGUAGGUAGAUAGAGGCAACGACACUUAUACUCAGUAAUAUAGAAAAAAACUUAGCAUUAUCCGUCGCUGUCUGGUACACAUAAUGAAGAAACUCGAUCAUGGAAAAGAUUGAUUGAUUUUGAAGCUCUGCUCCCAAAAGAGAAAGGGAGACUUAAAGAUUGUGGGUUUGGUUUUUCCAAACAAAAGAUAAAUAUUGGAUAAGAAGUUCAACAAUAAAACUUUCCUUCAGUAGGCUCGCUCCCGGUGGAGCCGCCAGCCCGCUCAGAAGUGGAUUCGAACCCCCGACACCGUGGUUCGUAGCCACGUGCUCUAAUCCUCAGAGCUACAGGCCCACCCCGUCUCCACAGGUCCCGGGGAUACCCCCCACCCUCACCUUUCUGAGGACUAUAAAGCCUUCUCGAAUUAGGUCUCUGGGUUCUAAUAAGAAGGCCUCUCGAAUUUGUUCUACGGUAGAAGCUUCUACCAAAGUUGUAGACCCGGAUACUAAUCUUUCACUCACUGAAAAGUGAAAACCUGUGACUAUAUCGUCCUGAAGACGGAUGCGACGGGAAGAAGUGGCAUUUAGAAGUGUUGCUGACUUGACAUUUAGGUUUCGGCAUAACAAAGCUUGCACUGUCUUUUCGCACUUAGGCGCACAGCGUGCCGCUGGUAAUGAUUCUACUACUUUUACGGUGCUGCAAAUUCGCAAGCUGAUCCGUAGAUUAAGUAAUCGUUGUUGUUCAUUGGAUUCCUCCAGAAUGACUUCGUUAGGAUUGAAGAAUUGCUGCAAUGAUUCCUGAAUAGACUCGAUUCUCCCGUCGAGAGUUUCUUUGAAAGUCUUACCUAAACUCUUCCGACUUAAUAUGAGAAAGCCUAUAAAACAACGAGCUACUAUCAUUUCUUCAUUAUAGAUUGAGAUCUUCUUCGGACUUGAUGCACAAAUAGAUGGAAUAGCAGCAAAUAGCAUAUUUAUACCCUUCAUAUCCAUUCCACUAAAUCUCAUUGUGACUCUCCACUUUUAUGAUGAAGCUCUGCUCCAAGAGAAAGGGAGACUUUUUUUGUGGUUGGUUUUUCCAAAAAAAGAACAUUCGAACAAAUAGACUUGAUUCCAUGACAAGCAAAAAUGCUAGCUUCCCAGUAACUGUAACGCAUACACUGGAGCGUUUGUCCCAUUGACGAAGGCCAAUGAAACUAUUCUACUAAUUUUCUGAGGAGCAACUUGACAUUUCUUCAUGCAGCUCAAAAGCUCUAGCGGAAUCGCCGCAGCAUCCUGAUAUUUUCAUAUUCUAUAUGUGACCACAUCAGGGAUUAACCCUGGAUCUCUUAGCCCACUGAAGAUUUCCUCAGCUGAAGAUAUGCGUCCUUGCCCACAAAUUCAAUAAGCGAAUUGAAAGAUAGGACAGUUGGAUCAACUCGGAAAUCUCCUCACCUCAAAUGAGUUCCUUAUCACUGCAUCAGAUGCCACGCAUGAGAUUGUCCUUACCAAUAUCUUUACGCGCACCCAGCUUUGGUUACCCACACCACCAAUGCAACUAAUUUCUGAUCCCAACUUCAUUCCUUUUAUUUAUCCGCGUUAUAUCAUUCGGGUAAUCUUAUCUCCACCUUCGUCAGAAGGCUUUGAAGUCGUGUUCCAACUGAACGGACCCACAUUCGGAUAUUGCAAAGUACACGGCAAUGCUUGGGCUGGCUACUAAUUCAAGGAUGAUGAGUAGGAUAUUCACUCCAUGCUCUUAGGGAGUUCUUUAUGCUGUGCGGUUACCGCCUUGCCACUAUAGAUCUCGUUCCUGAGAUGAAAUUCACUGUUCUCAGUGUAGACUAUGACACUGCCCCAUAAUGACCAAGGGAUGAAACCGGCUUUUACAUAACUCAGCAGUUCCUUUGUGUACUUGCAGACGCUGGUGACGAUCUGUUGUUAGUUCUCAUGAGCACAGAAACUGAUAAAGUAAUAAUUUACCGCGGGGUUAUAAAAUGGGUGAAGCCCUCAAGCCUGGGAUUCAGUGGAAGAAGUGAAAUCAGUUCUCGCUUUGAGACUUCCAGAUUGCACCGCAAGUAACGAUGGAAUGCAAGAAAGAAGACUCAGGAAUGAAAUCAAUCAAACCUCCUACUCAUACUACCCCCUCUUCCCGAUAAGCCCUGUCUUCUUCUUCGCCAUCGACUUUAACACGUAGUCCUGCCCGUGUGAAAGCUGUCAACACACCCCGCUCACUACGACGGUUCGACAACCCUACUACCAUUCCCGUAAGGUGGGCGGGCUUCAUGUAAGGUGGCCCUCUUCCGUAUUGAUAACGUAGAUUUGAAGCACCUAGAAGGAGGAAAGUCACGAAGUCAUCAGUAGGAGUAGUGAAAGCAAUACGAAUCAAUGAAUUGAGGGCAGUCGAAGCAGACAGUAAAUUACUUGAAAUAAAGAUAAAUAAGUGCUCGAGCAAUUGAUUAUUAAGUAAGUAGGCGGCGUAGAAGGGGCGGUUCUACUUAAAUGAAAUGAAUGGCUCGUUCAUAAAUCCACUCGCUUGGCAGCAGUCCAUUCCUACCGUACUCCGGCUAUUCUAUCUGUCUGUGUAUCGCGUAGAGCACGUACUAUGAAUCCAAGUUCCCUAGUGUCAGACUCAACUCAGUCUGGUAGUGUCCCUGGUCCUAUCGAAGCAGCUACUUCAUCCCUGGUGUAAGGGCUUGUAGCUUUCAAUGUGUUCUUUCUUGCAGUAAAGUAAGGAACGAUUGAUCUCUCUUUUUUGAGGGACCAUAGGCCUUAGGCUUAGUCCUAGAAGGUUGAAUGCUUUCGCUACGCCCCGCAUAAUGAAACCUAUGUCUUAGAAUUUUGAAUUCGCUUAUAUAAGCAAUUAUAAGAUCCUUCCUCUAUCUCAUAGUCAAGUACGGAGUAGGAAUCAAUAACAAUUGAAUAAGACAUAAUUAUUGCUGCAUGCAUGUUCACCUAAAGCAUUUCUUACCACUUAAGUGAACGAGGGGGAUAUCAGUAUUUUGACUGACGGCUGUUGUCUAAUUAUUGAAAUAGAAACACUCCCUUCCAAAUGCUAUUGCCAUUCUCCAUUCCGGUCUGUAGCAACGUACUUAGCGCACUAGUUCAAUUUUUUGAUUCACUCUUCGCAUUGAUAAAUCAAACAAACUAUGACAAAUUAAAGGAGAGGGAGGGCACUCUAACCAGGCUAUAUUUUCACUGCUUCAUGGAUUUUCGUUAUUGGGUCUCACCCCGGGAGAGAUUUUCUGCAUCAGCGAUCAUGCCCCCCUUAUUCUAGCGGAGGAACAGCUUCAUCAGAUUCAUUCCCUUGCUAAUCCGCCUUCAAGUACAGGAAAGGCUCCUGAAUUGCUACCUAAUAAUAGAUGACUUCAUUUUACGGAAUACCUGCAACGAGGUUAAGGCGUUAACAAAGAGAGGCCAUAGAUAGGCACAGUCUUCCCAUCCCAUACUGGGAGUCAACAGCUUAGAUGAAAUCCAAAGGCUUCUUAUUAUUCACCGCUAGGAUCUCUACCCGUUAUCCAGGAUGGGCAAAUGAAUGGACUCUCCCUCCCCUCAAUAAUAGUCGUAUCAAGAGACAGAGGUGAGUUAGCAAUUUCAGAUAGCUCGGUUGCGGGUACAGUUGCACUGAAUACUCCUCUGCUUCCCCAAGGGAAUCGAGUGGAUUAAAGCACUCCACUCCGUAGUACAAAGAAAUUCACAGCACUGAUUUGUGACAGUACCAUGCUAGCACAGUGAAUUUUGUGCUUCCAUUCUAAUCUAAUUACAGAAGAAAUGAUGCUGGAAGAAAUGAGCUUUUCUGCUGUAGUUUAUUGAACUAAGGCACUCUGCACAUAAGUCACACCUAACCGGCUAUAUGUUUCUUGAUCGCCGAUAUCUCCUCCCCACCCAGCAUUUGCUAGCUUGCCAAGCUUCCCUCACGAGACUGUGAAAAGCAUAUAGGAAGGCAGAACAAAGACAGGUGGGACCUCAAUGAUGAGUAUGCUUGCUUCGCCUCCACUGCAAGACAAUAGCUUGGGCCAUAGCCAAUAACCAGUUUCCAUCCUAGCUUUUCGCGACAAUCCAUGAUAUCUUGCUGAAUGCAUUGCUUCGGAUCUCUAUGCUCUGCUACAGUGCUCUUCCGUCCAUUCGAUUCUUUUCCUGCCAGUCAGACCCCCCAUUUCAUGUAGUCAAGGACUCAAGGGAGUUAGUUCUAGGUGGGCCGCCCCAAGAGAACCAUUCGCAGCAACGAUGGUCAUAUAGGAUUUCCGGUACCAAAGGUGACAUCGGCGACUGAAGAAAGACUAUUUAGCAAAGGAUUGACGGGGCUAGUCUACAGAACAGAUUCAGACCCAAUGAGGUAUAAUUCAUAGAAUAAAAGAGCUUUGAUUGUCUUGCCUAUGAAACAACCUAGGAUUCUCUUUUCAUUUGAUGUCAUAGACUCUACUCGAGCCAGGAAUCGAUUUGUAAUUUCAGUGAAGUUCAAAGCUGUAUUGUAUGGAGAAAUGGUGAAUUCCCAGUGGUAAGCCCAAGUUAUGAUAAAUAGAAAAUCAAUGCGCUGGUUUAUUCCAAUAUUUAAGACGUGGAUGAGGGCGCGCGAAUAUCGAAAGUUCUUCGAGGGAAGAGUUCGGAGAACAACAACAUGCUUUCUUUGAAAAUCCAAAAGCCCAUAUAUAUCAUAUCUUCUUUGCAUUUAGAUCGCUGUGUGUUUCGCGUGUGGCAGGGUUGGGGUUCAUUGGCAUCAUGACUCCCUUUUUGGAUAGGGGAAUAAGAGAAUUUCCAGGUCGUAGUGAGACUGCAUCGUUCGAAGACGCAUGUUCCUCUAUUUCUUCUAAUCUAAAGAGGUCAUUCAUUAGUGUGGCGUGGGUUCUCCCAAUCAUUAGAAGAAGAAUCCAACAAUGUAUGUUCAAAAGGGGGCUGGGAUUAGGUCUCAUUUAAGACAGAUCCUUAAACAGAUAUGGCUAUAACCCUUCCUUAGACUUAGAGUGACUUGAGUGAAAGUGAUAGCUUCUCCUACUUUCGAAACAGAACGACUAGGUGGAGUAUAUUGCCUAUCUUUUGUGUAUUCUCCCGCAUAUCGAUUUCAUGAUUGUCGUCUACUUCCCUCUCCUGACUUGAUUCUCUAAUGCGAGUAUGGCGCUUCUCUCUCCCGUCCGGUCUACCUUAUUUUAGCGCAUCCUCUCUCUCCCCUUCUUGGCUCUUUCGAGUUGCGACUCUUCUCCAAAAAACCCAAGGAUAUGCAAUUCCCAUUAUGUGUGAGCAUGCGUCCUUCAUAGAGAUAAUUAGGUGGUUUGGCAAUCAGUAAAUUCUCAUUCGGAUGAGGAAGAUGACUUGUUCGGAGGAAGGAAAAGAAAGAGAAAAAGGGUUUUUCUUAAAAGAGAAAGUCUGGCACAUGCAUAUGCAUAAGAAAAGCGGGGCUAUUCUCUAGAAUGCCUAUUCCGUCCUGUUCUGCAAAUCGAUUUCUCAAAUCUCCCCCGCUACUUUAAUCCGAUGCUUGACCUGCUUCCUGAAACGAAAGACUGCUCCACGAACAUCUCAACAAAGCUUGCCCAAAGGACGAGAACCCCUUGACUGGCACUGCUGACCUUCCACCGGCGUAUCCACGAACAGAAGCUGCUGUUGGUACCUUGCAAUCGUAUCCCGGCACCUUGACUGUCCUAUCUGCUUGCCAAAUAGAACUUUCCGAUGGCCAACUCCAAUUAUUUUAUUGAGUUCGCACCUCCAACCUCACCGGAAUCAGUGGUAGCUGCUCCAAAGUAGUUCUGAAAGCGAAAGAAGAAUCGGCUUCUGUGUCAGGGUCAUCUAGAGAGUCGAAAGUAGAGUUUCAAGCAAGAGUGCGGCGCGAACCGGCAGAUCUUAUGAGAUGAGAAUCGAAGAAUUUCAUAGUUAGUGGGGCCAGGAAAACAUUCCUUGUAAUAGGUUACCCGAAGUAGAAGUGCCAGCUAGAAUAGAAAUCACUCGUAUAAUAUAAGAGUUCUGUUCUCACUUCCUGAUACGACCGAUACGAAAGAAAGCAUCUUCGUCAGAAACCCCGUUUGGAUGAUAGCUGAUUUGACCUCGAGAGAAAGGGGGAAGAUUUGAUCCAUUUGAAAGCCAGCGCAGCGCUAUCUCAGUGAAUGGGAUUCGCUUAGGCAAAUAGGCUCCUCAAUCCAUUACGAAGCCAGCAAAGAAAACGCUAUUGGAGAGUUCCAAAGCAAUCCAAUUCUCACUUCUGCUGCUCUGCAGCUUACCUAAGAGUUCUCACGCCUAGUGAAGAUCGGAAUCGGAAAGGGAAGAACGUUAUUCUAUGUUCCAGGCAGAACGUCUGUAGAUGCUAGGUCAAUUCCAGAGCCAGAGAUAGAAAGACAGCUUGAUUCGAACCAACCAAUAGCCUGCCUCUACUCACUGUUGACAAAGGAGGAAGGUUUUCCCUCGGUCCAGUAGAUUGCCGUAGUCAAAAGUCCAUCUCGCUAUAUGGCAAAAGUCGUGUUUUUCUAUUUCCCUUGACAAGAAUCCAGGCAGUAAUCACAUCAUUAGCAUUGAUCUACGCAUUUCGAGAAAAUAAGACGGGGCUACUUCACUUCCUAAUUAAUAAAGUAGGAGCGAGUACGGAGGUACUAGACCGUGAUUCUGGUCCUGAUGCGGACACACCUGUCGACAACAGAGAAGGGAUUCAAUUGAGAGCGGAUAGCAAGAUCGAAUGAAUGGAUACUCUGAGAUAGAACGAUAAAAAGAAAAUUUGAUUAAUCCUACAAAAGCCUUACAAGGCAGGUAAACUUUAUGCAGUAUCUGCUACAAAAAGAAGGUUAGAGAACAGGUUCCAUCUACUUUAUCCGCUUUUGGGCAUGAAGAACAUGCUUCUUUCUCAAUUUAUAGGAAUCGUUAACCUUUUCAUUGGAUUGGUUUUUUUAUGCAGUAGAGAAGCCGUUUCCUUUGAACUUGCUUGGUCCAUCGGACAGAUAUAGACAUGGAGAAGCUUUUCAAUGUAAAUCUUUCACUACUUUGUUUGGACCUUGCUUCUUCACUUAAUGCUUGCUUUCCGUCUUGCCUUUGCUGGGCCUACGAUAGGCUGUACUCCAAUACGAAAUAAGAUUGUACAUGAAGGUUGGUGAAAAGCAAAAGAAGCAAUUGGUUCUCAAAUGCCGUGACGUCACCUAGCUUUAUUCUAAAUUUAUCAUUCUAUUGGUAUGUAUAGUGUCUUUCAUCUGCUUUUUCAUUCAUUCUGCCCACAGCCGUUAGGUAUUAUGACAAAAGGAACCAGCAUGUUGCGGAGCAGCCAAGUAAACCAAGAAAUGACUCAAGUAAUCCAAGGGCAGAGCAACGUAAUCCAACGGAGGGGCUACGUGAUCCAACAGAAGAGCUACGUAAACAAGGAACACAUGAACCUGCUAAGGAUCCAUUCCACCUGCCAAGUAGACCAAUCACAAGAGCUCGGGCCAAGAAAUUCAAUGAAGUAAUCCAUAUCCAUAUGCUGAUUCAGCAAGCCAAGCAAGAUGUGGUGGAGAAUGCGCUAACGCGCAACGGCUUUCGCGCUAGUUGCUCAAUCCGUUGCUUGUUUGGUAAGAUUACCUUGGGAAGUCUCAGGGACUGACUGAACCGAAUGUAUAGCGUCAAGAUAAGAAGCACGCACUCCUACUAGACAUGGAAGGAGUAAACCUCAAAUAUGCUUUCUUCCCUUAGGUAUGUUUCUAGAUUCUAGUCCGAAGUCGGUCGUUGAUAGAUUUAUUUCUUUUGCUUGCUCUCCGUUACUUUCCCUUCCUAUAUUUAGAAAUCGAUGUAAAGACAAUAAGAAAGUGGUUGAGACAGAAGAUUCUUGGUAGUUUAUUGGCUCUAAGUACAAUGGGUACGUAAGUUAUGUGUUUUGUUUCAUGCUCCUUGGUGAUUUUUCAUCAAUAUGAUUUAUUGCCCAUCGAGAACUAACUCUUAGUAGGUACUCAACGUUGAAAUCACACCAUCCGAAAGCAGAAAAUCCAUCCCAUUAACGGAAUAUAUGUGACACAGCUACCUUGUUCAAGGAGAUACCAUUCCCAAACCAUAAGCAAGGAAGGGAAAAUGGUGGGUUGUGGCUCCUAAAGUUUGGGUAUGACUCCACUCCAUUACAGGUACUGGUACUGGCUGCAAACUGGUUCUUGGGUUAAUUAUGAUAGUUGUUGACGACAUAGAAGGUUUUUCACACCAGUAUCUACAGUACUUGAUGCUAGGAUGACUGGAGUCAUGGAGCUUGUCAGGUUUCCAGAUCCAGGUGCCUAUCUUAUUUAGAUACUUCAGCUUAUGCGGCACAUCUCUUGCAGCCUAUGCCGGCCUCAGAUCUAACUAAAUCUAAAUGAGCCAAUGUUUCUAAAUCAAAAUGCAAGGUUGAAGGAAGGGGAAAGUAGAGCAUAAUAUGCAAGCGCCGCUUAUGGGAAUAUCUUAGCCAGUUGAAAGAAGUGCCAGAAAGUAUCUUCUAGUGACUUCCUUUGAUCUUCACUAAAAAACAAGCUUCUUAAGUAUUUAUUUCAAAGAAGCAAGCAAUAUGACAUUUUCUGUGUCUUCCAUUGGCAGCACUAUGGAAGAAUGAAGUAUUUGCAUCUCCCUUAUAGAGAUUGGCUUCAAGCAAGGCAGUGAACCCGCACUGAUCGAAUGAAUUCUUCUUUAAAAGCUCAAAUCCAAUGCUUUCAUGCCCCAUCCUGUGAUCUAGUUGCCCUUUCUCGUCACUAUUCUAUUCUAUAUCGAAUCGAGAAAGCUUUACUUCACUUCUAUUUGCUUUGCUUUGCCUAAGAGAAAAAGAGAUUCCCAUUGGCCCCGGGCCUAUAUCACUAUAUCAUGUUUGCUUUCAAGCAAGAGUUCAACGAGAAAACGAAUCUAUAGAUGAAGCGGAAGAUCCUCCUACGAGAAAAGAGAUCGAAUCCUGCAUAGUGCCAGGCCAUGAAGUAAAAGAAUGCUUUCCCUUGGGCCCAUUUCAUCCUAUUUAUCUAUGUCAAAUCAAGGCAGAACGUCCGUAGAUGCUAGUGCAUUAGUAUUAGUUGGGCAAGGCAGCUCAGGGCUAGCAACUGAGCGAAAGACACCGGAAAGUGCUUUAAAGGUGCCGGGAUACGAUUGCAAGGUACCAGCAGUAGCAAGUUGCAAGUAGAUCAUCUCUCUUUCUUUCUACUCGCGGGAGUGGUGUUUCGGGUCAGGCUAAAGACAUCGAACUGCGGAUCAGUCGUGAUAGAAACCCCUUUCUAGAAUAGAAAGCGGAAAGGAUGCGCCGGCUCGCCCCGCCGGGAGAGGCUGAAAGGCAGAAAGGAAACAUAGGAACCACCAAUCUAGUCAUUGCUUCUCUUCUCCCAACUCCUGAGAACUAAUAACAGGAUGAAACCGGAGCCAGACCCAGUUUAGAUAAGGUAUGUCUCUGCUCGACCAUACUUCUGGAUCCCUUCUGCCCUUGCACUCGAGGACCAUUUCCUGGCGCAGAGAGACCUGAUUGACUGCAUUUCCAGCUGGGCAAGCAAUUCCAUGAAAAGAAGAGAUGACCGGUUGCGGGGAGGCCAAGGCCAGAGGAUUGUGCAGUGCCGGAUCUAUCUCUUUCCAAAAUAUCAUAGAGAAAUAAAAGAAAUGAGGUGUUAGAUCUUGAUUCUCCGCAAAAGUUAGGGGACCAAUAGAGGUCCGCAAUAGUGCCCCGAAAUGGGAGCCGCAGACCCCGCAACCUGUCCAGCUGUAGUAGGAGAUUCCAGUAUGAAGCACAUCAUUGCGUUGAUUCUACGAUUCCAUGAUUCAAACAUGACUGAUGUUCAGUCAUUCGCUACUCAAUAAAUUGUGGGGCUUCAUGGUUGCAACUAUGAGAGUGGAGAAGAUCCCAGUUAUGGACUUUUUUAAUAUGUCUAGGUUUCACGGUAUUCUUAUGAUGAAACAUAUUAUUGCCAAUAGGCAUGAAUGAGUACUGAAGCUAUUAAAGAGAAAAGUUUACGUUUAUGAGUUUUAAGUUCUGAUACCCGGUCUUUCCUACUUUUGUGAUCUGGUGUGAUCGACUUGUGGAGGGAAGUACUUAAUACGCGUUUCAAGAACAACCCAGGGAAAGAAGACUGGUGAGAUAUGGAAUGGAAAAGGUUGGAAAAAGGGGUACUAAUAAAAGUGAAAGGCCAGGCUUAUAGCUAAGAAAUUUACUUAAUAACACGACCCCUUACUCAGUUUGCCUUACUCGAAAGAAGCACGAGCGUCACCCUAGCCAGCAUUCUUUUUAUUUGGAUUUGGAUUUAGUAGAAUCCAAGCCAUCUUACUCAUUGAUUAGUAGAGGUCAAUUCAAUGCUCUAAUAAGCUUGCGAGAAAGCCUAAGUGAAGUUCAGUCUCUUUUUUAGUCUGUCUCUUUUCAGUUUUUAAGCAAGUGACCAUAGGGCAAUGGAAAGAUCUGAUACGGCCGGCGUUAUAGGCCUUGUAGGUUGCAACUCCUUCUAAGAUAAUAAAACGUAACCACGAGGGAGAUUACGAAUAUUCCAAGCAUAUACAUCUUAGGCCAGUAAGCUAAGGAUAGAUGAAAUCCAGUAAGACAGCCAAGCCAGAAGCAAACGAGUUAUCAAGUGGCGAGAUAAAGCUUUGUAUAGCUGCUGUCUUUUUCAUAUAUACAUAUGUAGAAAGGGGUAUAGCUGAGGAGUUUUGAAUUCGAAGAGCAGGCAUAUUGAGAAUAAGCGAGUAGUUUUAUUUCUUACCUCACUACUGUUUCAAGUGCUUUUGCCUUCUAGCGAGUGUGAGUUCCCCCUAGGUAGGGCGGGCUAUAGACUAAAAGAUAUCUGUCAAUGAUAGAGCAGUAGAUUUCUUUCUUUUAAGAGUUCUCUUGCUUGUUUUGAUUCUGUUUAUUGUAUUCUGAAGUUCGUUCAUCACCUUACUUUUCGUGUCCAUCUAGGACUGUUGGUUUAUACAUGGAUCCUAUUCUAGACUAGAAUAGAACGCGUAUCUACGACUUUCCCAUCCAAGUAAGCCACGGUGAAGGAAGGUUAAAUCUUGUCUAAUAUAUAUAAACUUGACCUUUGUUGGUUCAUACAUACCUUUUCAUUCCUGCUAGUAAGGCAUUCCAGGUUUGAUCAGUGCUUUUCUCGAGGAAGAUCAAGAUCCAGCUCUAACCAUAGUCGGUUCUGCCGGUUUAAGUUUCAGGGCAAGUUUCUUGUGUGGGUGGAUACGGUUUCAUUCUGACCUUUGAUUGUUGACUUCGGGCAAGGUCAAGUCAUGGGAUAUAGUUCAAAAAGUGCCAGAAGGCAGCUACGUCUGAGUUGGAUAUGGAAGCUGGGUGAAGUAAGACCAAUAGAGAUGAACUAUUGAUAUUGACCUGGCUAGCGCUAACGCUUUGCAAGGGAGAUGGGUCCGCUUGAAAUCGCUAGAGUGAGAAGAUCUGCUAAUGCAUAUGCUAAUAGGCCUGGUUCAACCAAAGCAUUUCUUCAUGCCCGAUUCUACUUAUGAUUUUUCUGAGUGCUAAUACUUCAACUACUAUUGUGGCCGGGUCUAGUUCUGCUUGAAUCGAAAUAGCAUCGAAUGACGUUCUGCCUGGAAUUGACCUUGCUUCUACUUCUUCCGCACCUGCGACUGUAUGCGAACGUAAACCGGCACGGGAUUCUUUUCCACCCGCUUCUAACUUCUUCCUUGAAUCGAACUAGUUUUUAUUCCUGAACUCCGGAAAUCGUAUCCCUUGGGCAACCCAUUUAUGUAAAGUAAAUAUUCUACAUCUGACUUGAUACAAACCUGCACCACCAGCUUCUUCCUUUAUACCAGUUCGAGGCGAGGAUUGAUUGCUUGAUCUCAAAAACUCCUAGUUAAUGUGCAUCAACAUUGGAGUCGGUAGCUUCGUCUUCUGCCUCAGGUUUAAAAUCACUUAUUCCUAGCCGCCUAUCCUAUCCAUGCGCCGCAAUAGAGGAAAGAGCAGCAAAGAAAUCAAAAGCGUGAAAAUGUCUCGAUAUCGAUAUGUUAGAUGGAGCUCAAUCAAUAGGUGCCGGAUUUCUUAUUUCUCAGAGCUGAGGUCAACCUUGCCAACUCUAGUUCUUCCUCGGCCAAGUAAUGUAGAUUUCCUUGGGAAUUCUAGUGAUCUCUUUCUUCUUCAGCUACUGCUACGAACGUAUUUAGUUUAGAACGAGUAACUACUCGAGGAACUAGGCCAUGGUUUCCGUUAGUCUAAGUAGAUCAAAUCUUGUUGGCAAGAGGACUACUACUGGGAUGGGAUUAUUCUAUUACUAAUUGAUGACCUGGGGGGCUACUCUUCUUUCUCCACUACAUAUAUUUAUUUACUGACCUGUUGAUAGCGGGGGCAGUAAAGAGGAGAGGAGGAAAAAGAAGUAGAGUUAGGUUCUGUUCUUGUGUGUAAGCCCUCGGUCGAUUCGUCUGCUCAUUCACAGCGUAUGAUUCUUAUCCAAUUGCUUCUUCUGAAAACGCGGCGUCGGUUAAUCUUUCUUAUUCUCCCUUCGGGGCUCCUCAUGUUGCUACUAAUAGAAACAGUUCGGACCUUGCUCAUACAAUCCUCGGGACUACUAUUGGUUAAUCUUUGUCCUCCCUAGGGAAAGACGAUACUUUUUGGGAAAGACAGGGUUAGCGCUGCCUGGGUUGAGCCAUUCCUAACAACUCAUCCAGCUUGACUAGCUUGCAUUAAGAGUAGUUCAUUUCCUAUAAAGUGUAGCGAGUUUUCUACCUUUUCACAUAACCGAGAAAAAAGGCAAAGUUACCCUACUACAUGUAUUAGCUAGUUUUGUCUAGUCAACAUCUAACGCUCAUUUCACUAUGGGAUUUAUUUACUCCGAUUGCUUCUACUCUCUUACAGCUGGGUGCGCCUAUAAGGAAGACUUUUCAUAGAUUGACUUUGGACAGGCAAGUUGAACUAUCAGGCUUCACUAACACAAGUAAGAACAAGUAGAAAACUCCGUAUUAAGGGCUGACUUUCCUUUUGACCUAGUUCUUAGCACUAGUGAUUAGCACAAAGGAGGAGAGAAAAAAGGAUUGAAUAAGCGAGCACCAGCAUUGACUUUCUUGCUUUAACUAACCUGACGCCUGGCCCUUUUGCUCUAGGCUCUACUCCUUGUCAUUGAUUUCUAGCUAGCUUUCCCACUCGCAUAAAAGGAAUGAAUCGAGGGUAUUUACUUGCAUUUCUUUGUCCUACUUGGGUUGGGCUUUAAGAAGAGAGGAUUUAUUAGCACGACGAGCAUCGCAUGCUAACCGGGGGAUUGAAUAGGAUAUCAUAGAAUGUAGCAUAUUGUCUUAACUUAUAGGGUAGGGUCUUUCCUAUAGCAAAUCCUCAGUUUCUGUCCAGAGUCCGCCCUUUAGGUGAUGGAUCAUCUUUAUAGAGAGACUAACAAUAAGACUAGAUUAGAUCGUGUGCUUCUUUAUAGACGGUGGGCUUAGGUGGAUCUCCCUCAUCUACCUAGACUAGAUUAGAGUGCUCUUAUCCUAACCUUAGAGCCUAGUUUUUUACGUGAACUCUUGGGCAUUAUCGCAUUCAUGAUGACUUAUGGGCAUAACCAGACGAAGUUAAGAGCUACCUAUUGUGCAUUAGGUUUUCCUCUAGGAUCCGGUUGUAGGGAAAAAGCAUUGGUGUAUGAGCCUACUGUACCGACUCUCCUCAUACUUAUGGAGCAAGAUCCUGUCCCUUUCUUAUAACAGCUCAAGUCAGGAGGGGGAGUAUAACACAUACCCCUCGUAGGCGGUGGCUAGUUUGAGAACUAAUUGCUCAUGGCGAGCUUGUUGGAUCUUCUUAUCCAAUCUAUCUACAAGAUCGGUCAAUCUAAACUUUGUCUUAUAUUCCUAUCUCUUGAAUUCAACUCUGAGCAGAUCGUAGACAGCAUGAGGAUUAACAUUUAGGAACGAUGGCAUUAAAAGACCGGUUGAAUUCACCCUUUCCUCCUUCCAUCAAACUCUGGAUCCGGGCUCUCCUCCACUAUCGUUCCGGGUUGAUGAAAGCUCCAACUCCCUAUCCUAUUUCACCUCGCUUCGGGUUUGCUUUCUUGUUAGCAUGUUUGAAUCAGCAUAAGUGGAGUGCAUUGUUUCUUCAGCGUUUUUCACAAUUUUAUGUUGUGUGAAAGUGCAGAAAGAGAUUGAGAAUUUCCAACUGUGCUUGGCUUAUUUCUUAUUUGAAAGUGAGAGUGCUUACUCUUCAAACUCAGACUCACUCAGACCAAGCCUACAAAAAAACAGGGAUCUCACCUCUCCCCAAAAAGACAUCAACUAUAUGAAUGCAUUCUUUGCCACCAAGACACACACCAAGGGUAGCGAGAACUCCUGGUGGACACAGGAAAAAAAUAUGCAACCAACCCGAAGAUGAGGAUGUGAACCGCAUUACUUCGAUCAAUAGACUUUGAAGUAAAGUGAAGCGAAGUGACUUUGUGAAUUCCACUCGUCUAUAUAUGAGAUUUGUGGGUAGCCUUCAAUCUCUUCAACUAUAUAGGCUCACAUCAAUAGAGAAAAUCUCUAUCUUCUCUACUAAGAGACUUCUUUUUCUUUCUAGAGAUUCCUCUUUCCUAUAUAUAUAGAAUAUACAAGUUGGGUUCGAACCAACGACUCCACCCUCAUAUGGAUUGUGAUGCGCGCUCCUUGCUUAUCCCAGGCUAGGCUACCAAUGAGAUCCCACUCACUGGCUUUGGUUAGUUAUAGUCAAUCCAUACCGCCUUCCUAAGGUUAGAUCAGAUGGCUUGGUUUCAUUUCUGAAUAAAGAGGAGGCUCGGGAGAGUGAAUCUCGUACCUGGCUGGCUUUGAUGCGGGUUCCAGGUCAUUCAGCUGCUGCUACUUACUUGAUGCGUGUACUUCCAGGUUGGAGUUCUUUUACUUUCAAGUUAAUCUACUUAUUGGACUGGACUGAGUUCUUCGAAUAGUUUAUUUAUGCGAGUUCAUUGAAAGACUUAGUGGACCCAGUGAAUUAACUUACUCAUCGGGAUUUUUAUAUUGAACCGGUGUGUUGAGUAAAUGACUAGUUUAGUUGGGUAGAAAGGAAUGGUAGCACAGUGCUACAUGAACGACUAUAACAAGUAGCUUUUUCUGGUGAUAAGGAAGGCACUAGUUGGCUCAGCAGUAGUUAGUUAAGCAGGUUCCAAGGCAGGCGAGACAGUGGAAUGCCUAGGGACAGCUUGAUAUGCACCAAGGAAAGUUGGAGCGAAAUGGGCUGGUGGCUCAGUUGCUACAGGACUAGUGAAACGAACAGUCAGCUCAGUCAAGAGCAGGUAAUUUGUUGGGACAGCCAAGCAAACAGAUGUGCUAUUUUGUUUUUCCCUUGCAUCAACAACUAUCCCUAGCUUUCCUGGACCGGGUAUAUACUCCUCUUUGUCCAGUAGCUCAGUAAGUUGGAACGCGUAUUCCAAUCCAAGGAAGAAAAGCAGUGACUCUCUGAAACUAGUCAGUGCUCGCUACAGUUGCUUACUACUUGCUCGGGUCAGGCAACAGUGGAGAUUCCAGAGAAUCUUAUGAUUUUGGGCCCUAUAUAUUUCUUUCAGGGUUCGGCCAAAUAUUACGAAGGAAACGGAGAACUAUUGCUCGCCUAGAUGGCAUUCCAAAAUGAAUGGCGAGGAGACACUCAACCUUUUUGGUAUACCUUGAGUAAUCCCAACCAAUAGGUGCUGGCUGGUCACAUUGAAUUACUAGGGCUUCUCUCUCUCAAUCAUUUCAUUUCCGUCUCGUAGAUCUGCUUCCAGAGGCCACAGGCACGAAGUGUUUGUACAACUAUUUAAAUGCUAUUAAACUCUUUCUUCAUGCAUGUUGGGUACAAGACAAUGAUUAGAAUCGACUACUGUUAGGCGUGCACGUAUCAUUCCUGUCAACUUAUUCCAUAAGGGUAGCUUCACCAGCAAGCACGGGUGAGAAUGGGUGUAUAAAGUCAUUGACAAGGAGAAGAAGCCGCUUCUGUCAGGGGAUUGGAUUACCCAUGAGUCCAUCUAUGCGGAAAUGCAAUAUUUUAAGCGAUCCUCUACUCUCUAAAGCAAGCCACUGAGCUCUGUCAGGUCAGGUAACAUAAGACUAACUAGCAAAUGCGAUACAAAUCUAUGCACCAACGAUUCGAACUUAAAAUCUUAGACGUAUGUUAACAUGAAAGGAGGGGCCUGCCUAUUAAGCAUUCUAUUCCAUUUCGUGGAAAUGCAUGCCAGGGAUUGGCCACCCACAAGCACUUCUCCUCCAUUGGCGAUGUGGGUGAGUUGAGACUGAAAAAAGGGGCUCUUAAGGGUUCCAAUUCAGAUUUAAGGUCUACGGCUGAAUAGAAAUAGCAGUAUAACUCCCUAUAAUCCGUGCUGUAUUUCCCGUCAGUUUCUUUCUGUCCUACGGAACAUGAGUUUUGUAUGGAAAAAGGGCUUGCUUGCCCAUAGGUAAAAAGACUCAAGGUAUACUUUAGGCGUUAAAAGCUGGCUUAUUACUUGGAAGAAUGACAUAAGCUAAUAAGAUGGGCUUACAAAUUUCAUUGUAGUGAUAGAAAUCUUCCUUUCAGUGAUUCACCUACCUGGAUUUCCCGCCCUGUCAUCUCACUAGUCAAUGGAAAGAAACCUUUGUCAAGAGUCUGCAAGCACAAGAGUGACUACAACUUUUACUUUACCUUAUAAUUUAAACUUUGACUUAUAAAUAACUCUUAGGAAAGCCAGCCCCUUAUUAGUACUCCAGAGAGCUACUUCACCCAGAAUAAAGAGAAGGUUCGAAGAAACUAAUGCAUAAAGACCAGGGGCAGGAGUAUAGAGAGUACAGCGAAGAAGCGUGUGAGUGGUUUGGACGGAGUGGCAGAAAGGAAGAACCCUCAUCUCUUGGACUAAACUCGUACUUUGCGAGAGGCAAUACGCAGGAGUAGGAAUUCCGAUCGGACUUGCUUCUGGGAUGGGAGUGCGGACUGCUUUUCUUAGUUACUUUCUUUUUGGUAUUUCGUAUUUUCAGAUGCGUCUUCUUCUUUCUCAGAUGGCCCGCAUGUAGGUCCAGUGUGCUGCUUUCUUAAGCUGAGUCGUAGCCCUUGACCAACCAGUUAGCCUGUCCCUGCCUUCUCACAGUGGAUUUCUCAACAAUCUCUUCUCUCAAAGAAGGAAUGGAGAGCUCUGUCCUCUCCCUUUUCCUAUGCGCGCGUUCAUAGUGAUAUGAGUGAAUCGAUGUGUAUUUAUGAGGAUCAAACCCUAGAGUGAUUCUAUCGUAGAUUAGGUCUCUGGAUCCGGUGUGCCUUGGCCUGACAGCAAGCUGAACAACUUUGCUGAUCAUCUGGCUUGACUGGGAUUCUCCUCUCAUAGAACAGAUGACUGAUGACUUUGUUGGAGGGAUGGCCUAAACAAACGUUUAUGCCAGAGUGCUUCGGUUGAAGAAAAAACAGAAGGUGAAGCUUGCUCUGUGAUGAAUUGGGCCUUCCUUCAGCUUCCACAUCCUGCUUUGAAUUCAAGAGUCCUUCUUUUCUUGAAUUGGUCUGGUCGGUCAGUGGUUUGUUUUCUGGGCCUGAAUCCCGAUCCCCUAUUAGAACCUUCUCAAGCAAACCCUCGUAAUCCUUUUACAUCUCUUAGUCUAGCCCAUGCAUACCUUGCUUUACCCAUCGUUACUUAUCGUUCAACUUAGAGCUCGAUAGCAAAUUCUUCGAGAGUCUCUUGUUCCAUCUACUAUCCUUUCUGAAGAUAAUAGAGUAACAGUGCUCCAUAGAGAGAGAAAGAAGACACAGUAAUGGUAAGCCAUUGUAGGGAUCAGCCUAGAAGGAGAAUCAUUAAUUCUUGUUUUCAUGAUAUGAUGAAACGAUUCAAUCAUGAUUGGGGUGUGGGUAAUUAUCUUCUUUUUUUUUUCAUAAGAUGCGGUAUUCUUGUAGUGGUUCUCGAGGGCAAAGGGGGGGAUUUGGGUAAAGCCAGUGGUGGUGAUUGUGUCAUCCGUUCUCUUCUUAAUAACUCCCAUCUCCCGAGGCCUAGCUUCGUAUUAUUUUCUUCAUUCAAAGCAACCCAUUACUUUUGCUACUACUACCACUAGUCUAGCUGUUGUCUAUUUGCAACCAUAUAAUUUUUCUAAGAGUACAUGAGAUCGUAUUGUAUUUUGGGUUUGCACUAGCGAUAAGGUAAAUCAAAAUUCUGGCUGGGGGCUGGUUUGAGAGAAGUUUGCUACUCCGGCAGCCUUCCAAUGACCUUAAUGAAACGGGACGAGUCGCAAUGAAUCACUACGAAAAUAGAAAUAUAUGCACUAAUAAAAUAUAGUCAAGCGAGGAGCCUACGAGUUGAUUGAAGAAAGGCACGAGGCGCGGAGCGUCAGGCUUUUGAGAAGUAGUGGAAUUGCUUACCUAGGAAGAAGUAGUAGUAGGAGAAGUCAGAUCUCUUUGAAUAGGUGGUCCGCUUGCUUGGAAAGAAAAGCAAAGUAAGACGCCCUACUUGUACUAAUAACUAGAAGAAAUCAAUGGAUUGAAGAACAAAGCAAAACACUGAUAGUAGAACUAUGGGAGAAAGAAAAGAAGCUUGGUUCACAUCUGGUAAGCGAAAGAGUGAAGUGAACUAGGCGUUGAGUUCACUAUACGGAUUAGCUCAUUCGAAAUCUAUAUAGAGUAUCUCAAUUCAGCUCACUUGGUAGAGUUUUGAGUGAGGGAACCCCGGGGCUGUAGUCAUCCAGUUCACAAAGUCUUGAGUUUCUCCAAAUGAUAUAGAUAGAAAGAAUGGCGAUCUACUAAUAUAUUAUACUUACUCUAUAUAAGGGAUUUCUACUAGGAAAAUCCUCUUUUCAUUCCAAAAUAUAUACUUGAUUCAGAGAUGAUCAAAGACUCCUACCCUAACGCGUGACUCUAAAAAAUCCAACUGAUCUGAGGGUUUUUUCUCCAGUACAAGCAACACAUUGGUAAUAGCAUACUUCCUGCAAUACGAAGGGAAUGAUAAAAAUACCUCACCAACCAAUAAAAAUCCCUAACCUAAUUGGGAAUACUCUCAAAGGACGGACAAUCCGAGUUAAGACGGCCUUCCGAGAAGCACUAUUAGGGAAUACGCGGGAGGGACAUAUGUCGUAGUUCCACAACGCGGAGUUCUAAUGUGGGGAUUGGUCGAAGAGGUUUUAUUAGCUAGAAAGGCGCAAGUCUCAGAGCUGAGCUCACCGCUUCGCGCCUCAGAGGGUGUCCAGACCCGGCAGAAGAUAUAGGCAAUGUGAAAUGUUCGGCUACUAAAUGAAGGAGUUCAGGCUAAGAUAUUAUCGGUUCAGAAGCGCCUGGGUAUGGGUAGAUCAGCAAGCCCGCUUACCGAACUGUUUCAAAAGAACUCGUAAGAAGCUUUACAGCAGCUCAAAGAACCUAUGUAUACGGCCCAGUCCUUGCCAUGCCCGAUCUUCACCCUUAACCAUUUAAUAAGCUUAUGCCAGUGAGGUGUGGAUGCAAUGGAAAGACCCAUAUCGACCGUCUUACGACAAAGAAAAUCUUGCUAUUAAGAGGAAAAGAAAUGGAGCUAGGGUCAAGUUCCAGAGGGGUCUCCAAACAGCCUCACACUACACCAUCACGUGGGAGCUCCUCCACUCCUGUGGAAAGGGCAUGUCUUACUAUAGAUAGUAGGUCAGCUCAAUCACUUUCAUCAAAUUCCCUUGCUUAAGUACAAAAGCAAACUCCCCAGGUUCAAAAGCAACGGCCAUGGGGUCAGGUCACUAUACUCGUCAAGGUUGUCGGAGGUCUGUGAGUCAUACGACUGUGGUACUGGCACUUUUCAAACUGAGACUCACUAAAUAUUACGCUUCUGCUCGCAAAGUAGGCCAGCCAAUAAAACCCAUCUCGUAGGACUCGCUUAGCUAAGGUUCUGGCUCCUUGAUGGCUGCCACAAAUCCCUUCGUGAAUCUCAUUUUCAUUCAUAUUUUGCAAAUACUUCAUUCGAUAUAUUUUUUUAGCUAGCGAUGACAAUGUCAAACAUACCCCGAUAUCCACAUUGUAUCUAGUCCAAUAAAUUGAUUUAGCCCGAAGCAUCACAUCACCUAAAAGACUGAUAUCCAGCUCCAUAUAAUCCAACAAUUGGGCUCUAUUCUCCUGAAGAGAAGACACUUGAACUUCGUCAUGUGCUAUUGAGCCUUUUGAACCUAAGUGCGGACAUAAAGUCUUAGCCAAUGUUUCUAGACUAUUAGGGAGUUGAGUGUAUGAAUCUCGUAGAUGGAACACCAAUUUCUUAUUCCCCCUUUUUUUCCUAUAAAUUGAUAACUGGUAAAGCUUCUUGUUCCUCAUCAGCGGUUUGAUGGUGUACUCGACCAUAUGACUGGCUAAAAACUUCAUUAAGUCGAUCGGAUCGAGAAAUUAGAUUCGAAAAGUAAACUGUUUUCACGCCCUUGUGAGUAGAUCCCAGUUUGGCUAUACGCUCUAUAAAAUCUACCAACAUUUUAGUACUCCUUUCUUCAAGGGAAGGUAUUAUCAAAUUGUAAUCUUCAAAAAAAUAUGUGUCUAUUUGAUCAUCCAUGGCAGCCACAUCAUCCCCCGGAUUCACCACUAAGAGCCCCGCAGCAUAAGGUACAAGCACAUUAUUUAGUAUAACAGUCUCUAUAUCGGCUACAAUGAAAGGAAAACAUUUCUGUUUCUUCUGCUUCAAUGCCGUGAUACACUCAGGAUGUUUACGAUACCUACCCGGAGCUCUUGCUCUAACUUCUCGUGGUUCACCCCUAGCUAUGCCCGCUUCUAUUAAAUUCCAAAUUAUGCUUGCAAUUUCAUCGGAGCUAGGCAACUCUUUGUCAGUGAUUUCAUGCCUACCAAGCAGGUACACUCUAAUGUAUACACCCUUUCAGAAAAUAAAUCCUUCUCGUAUUCUGCUGCUUUUUUGAUUCAUUUUUUCUCAAUAAUAGCAUAGACAUCCAUGUUGGGCGCAGCAUUCCCACUUGAAUCUUCCAAAGAGAAAUAGCAUGACCUAUGAUAAAGGGCACAGGUUCUCCGCUUGCUCUUCUCAUGUUAUAUCCAAUAGUAAACUUCCCAUAUAACAAUUCUGUAUUGUACACGUACUUUUUUAUUUGAGUAGUUUCAUUAGGAACGGAACUUGUAAUUGUAAUAGAAGCCAGAUUUUCUAGUCAGAAUACGGUCGGGGGAAGACUAUCACUGACCGAGCUUCUCUACACUGACCUUUCUUCUGGUCAAGUUCGCAGCUCUUCGAAGAAAUCCGAUUCUUUUCCUAGGAGAAGAGAUUGAUUCUAGUUAUCUUUCUUUCAAAGCCAUCCAUGCAUAGAGAAGACUGGGCCCAAAGCAUUGUAGGUGAGCGAGUAAUCUCUGGAAUAUAAGAAGAGAUAGAGAUGGUUCUUUUGGCUCAUCAAAUGGGACUCGGACUUUGCAGAAAGAGAGUAAUGUUUCCUCCUUUCUCACUCGCCUGGCUGGUCUAUUUAUUGCUAUUAGGUCCUAAUAGAGAAGAAGCUUUUUCCUGCGAAGAUCAAGUUGAACGGUGAGUUCUAAAGGUUUUCCUGAUGUACCAGUGUCUGUGUCACUUUCCAAGUAGUCCUUUCUUAUUUCUUCAAAGAAAGAUUCCCAUUUAGAAUAAGGAAAGUCAAAUAGGGAAGGAAAGGCUAAAAGAACCAAUUUUUCUUGUUUUACCACUUCAGCUACAGCGAUCAAGGGUUCGUGUUAAGUUUCGAACUUGUGAAGAAUUGCCAGUGGGAGACUGUUUCUUUCUCUAAUUCCAUAGUCUUUCAGCCAACAAAGCACUCUAAUUUAUGUAUUAGAAAUACUAUUUGCUCGUAGCCUAGAGGUGUAGACAGGAAUGCUAUGUCAAGGCUAGGUUAGGUGCCUGGGAAAGCCUAGGAUAGGAGCUCUUGGGCACAUUACCCCUGCUACAGUUGAGACGGUCCCAGUCUUUUCUCUUUUUAGGUAAUUAGGAUCAUUAAGAGGUGCUUAGAGGGGUGAUACCAGAACGAAUAGUUAUUCUCACUUUAGGUCAUAUGGUGUAGCUGAAAGAUCUACAAGUGUUUACCGUGAUUCAUCUUGAAUUCCAAUUAUGUCCCUGCAUUUCUGGUGUCCUUCUUGCUUCACUUCUUCUACUUGGACGGGGGAAGCCACUGGAGUCCCCGCCUCUAGUUGAGGGGCUUCCGGGACCCCCUCGAUUUGUGGGGCUUCCGGGUUGACCGGAGGAUGAUGACUCCCCCGUUUCCAAAUUCGCUUUUGGGGUAAGUCAAGAAUUUCAUCUUCCCUCGGUCGUUUACCAAGUGAGGUCUGUUCCCCCCUUAAUCUUCUGCACGUGGCCGUGCCUACUAAAAUAAUAGUACAAAUAGCACAGAGUAGUACUGACGUUUCAAAUGAACUAAGUAAAAUAUUGUUCUCCAUACUUAAGAAAGCAUGAUUGUAGCUCCGCUUCUUGCUUUGCUCUAAGCAGAAAGACUUAUCUGAAAUCGCAGGUUGGGUUUUCCAACCAAAAGAAAGACAUGGGAGUCUUUGUGCAUCUUCUUCUUCGUAACCCAAGGACCGACGAACAGAAAUUGAAACAACGCAACCGUACUAUACUAUCUAUUUACGAUAAUUUGAUUGCUGACAACAUCACGCUUCUCUUUCUUAUUCUUUUUUAUAUAACUGUCACUUUACCGGGCCGGAAAAGUGACACCGUCACGUCUCAGGGUCGUAUGCCUGGAACAAGAAGGGUCGUCGUACAAUUUCCAUUUCGGCGAUUACAAAAAAGAAGGAGGCGAGCUCCCUAUCCCUCUUUGUCUUUCCACUUCCGGAACAAACACUUCGUAAAAUUAUUUUGAGUCCCGGCCCGGUUUUUCCCCACUAACCAAUUACGUUACGACCACUGAACAAACUUGGUUGACGAACAUGGUUUAUGCGCCGCUAAUCUAGCGGCUUGUCGAGCAUUUGACAAACUCACACCAUCCAUUUCAAAUGGGAUUUGUCCCGUGGACACACGAGCAAUCCAACCCGUAGGAUUUCCUUUUCCUCUUCCCAUUCGAACUUCUGCGGGUUUCCCCGUAAUAGGAAGAUCUGCGAGAACUCUUACCCAUAUCUUACAAUUUCUUCGGAAUUGUCCGCUCAUAGCACGACGGAAUUGUCCGAUUGUAGCCCGACGCGCUGCUUCAAUGGCUCGAUAUGAAAGACGACCAGCUCUACUACUUUUGGUGCCAUAUCUUCCAAAACCAAGUUGUGUACCAUCCGGUUCGCGACCCCUACUACAUCUGCAUUUACUAUAUUUACUAUAUUUCGUACGUUUCGGAUAUAGCACGUCCCUUCUUAUUUUGACUAUAUGAGAUCCGCACUUUGACACCUGAAAUUCCGUCACGAGUAGAUACUUCCGCAGGAGCAUAAUCGAUUUUCUGGUUAAAUACAUUACAAGAUGUUUUUCCAUACUUUCCGCAUUCAGUUCUAGCUAUUUCCGCACCCCCUAAUCGACCAGAACAACAAAUACGUAUCCCCUCCACCCCUUUUGGCAUUAUUAAUGGAAUAUCCUUAACUAUUUUACUAAAAAUGGAACGAAAUGAGAUUGGAUUGUUCCUCAGUUGAAAAGAGAUGUCUUGAGCAAUCAGAGAAGCACUUUGAUAAACUGAUUUGAUCUUUACCGACUCAAUUAAGGUAUUAGUGUUUGUUCUAUUAGACAAAAAAGAUCGCAUUUUUUGCACUUCGUUCAAAUAAGAGUUGUACCCGUACGGAAUUCUCCUCUUUCUCAGUAUGAUCUCUAUCAUCAUCUCUAUUCCCUUUAUCAAUUUGCCUAUCCUACCUAGGUCUAUGAAUUUCUCUAUCAAUUCCAUUACCUUAUCCUUACCCAUGAGGUUCCUACAUUUGAUCCUUAAUUGACCUAGGAGUUGUUCCCGGGCAUACUCAUAAAAUGGGUUAUUAUACACCCCAACCCCAUCCCUUGAAAAAAAAAAGGUAGCACCGAAGAAAGGAAAGAGCGAGAUGGUGGUUUUUGUUGUUCCCGCGAAGCGAAGAUCAUUCGCUUGGCGAAUGAAGUGGAUCAACCUCUUUUUGGCUCGGGCCAAACACUUUUUAUCGCUGGUCGAGCUUUCUACAAAAAAAGCGAUGCGAGAGCGUAUUCUCUUAUCUAAGCUUCCUCCCUUCGCUCCCCCCAUCGUAGAUGGUUCAGCCACACCCGGUGCCACGAAAUGAUUGAGAACUACGACGGGGUCGAAAUGCAUUUUGUUCUUUGUAUUAAAAAAGUAUUGCAUGACCGAAUAAUUCAAGGAGGGGCGCACAGCGGGGAGGGUCCUUUUUAGUAGAUGACUCGUCGGGCCGUCAGAGCGGGACUUCUUUGGUAAAAAAAAGAACUUGAAUAACUUUGUUUUUAUGAAGGAGUCGUCAUUUUCUAUCAGGAAGGCUAUGUCAUUUACAACCCCGGCGUAUUUCGGAUGCUUGAAGGCCCCGCUCACCCGAAGUGAUUUAGAAAAAUUCUUCUUUCUCGAUGGUGAUCGGUCAUGGUAUCCAUAACGUUGCAUCUUUUUCGGCCAAAUCCUGAUUUCGUUUUGCUUCUCCCGGUCGAUCGACUCGACUCUUUUCCCUGCCCCCCGGCCUCUCACUUCGUUUCGUUCUUCCUCUGUACCCUCGCUUGAAUGAAGACACCCGAUCGGCCCGACUUUCCCAAAUGCCCACCACCGGCCCUUAUCCUUUCCGGGUCUUGAUUUGUCGCGUCGUUUUAGUCGUAGUGGUCGACGGGGAAGAAAGAAAUGAAUGAAUGUCCUUUUGGGAAAAUGUAGAAUAAUACACCUACCGAGACGAAAGCCAAAGGUGAGUCUCGUAGGUGGACGUAUCGAACUGAAAUAAGAUCUAAGAUUGACAUCUUGAUACAAUGAUUUACCAUAAUAAUAAAUAGAGUCAAUGGUGACAGAGCCGUGGGAAAAGCCGCUUCUUUUUUGCGGCGGGGGCUUCCAUUCACCAGCGCAGACUACAUACACGUGCUCUCUGAACCGUGCUAGAUAGUCACCCAUCACACGGCUCUCAAACCCAACCUGUGGUGGAUCCCGGGGGACAAAGCAAAGUAAAAGCGCUUGAUCCUUUGCCCCAUACUUGGAGAUCUUCCUCCCCGCCGAUCAAGCAGCAACGCUGCUCGUGAUAGGCUUAGCUUAAGCCGCUAACGUUCGGUUCGGAUAAGUAAGAAAGUCCCUUCGGUCGGUUCGCUCAGGUGGUCUUCCCUUAUUUUCCCUAACGUUCAGAGUUGUUCUGGUUUUAGAAAGGAGCACCGCCAAGUCCACUAGGGGCGCCCUGAAUGAAUAAGAAAUGGACAGCUGAGGCAUAUCUCAGUAGCUUGCAUGAAAAAUAGAAGAUAAUAAGUUAGAUGUCGAUUACACACCUGAGGUUGGUAAGAACUGAGGGACAAUGCCCCCCUCGCAGGGCCCAUCAGCGAAGCAACUGCUACUUAAUCGGGCGGUUUGCUUUCGUGCAAGGCCCCCGCUGCUGGAACAGGCGGUUGUCAUUUUCAAGUAAACGCCCCACCCCAGAAGGACGCCCUCGCUCUAUUGGCAAAACGCUUCGAAAGAAGAACGUAUCGCCAAGGCCCCGACCGGCCGGCCCGCCCCCUUUCUUUGCCCGCCGGCCGCCUAGCUCGUUAUUCUUUGAGAUCUGGAUAGAGUCUCGCUUCGGGGCGGGGGAAGCAUGGAUUCGAUAGAUCUAUCGAAUCCAUGCUGCAAGCAGCAAGCGUAGGCUAAAAAGGCAAUAGUCUAACGUUGGGGUAGGGCGCGCCAAAACAACCGGGGGCCCCGGAGGGGUCAGUACAAAAGUACUAUAUUCUUUCCACUUACUUUCAUUGGCUAGCUGCCUUUUGUAGCGCGCGUACUCUGAUCCUCUUCUACGAAUCUACAACUCUCUUUACUGAGCGAGACUUCAUCUAUAUCCCUAAAAGUGGAUUUUGAUUCCCAUUUUUUCUUUGAAUGACAGCUUCAACUAGGCUCCACCUUAGAGAGGGUUUUCGGUUUUUUUUAAUCAAGAUAGGGUCAGGGGCGCGUCGGAACGGUAGCUGCAAGGUCUCAUCCGAGAGUCCAAUCUCUUUGUACUGUGCUUUUAUGUCUUUGAAUAAAAAAGAAAGAAGGGGGUCGAUUUAGGCUCCUUCCCUUCCACUGCAUAGCUGCGCUAUCAGGUACUACGAGCCCUCUGCCCCACGCAUCUAACCAGCUCGCGUGGUUCACCGGUUCCACCGAAAACUCUCAUUUGUUGAAGCGGAGCAUAGUGCGGCGCCGAGCGAAAAAGGUCUCUUUUUUCGGUUUAUUCACUGAUCUGAAAUGAAACUUAGCACUUGUUUUUUUCUUGAUUCCUGGGGCUAGGCGUUCGCAGAAUCAGUCUAUCCGAACCGCAGACGCACUUUUAAGAUCAGUGACGGCCUCUCCAGCGGAGCUGGGCGCCGGGGCCCUGGAUGCGCUAGCGAUCGGCACAUUAGGGGAGUAGAGUACUUGCCCGGGUUUCUCGGCCUGGUAUCCUUAUCCUCGCGUUCAUGAUAUCUACAUUCAACUGUGCCCCGGAGACACGGUCGAAGCACGCCCGCCCCGUGUGCGUCUUUCACGACAUGCUCUGGUCCCGGGUUUCUUCCUGUGGUCUUCUAGCGUUAGAAGAAGUCGUGUCCGUCCCGGACAUCUGCAACGUCCUCUCACGCCUUUGGGGGGACAAACAAAGAUCAGGAAAAGACGGACCGAACCCAUUCGGUGACUUUCGCGGUCGCCCUCAC